AGCAUAAACUACUAAGAGGAAAACUAUACAGCUUCUUCCAUCCUUGCUCCGCCGGUUACUAUCCCUCCUCCAUCUCAGCCUGGCUAAGCAUCGCCAGAAGGCUCUUCAUCGCCUAAUAGCGUUAAGCGCCCAAACAACAAAUAACAAACAGAAAGGGUUAACUCCAUGCAACUACCACAUAUAAAGGAGAAAAACAUGCUAAUCAAAUUUAAGCGGAUAUCAUGGCACAUAAACUAGCAACUUAAUUCAAGAUGGAUGCCAACAUAUAUCCAACAACAUGAAAUCAACAAUACGAACUUAAAUCAGUUAUCCACGAAAACACCAAUAUCAAUCGACCAAGUAACGUCUCGCAAGACGGGACAAUCUCGUGGGACAAUAUCCACCACACUGCCACUUAAUAACAUCUCGAAAGACGGGACAAUCACGUGGGACAAUAUCCACCACAUCGUCACUUCAAAAACUCCAAAACAUUCCGAUAAAUAAGCUAAUAAUAUAUUUCAAGACAUAUAUCAACAAAAUCAACAACAUAUAAUUGAAUCAGAUAAUAACAUAAUUAACCACAUAGAAUUAAGACAGAAAUAAACAUAAUUAAUUGUUAGUGUCCUAUAAUGCGACUAUAUGCUUCUACCAAUAUGGAUCGAUCAGCCACGUCUCUCAAGACGGGACGAUCACGUGGGACAAUAUCCACCACACCGCCACUUAACGCCACUAUGGACGGGACAAUCACGUGGGACCUUUGCCACUACAUUGCCACUUUAGGACAUCUCGAAAGAUGGGACGAUCACGUGGGAUAAUAUCCACCACAUCGCCACUUUAUAACGCCUUAAAAGACGGGACAAUCACGUGGGACAAUCACCACCACAUUGCCACUUCAAGUUCAAGCCCUAAAUGUCAAGUUAGUCAACAACAAUCCUCAACCUCAGUAAUCACUCAAUCAACAAUUUCAAGUAUCAACAAUAACCAUGUCUGAUCUACUAGAAAGCAGUAAUGACAGAAACCAGUAAACGGCUGAAGCCUCUCAGAAAACGGAGACACACGUCUCAAUAAGUUCACUCGGCCGAAGCCUCCAAAAAACAUAUGGCACAAGCCUCAGAAAACAUUCAAAAUAAGCAAGCAUACAGCAUUGCAAAACAUGUCAAUAUUUCAAUCAAUUGUCAAUCAAAUUAAACACCUUCAUCUCAAACGCAUGCAGUGCGAUAAAAGCAUGCAAGACUCAAAGACGCGCUAAAACUGAGUUACCCUUACCUUCGUGAGUAGAAGUUGUGCAUGGAAGUUGCGAACCUAGAACAAGGAAACACAAUCAUCAACACAAGACCUACUAGAAGUAAUCAAUCUAAUAAUACUAAUCGAAAUCGUAAAGAAAACUUUUAAAGCUUCAGAGUUCACAUUUGGGCACGAAUGGACAACGGACUUCGUUCGUUAAAACGAGCAUAACUCGAGUUACAGAACUCGCAAUAACACGAAACCAAAGCCAAAAUUUUGACAAUCGAAAGAGCUACGCUAUAGCUCAGGUCAUAGAGACCCAAAAAUUACUUUUGGACACGGUACCCUAACAAACAGGUUUCGGCCACUUUAGAAAAUAGGGUUUCCGAACUUUUUCUUCGAUCUAAAUCAAUUCCUAGGUAUUCUUAGGCGAUAUCUAGGUCAGGGAAACUCUCAGAAAAAUUAUCGGAUCGAAAACUAGAACAGGGGUAUUUUGGUCAAGAUUUUUAGCUCGGAAACUCAAAAUCGGAAUUUCGAAAAAUAAAUUGGAUGAGGUCGAUACCCACGACGUUUAUGACAACUAAUCCUACUGACGCUAAGCUCAGUCGAGAGCUUUUGAUUCAAAAAGCGGAACCUCAGCAUAAAAAUGGGUUGUUGAGCAGAAUUGAAGUUCUGCGGCGAUUCGACGAGAUUCGGCGAAAUGUAAUCCGCUAAACAUGCUCUUGAGCAUGCAGGGAAUAAGUUUAGAUAGAGAAUGUAACACCCCGAUUUCCAGGUGUCACUUUAGUAACCAAAGAUAAACCUUCGCGGAAAAACAGGUAAUAAAUUUUUUUUUGAUUGAUUCCUUUGUAAAUAAAGCGAUAAGGAGAUAAAGACAUAACCCAACCACUAAACUAACCAAUAUACAUCAAAUAUAAACAUGUACAGCCUCAGCUGCACUUCCACGUCACACACACUCGCAGUGACUCCAAAGUAGUGUGCCCGUAGGCAAAUAUUUACAGAUCCAGAAGUGUGAGUGAGAAAAAGUAUAAUUACAAACCACUAGGAGAAAGUCGGCCUCAAAAUGGCCUAAGCAAAGACCCCUAUGGUCCGACUGACUCACUGUGAUCCCUCCGUAAGAGAACCACACAAAAAGCCAUGCAUCGGGAACCUACCCUGUCCCAAAAGCAAAACGAAUCAGAGCUAUUACAGUAACAACCAACUCCAAAAGACUCUAACCACCCAUAACCCACACUACUAUCAUCGACCCGAUCAGGCAUGAAGUCCGGGUCCUCGUCGAAAGCUUCAGUAAUAGUCGUUCCGCUCCGGGUCUUUCCCGCACAACGAAUCAUCACGAACCGGCUGACAGACGCCUGGCAGCAGGCCGACCGCCCAAACACAAACAUACAAACAAAGCCAAGGCGCUAGGGUCAACUUACAGAAUACAAUAGAUAUACAAUCAACUUGUGAUAAAGGGGAUAUAUACAUAUGUUGUAUAUAUAUACAUAUAAGUUAUGUAUUGCCUACUCUAAGGUAUAUACAUAGCAUGUUCUCGAAUCUCCUACACAGUUCAAUCAUUAAUACCUAACGAUGUUCAUCAACAUCAAAUCAUCAUAAUCUCAACAUAUGAAGUUAGGUGAUAAGGUUAGUCAAACAAUGUAUCGUCCUCCCAACACACACGUAUCCAACUAAACCAAUGUUCCCUGUCGUUGCCCUAGGGUAAACGACGAUGAAAUCUCACGCUUCCAUGAAGUCUCACGCUUCAAUGGGGUCUUACGCUUUCACGAAGUCUCACGCUUCAGUGAAAUCUCACACAUUCACGAAGUCUCACGCUUCAGUGAAUUUUCACGCAUUCACGAAGUCUCACGCUUCAGUGAAGUUGCACGCAUUCACGAAGUCUCACGCUUCAGUGAAGUUGCACGCCUCCGCAAAGUCUCCCGCUUCAGCAAAGGUGUACGCCUCCGCAAAGUCUCCCGUUUCAACGAAGGUUCCCGUCUCCACGAGGUCUCCCGCCUCAGUGAAGUUUCUGCUUUCACGAAGUCUCACGCCUCAGUGAAGCUUACUCACUUUCACGAAGUCUCACGCUUCAGUGAAGUUCCAUGCUUUCACGAAGUCUCACGCCUCAGUGAAGCUUCCCGGCUCAUCCUUUGGAUGGCUAAAUAAACUGCUCAACGAGCGAAGGAGUACCAAUGUACUUGGAAACUUAUAGUUCCCCCGGCUUAUCCUUUAGAUAGCCAAACAACAAACUGCUCCGACCCAAACUCAAAACAACCCAAGAGUUAGUGUCGGUCAAUACAACACAACUCCACCAACAAGAUUACACGAGGGUCUAGUGUCGGUCAAUACAACACAGCCCAAACAACAAGAGCACUAGGUGUCUGUAAGACCCGGAUUUUCGGAACAAGUUAAUUUCCGACUCACGCGUGGAAUCAGUGUAAGCGUGACAGGAGUUUGAUAUUUGAGAAAGAUUAAUGAAGAAGAAAGUUCAGGAAUUGCUUGAGGAAUGUUGCGUAGUCGUUUUAGGAAUUAGUGCGAGUCGUCUGCACACCUGCCUUAUGGCGAGCGUGUCCAGAAUAGGCUAAUUUCGCUUUUAGAGCAACGUAUUAGGUGAGAUUUCGAAUCCUUGGAAAAUUUAAAGAUUCUCUUUAUUUGUCCUUCGACCAGCGUUUCAUUUCGGAACCCUGGACUAUACGCAUGAUAGUAUUCACUUUUCGGAAGUCCGACGACGCUAAUUUCUUUGCUUCGAAACCCUAGAUUCAAGCGCGGGAUGAAGUCUUUUUCUAUUCGGGACUUCUAACGAAGUUUCCGUCCGUGUUGCCAGAUUUUUUUCGACGUUUCCAAUCGUUCUUCCGAACAAAGUUUUGUCGUCUGACCAUCACAGCAAAAAGUAGUUUUUCGGGACAGAUUAACUUACCCCGCUUUUGGGAUUUUAGAUAUCAUUUUACCCAAAUGUCAGAGAUUUGUUUUGAGUUCUGGAGUUCUGUCGCCAGAAUCUCUCUUNNNNNNNNNNNNNNNNNNNNNNNNNNNNNNNNNNNNNNNNNNNNNNNNNNNNNNNNNNNNNNNNNNNNNNNNNNNNNNNNNNNNNNNNNNNNNNNNNNNNGCGACGAUCACACAAGAAUCGGUGAAAAGCUCUCCUCCCUUUCUCUCCUUGAAGCUCACGGGUUUGGGGUGUUGAUGGUGGUGAUGAAGUUUUGAUUUUUUUCAAGCUAUUUAUAGUUGAUGGAAAAUGCGGGAAAAUGAAAAUUUCGCGAUUCUAAUUUUUCCUGUGCAUUCCUCUAUGAAUUCUAAGAUAGGUUCUGGCGACAGAAUUCUAGAACUCAAAACAGGUUUCUCAGAAUUAAAGCAAACGAUCCAAAGUCGGUGUAAAUCUAUUUUACCCGAAAAACUACUUUUUGCGGUUGAUGUCGGAUGAGAAAACUUCUUUCUGAAGAAAGAUUAGAAACUUCGAAAGAAAUAGGUGAGCGCGUGCGGAAUCUUCGUUUGAAGCUCCGAAUAGAAAUAGUCUUCAUCGACAGUUUACUUUAAGGUUCUUGAGCUAUCAGGGAUUCAGUUUCGGCAAACCUCCGAGAAUCGGAAACGAUAAUUCGUACAUUCCAGGGUUUCGUGUCGAAACACUUGUCGUGGAAAGGAAUAAGAGAAAUUCUUAUAUUCCUCUGAAUAUUUUUGAAUAUCGUUUCUACAGUGCUUUAAGAGCAAAUUAGCCAUUUACUAACAUUUUCGCCCUAAGGCGAAAGUGAAUAAAACUCAUACUAUAAACUAUAUCGACUAUAGUACUAUUCUUAGUCAUUUCCUGAACUUUCUUCUUCAUAAUAUUAAUCCAACCAUCGAACGAAAGUCAAGUUCCUCUCACGCUUACACAGAAUCCUAUGCGUGAGCUGGAAAUUAUUUAUUUAUUUAAUUAUAAAAUCCUGGGUCUUACAAUACUAGCCCCUAAAAAGAAAGUUUCGUCCUCGAAACUUAAGGCUCAGUGAAGAGUUCCGGAUACUGUUCCUUCAUCUUCUCUUCUAGUUCCCAAGUAGCAUCGCCCGUGACUUGGUUCCAAAUCACUUUUACCAGAGGAACCUGCUUGUUCCUCAACUGCUUGAUCCUACGUUCUUUAAUCCUCAUCGGUGCCACUUCAAAAGACAGGUUGUCUCUAAGCUGGAUGUCAUCUUCCUUGAUGAUGUGAGAGGGAUCACGAAUAUACUUCCUCAAUUGUGACACGUGUAGCACAUCAUGAAUCUUGGACAGAAAUGGUGGCAACGCAAUCCGAUAAGCUACUUUACCGACUCGCUCGAUAAUCUGAUACGGUCCAAUGAACUUCGGUGUCAGCUUCCUCGACUUUAUCGCUCUUCCCACCCCGGUAGUUUGUGUCACGCGAAGAAACACAUGGUCUCCCGCCUCAAACUCUAACUCUCUCCGUCGUGUGUCAGCAUAACUCUUUUGUCGACUCUGUGACGUCCUCAUCUUCUCUUGUAUUUGUUUCACCUUCUCAGUUGUUUGUUGUACUAAUUCCGGUCCAACGAGAAGAUGUUCGUCAUCUUGAAACCAACAUAGAGGAGUCCUACAUCUCCUUCCAUACAAAGCCUCAUAAGGUGUCAUUCCAAUACUGGCAUGAAAACUGUUGUUGUAAGUAAACUCGAUCAACGGUAACAGCUCAUCCCAGCUCUCUUGACUAUCUAAGACACAUGCUCGCAGCAAGUCUUCCAAUGACUGUAUUGUUCUCUCGGUCUAUCCAUCUGUCUGAGGGUGAUAGGCAGAACUCAACCUCAACUUCGUGCCAAGCGCAUCGUGCAAGGCCUUCCAGAAACGCGAAGUAAACUUUGGGUCUCUGUCAGAAACAAUACUCGAAGGUACUCCAUGAAGUCGUACAAUCUCUGCAACAUACACAUUUGCAAGUGCCUCCACAUUAUACGUUGUCUUCACUUGUAUGAAAUGCGCUGAUUUCGUCAAACGGUCCACAAUGGCCCAUAUGGAAUCAAAUCUCUUCCUUGUAGCUGGUAAAGCUACCACGAAAUCCAUAGAGAUAUUGUCCCACUUCCACUCCGGCACAUCAAGUGACUGUAACAUACCUGCAGGCUUUUGAUGUUCUAUCUUCGCCUUCUGACAUGUCAGACAUGCUGCCACAAACUCUGCUACAUUCUUCUUCAUUCCUGACCACCAUAAAUUCAACUUUAGAUCUUGGUACAUCUUUGUCGAUCCCGGAUGAAUACUCAAUCUGCUCUUGUGACCUUCGUCAAAAAUCAUCCUUCUCAACUCCAUGUCACAUGGCACGCAGACACGUCCUUUGCAACGUAGAAUGCCAUCGGUUCCUACUUCGAAAUUCGGCGCCUUUCCCAAAAUGAUCAAGUUUCGUUUCUCGAUCAGCUCCUCAUCUAACAGUUGCUUCACCUUGAUCUCGUUCAGCAAAUCACUGGUGAUCGUCACCAUCCCAAAGCUCAAUAUUCCAGGCGUCACUUGCAUACCCAAACUGAGGUCGCGAAAAGUCUCGAUGAGUUCCAAUUCCUUAAUCAUCAGUGAUGAAACAUGAAUUGUCUGGCGACUCAGUGCGUCUGCUACAACAUUUGCUUUUCCUGGGUGGCACAACAAAGUGAAAUCAUAAUCCUUGAUGAAUUCCAUCCAACGCCUUUGUCUCAUAUUCAGAUCCUUCUGAUCGAACAGGUACUUCAGACUCUUGUGAUCACUAAAAACAGUGAAAGUGCUCCCAUAAAGAUAGUGCCUCCAAAUCUUAAACGCAAAUACCACAGACGCCAACUCCAAGUCAUGCGUAGGAUAGUUCUUUUCAUGUAUCUUCAACUUCCUUCAAGAAUAAGCCACAGCCUUUCGGUGUUGCAUCAACACACAGCCCAACCUAUGGUACGAAGCAUCGCAGUAAACCUCGUAAGGUUCCUCCUCUUGUGGUAAAGUCAGAACUGGCGCGGUCGUCAAACGCUCCUUCAUAUCCUGAAAACUCUGUUCACAAUCUUCUGUCCAUGCGAAAGGUUGGUUCUUUCGGGUGAGUUUCGUCAAUGGUCCUGCAAUCUUAGCGAACCCUUCGAUGAAUCGUCGGUAAUAUCCAGCUAAACCGAUGAAACUCCUUAUAUCUGUCACAGUCUUAGGACGCUCCCAUGCAAGUACCGCUUCCACUUUACUAGGAUCCACAACAAUGCCCUCCUUUGAGAUGACAUGUCCUAGAAACUUUACUUCUUCGAGUCAAAAUUCACACUUUGCCGCAUUAGCAUACAACACUUUCACCCGAAGAACUUGCAAUACUUGACGUAGAUGUUCCUCGAGUAGAUCAAGAUGUCGUCGAUGAACACCACAACGAAGCGGUCCAAGAAUGGAUGAAAGAUCUUAUUCAUGUAGUCCAUGAAUACAGCUGGUGCAUUCGUAACUCCAAACGACAUCACCAAGUACUCGUAGUGCCCAUAGCGUGUCCUAAACGCAGUCUUUUGGAUAUCCUCGUCUUUGACUCUAAUCUUGUGAUAUCCCGAUCUCAGGUCAAUCUUCGAGAAAACAGCAGCACCCUUCAAUUGAUCCAUCAAAUCGUCAAUCCUCGGCAACGGACAACGGUUCUUUAUCGUGACUUUGUUCAACUGUCGAUAGUCCACGCAAAGUCGCGAUCUUCCGCCUUUCUUCUUCACAAGCAGCACUGGCGCUCCCCACGGAGAAACGCUAGGUCGAAUAAACCCCUUCUUGGUUAAAUCCUCAAGUUGACUCUUCAGCUCAGUCAGUUCUGCCGGUGCCAUACGAUACGGUGCGAUUGAUAUAGGUCCAGUGCCUGGGACCAUAUCGAUUGUGAACUCCAUAUCUCUGACUGGAGGUAUUCCAGGUACGUCUUCGGGGAAUACAUCCUCGAACUCAUGCACAACAGCUAUUCCUUGUACUCCAUUCUCCUUAGCUUCCAUCACGGUUGUAGACAAAAGGGAACUCAAAGCUCCUUUCCUCAAAGAAAGCUUUGAAAAGUACGAGUUCAAGAACUCGGCGAGUCCAGCAUCGGGAAAGAUAACAACCUUAUUGGCGCAAUCAAGAAGAACAUGAUGGUGGGACAACCAAUCCAUGCUUAUGAUCACAUCCAAUCCCUUGAGAGGUAAACAGAUUAAGUUUGCUACAAACUUCUUAUCUAGGUACAUCCAAGGACAUUCCAAACAUGCAGUGUUAGUUACUAGACUCUUAGAUGUAGGGGUAGACACUGUCAAGUCAAACGGUAACUUUGACACUUCUAGCUUUAACCUCGUCGCACAAGCUAAGUCUAUGAAUGAAUGCGUAGCACCAGAAUCAAAUAGCGCGAUAAGGGAAUUACCCACAAUCUCGCAGGUACUGCGGAUUAGACCAUCGUCCUCCUCAGCUUCAGUUCCACUGAUCGAGUAGACUCUUCCACCAGCAGUAGGCCUCCUAGCCCCAGUAGUAUUCACAGCAGCCUCAACUUUGGGAGCCCUACACUCUACAGCAGUGUGACCAGGCUUCUUGCAGUUCCAACAGAUCCUUAUGUUCUCAGGACAAUGAUUUGCAAAAUGCCCCGCUUUGUUGCACUUGAAGCAAGUCACACCCUCUAAACUCACUGCUAGAGGUCUCGGUGCUAUAGCAUUCCCACCCGUAGGAUAAAAGGACCCAGAAGUUGUCCCCCUACCCUGAGGACGAACAUACAGCUUCUUCUGGAAAUGCUUACCCUUGUCACCUCUUCCUUGGUUAGUCCUAGCCGGACCUCCACUUCCUUGGUGAGGCUUGUUUAGACCUUGGAACUUGCCCCUUGCAAUAUCAAUAGCCUCAAUCCCCUUGGUCUUCUCCACCAGCACUUGAUAGCGAUUCAGUCCUAGAGGUUGCACCGCCCUCUACAGCUCAUAACUCAGCCCAUCAAUGAAGCGCUCACACAUAUAGCCUUCAUCUAUCUGUCCUCUAAAGUAGCGGAAGUGUUUAGCCAACGACUCCAACUUUGCAGCAUACUCAGCAACGGUGUAACACCCCGAUUUCGGUGGCGUCACUUUAGUAACCAAAAGUAAACUUAAUGCGGAAAAACGUGAAUAUUUUUUUUUCGAUAAUAACUAAGACAAGACUGAAUUAAAUAAAACCCAACAGUAACGAUAAACAGAACUAAUAUACAAUAUAUAUAACAGCCUCCGCUGUAAGUAGCUAGCCACGUCACGAGUAAACCUCCAGUGACGGGUAAUAAGAAAAGUAGCGCCCGUAGGCAAAAUGUACAAACCAAAUCUAAAGGUAAGUGUCCGCAACACUAUCCCUCAAAACUGAGAAUAAGCUGGCCCAUCGGCCUGAAACAAGACCUCCUAAGUCCAACCAACUCUCUGUGAUUCCCGUAAAGAAACCACACAAAAAGCUAUAGGUGGGACUCUACCCUGUCCCGAAUGAAACAAAUAAUGUUCAGAGCUAAGACUCUACUCCUACACUAAUCCCAUCUCGAGGAGCUCACACUAACACUCAAUCCUACAUGCUGGCAUGAUCGUCGUCCGAAUUCGAAAUCCAGAACGACCUAGUCUAUGUACACCAUCCGUCCUCCGCUCGCUAUCGCGAUGCGCUCCUGUUCCAUCAUCCCAACUCUAGUUUCCCCCGAAGGGUGAACCGUCGUGAACCAGUCCGCCAAAGACAUCUGACAAAGGGCGUUUGUCCGCCAAAGCCACACAGAAGACGCGAGGGUCAACUCCAAAGAAUACAUAAAUAAUAGCACCAAUAGAUAUAGAUAAGAGAAUAGCCACUUAGGCUUAUAGCUAGGGAUAACAUCCUAGGGUUGCAUAUUUCCACAAAGAAUAUAACGACUGUAAAUCACAGUUAACAUGCAUCAAGUAGAACUAACAAGUAUCAAAAACACUCAUCAUGUAGUCAGAUCAGCAUAAAACCCGAAUAUCGUCACUCUGCUUGGCGACGGAACAAACCGACAACGUCACUCUGCUUGGCGACGGAACAAAACAACAACGUCACUCUGCUUGGCGACGGAACAAAACAACAACGUCACUCUGCUUGGCGACGGAACAAAACAACAACGUCACUCUGCUUGGCGACGGAACAAAACAACAACGUCACCCUGCUUGGCGACGGAACAAAACAACAACGUCACUCUGCUUGGCGACGGGACAAACCAAAGGUAUUGCCACUUAUAGGCUGGGCACCUCGAGACGGUCGUAACACUAGCCUCGUGUUUAACCAUUUCUGCUCGGGCGUCGCUUAUCACCUUUGGCUAUAGUCAAGACGGUACAAACUCUACAUGGUUUGACCAUUUCUGCUUGCUAUGCCGAACAUCAACAGGCACGAUACAACUCUACAUGGAUGACCGUUACCUCCUGUUGUGUCAGGUAUAGUCAGGACCGAUCCAACUCUGCAUGGCUGAUCGUUACUUCCUGCUUUACCGAAGUACUCUGCUUGGCACUUCAUCACGCAUAUGCACGGGUGCAACCACUCACGAUGACUCUUCGGGUCACCAAUGCUCUCACGAAGUCUCACGCUUCAGUGAAGUUUCAUGCUCUCACAAGGUCUCACGCCUCAGUGAAGCUUCUCGGCUCAUCCCUUGGAUGGCUAUCAAACUGCUCAACGAGCGAAGGAGUACCAACAUACUCAGAACUUACCAAACUCCUCAACACUUGGAUCCGACGACACUCCUCGCUUUUCCAAAACUAUGAUUUGACUUCCAAUGCCUUCCUUCGAGGUUGUUAUCAUUACUUAAAGAUUUUGAGGUUAUUUAAGGUCUUAUGAAUUUUCUUUAUAAAAUAGAUUCCCUUUUGUCUUAUCGCAAGUCUUAUACAUUUGCAGGAUCUCCCAAUCCCAAGUCGCUUCCAGAGGAGGUCUCGAUCCACUAAACAAAAUUAAGGCCCGAACCUCGUUCGUCCUAUCAAACUUUCUCAAAACUCUCAAAAUAAAAUCGGCAUGACCUGCCCGCUUUUCUCACCGUUCAGAAACUCAGAUUCCAAUACAGAGCAUAUUUAAAUCAUCACAAUCAACAACAUGUCAUAUCUCAAUAAAUCGCAAUAUUAACACUUAACACUUAGCAUAUAAAGCAUGCACCACACAUCCUAGAUUACCCACAUAGCACAUAGCAUGUAAAUCAAUCUUCAAAAACAUUCAGUAGAUGAAUCAUCUACAUUGUCAGCCGAAGCCUCAGAAAACAUUUUCAAUCACACACAAUCUCAGUGCAUAAACAGUAAACAAUGUUGAAACAUCGACCCUAAGCAUUAACUAGAGAUUCAGUGAGAAGCCCUCACCUGAAAGUUCUCCCGAGUUAUCUCCUAAAGCUCCUUCACAAUCAAAGCCUUGCUCCGCUGGAAAUUCCUCAAAAUCACCUUUAGAGCAAAACCACAGAAAUACUAUCAGAAUCUAUCGAAAACUAAGCUAUCGAUACUUACUAAGGUUACUCGAAGUAAUCUAUACUCUAGGUACGAUAAUCUAGCGCGAAAGACAAGUUUUCGGAAAAGGAAAUUUUCCUCCUCCCCCUCUAAUAGGCUCGGCCACUUUUCACAAUUAAGGGGCUCGAUUUUUCUUCGAACAAACUUGGUUCCUAUGCUUUCAUAAGCCGUAACUAAGGGUAUUCUGAACUCGGAAAAAUUAUCGGAUCAAAAACUGUCGCAGGGGUAUUUUGGUCAUGAUUUUUAACUUAGGAUUUUCAAAACUGAAAUCCCAAAAAUAAAAUUUUGCAGGGACGUCACCAACGACGUUUAUGACAACUAAUCCUACUAGCACUAAGCUAAGGCGAUAGUUUUCAGCCUAAAGGUUAAAGCUUUACUCCAAAAACUCCAAAAUGGGUAUUUUAGGCUAAAAUUGAUUCCGACGGAAUUCCGGCGACAUAACGGAAAAUCUAAUCCGGCAGAAGUGAUCUUGGGCACAUAUAGAAGAGGUUUAGAAUCAGAAAUGAAAGAUUCAGGAUAGUUUUGCAAAAACCCAUAAACUAUCCACUCAUAAAACUCUACAGAAAAGCUAUGGAAAAAGCGAUCAGAGGUAAGGAUUAGCGACUAUCCUCGAACCUUGAGCAGCACUGUUAAUCACGUCAACAGGAUGACAAAUUCUCUCUCUUCUACAACUCGGGCUCCUGGAGAAAGGGGAGUUGAUCUCUNNNNNNNNNNNNNNNNNNNNNNNNNNNNNNNNNNNNNNNNNNNNNNNNNNNNNNNNNNNNNNNNNNNNNNNNNNNNNNNNNNNNNNNNNNNNNNNNNNNNCAAAAAAGAGGGAAUGGUUUGAUGGGAGUGCUCUUCUGAAGCAUCUCCUUGGUAUUAUAGGGGGAAUAGGAAUGAAAUGCCCAGUUACAUGGGCUUGAUAUACUGUCGGUGACAGCAUCCCUCGGGAUAACUCGGCCAUUCGUGGGAGGGAAAAGUCGACCCGCAGGGUUAGGACUGAUCCGACUAAGUCCAAGGUUGUAAGUGACACCCGAGGGGUUAUGGUCGGCACAAUGUUAGUGCUAGGACCGACUCGAUCGUGCCCAGCCUAUUUCUUCCGGAACCUUCUUAAUUGACGUUGCAUUGACAUAUCAUGCACUCUAACUAUAUCUGUUGAGAUAUUGAUGAUUUGAUGUUGAUAAACAUCGUUAUGUGUUUUGAUGAUUGAAUUGUAUUAGGGAGUUGAUACAAUACAUAACUUAUAUGUAUAUAUACAACAUAUAUAUAUACCCCCUUUAUCGCAUGUUGAUUGUAUAUCUAUUGUAUUCUGUAAGUUGACCCUAGCACCUUGGCUUUGUUUGUAUGUUUGUGUUUGGGCGGUCGGCCUGCUGCCAGGCGUCUGUCAGCCGGUUCGUGAUGAUUCGUUGUGCGGGAAAGACCCGGAGCGAAAUGUCUAUUACUGAAGCUUUCGACGAGGACCCGGACUUCAUGGCUGAUCGAGGGAGAGUCGAUGAUAGUAGUGUGGGAUAUGGGUGGUUAGAGUCUUUUGAGUUGGUUGUCACUGUCAUAGCUCUGAUUCGUCUUACUUUUGGGACCGGGUAGGUUCCCGAUAUAUGGCUUUUGUGUGGUUCUCUUGCUGAGGAUCACAGAGAGUCUGUCGGACUAUAGGGGUCUUGGGUUGAGGCCAUUUUGAGGCCGACUUUCUCUUGGAUAGUGGUAUAUUUGAUGCUUUUGCGUACAGUUUUGGUUUGUAUAUAUUCGCCUACGAGCAUGUUACCUUGGAGUCACUGCGUGUGCGCGUGACGGGAUAGUGCAGCAGAGGCUGUACCUUUGUAUAUGUUGUUUAUCGGUUAGUUUAGUUGUUGGGCUUUGUCUUUAUUUCUUUAUUGCUUUUAUUAAAAGGAAACAAUCAAAAAAAAAAAUUACCUGUUUUCCGCGUAAAGUUUAUUUUUGGUUAUUAAAGUGACACCUGGAAAUCGGGGUGUUACAGUGUCGGUCAAUACAACACGGCUCCACAACACUUCCCCAAGAGUACUAACGUACUCGGUGACUUUCAAUCAUCACCAUAGCUCACCUUAGUGGCUUUCCCAAUUCCGAUAACUCUCCAAACCCACAACAAAGGUCGACUUUUCCCCCGCCUUUCGUAAAUAUUUUUCCCCUUCAGUUCUCCUAUGCUUAAACGUUAAUAAAAAUGAUUUCAAUUCAAAUUAGUCAAAUUAUGAGUUUAUUUCUCAAAGUCUAAGUUUCCCAAGUCUUUAUUUUUCGAAAGCUCUAUCAUUCUAAGUUUCCAAAAAUCAACCACCCAAAAUACAUUUCUCGGGGAAAGUCUAGGAAUUCCAACGAAUCCCAACAAAUGGCUAAGUCUCAAACCCCACAUUUGGACUUGCCUAGGUUUGUUCAUCCAACCCGAAAUGUCAAAGAUCACCGGAUCAAUGAACCUCCACUCCGAAGUCGCGUCAAAACGCACAAUCCAACAAAGCACAACAUCACAACAUCAGUUCAUCAACAUAAUCAACAUCAAAGUAAAGCAUAAGUCGAAUUGAUCGACGCCUAUCAUGCAUUCAUAGCUAAUAUAUAGUAAGUUGCCCUAACCUCGAGCUGUUCCAGCUUCGCAAACAAAGUUCUCCUCAAACAAUUGCUCUGAGUCUUCCAAAGUUCCCUCAACUGAACCUCGGAGAAAAACAAAGCAGAAUCCAAACAAAAUCGAUUAGUUCGAUCGCAAAACAAUACAUAAACGAUAGACAAAGCAUUAAAGCUUCAGAAUAGGACAAUCAGGUACGAAAAGACAAGUUUUCGAAAACGAAAAACUCCCCCCCCUUAGGAAAUAGCCCACGGCCAUAAGGAGAAAAGAGCUUCGGCUCUUUUUCUUCGAUCAAAUCAAUUCACAAGGUAGUUUUAGGGUAAAACUAAGGCAAAGAAACUGUCGGAACAAUUUUCGGACAAUCGGGCCGAAAUACGACUACGCAGGGGCAUUUUGGUCCAAAAUAAAGGCUCAAAACUUCAAAGUUAUCAGUUCUGAAAACAGAUUUGACAGCAACGAUCCUCAUGACAUCCGUGACAAUAAAUCCUAAAGGCACGAAGUCAGAUUAUAGCUUUACGACAAUAAAGUUUCGAAAUGUGAGACAAAAAGAGUUUUGAGUCAAUUUUUCAGAUCCUGGACAACUGAAUCGCAAUCAGAGUUUACUGACAGAGGUUUUAGGCUCAUGGGAACCUUGAGAACAUAACCCAAGCAAGAAAUCGAAGAAAACUGACAUUUUAGAAAAGCUCAAACUGGGACCCAGAACCACUCUAGACCCGCCCAAAACACCUUCGGGGUGAGAUGGUGUGGUACCUUCAUCCUAAAGAGGACAACUGCCGAAAUGGCAAGUUUCGCAAUAUUCCUCCUCUUGUUUCCGAAUUCACCCCUGGAGAAAGAAGAUUUGUUUGGUAUAUUGAGCAAAUCGGANNNNNNNNNNNNNNNNNNNNNNNNNNNNNNNNNNNNNNNNNNNNNNNNNNNNNNNNNNNNNNNNNNNNNNNNNNNNNNNNNNNNNNNNNNNNNNNNNNNNUGGUUCUCCGUAGUCGGGAACCCAUGGAGUAGUCGGUUGUAGAGGUCUAGUGGAGGCCAUCUAGGGCUGACUAUUCCCUUCUGUGACUUGUAUAAUAUUUCGAACUAAUUAUGCUUUCUGAAAACUUGUAAACCUUGCCGUCACUGGAGGAUACUCGUGACGAUGCUUUUAGUUACAGCAGGACUGUAAUAGUAUUGUACAUUAGUUUAUGUUUAUCGCAUUUUGGGGUUGAGUCUUUAGUUUAAAAUGUUCUUUAUUCUAAAAGGAAACGAAAAAAAAUACCUGCUUUUCCGCUUUAUUUUGUUUUCAAGUUACUAAGUGACCGCCACCGAAAUCUGGGUGUUACAUUGUGGUAUUAGAGCUUGUCGAGUCUUUGGGAGUCUUUGGGGAAUAAGUCUUCUGUGCUAGGUUGUGUGACUCUGCAAAGAGUGAAGAUUGAUUGUCUGCCGAGCGAUUUUUCGCUUGAAAUUGAUUGAAGUUGCUACCUAAUCAUAUUGUAUAGCUAUCCAUAAUACUAUCUUAUGAUUGGUACUGACUGUUUGCUAAACGAAUACAGAACAUGGUGAACGCGAACCAACUUGCUGAGAUGGUGGCCACUUUGGUCCAAGCGAUGACUGUACAAACGAAUGACAAUGCACAGAGGCGUGCUACUGAGGAUGCACGCGAGCUACACCAGCUUCAGAGAGAAUCAGCCCUGGACCAGAACAGGGGAUUGAAUGAUUUUAGAAGACAGAAUCCACCCAAGUUCACGGGUGGGACUGACCCAGACGAGGCGGAUCUCUGGAUCCAAGAGAUAGAGAAGAUUUUCGAAGUACUACAGACUAGUGAAGGGGCCAAGGUGGGCCUGGCAACUUAUCUACUACUGGGCGAUGCUGAGUACUGGUGGAGGGGCGCCAGAGGGAUGAUGGAGGCAAACCAUGUUGAGGUGAACUGGAAUUCUUUUCGUGCCGCUUUUCUGGAGAAGUAUUUUUCUGAUAGUGCUCGUGACGAGCGUGAGUCGCAGUUUCUGACUCUUCGUCAAGGGAGCAUGACUAUUCCGGAAUAUGCUGCUAAUUUGGAAUCUUUGGCCAAACAUUUCCGAUUUUUCCGUGAUCAGGUUGAUGAAUCCUAUAUGUGCAAGUGCUUUGUUAGGGGACUAAGAGCUGACAUUGAGGACUCAGUGAGACCGUUGGGGAUUAUGAGGUUUCAAGCUUUGGUUGAGAAGGCCACCGAGGUGGAGCUGAUGAAGAAUAGGAGGAUGGAUCGGGCUGGAACUAGGGGACCAAUGAGGUCAAGUUCCCGGAGCUAUCAAGGAAAAGGAAAGUUUCAGAUGAAGAAGCCUUAUCAGCGUCCUAUAGGGGAAGGUUUUACCCCGGGACAGUACAAACCGAUGACCAUUGCUACUGGAGGUGCAGGGAAUCAAACCGACAACAAGGGUGUGACAUGUUUCAGGUGUGGGAAGACUGGACAUUUUGCUGACAAGUGUUCAGCGACUGGACCAAGAUGCUUUAAUUGCAACCGAGUGGGGCAUCUAGCCGUGGACUGUAAGGCGCCCAAGAGGGAGCCAUCCGUUAACACUGCAAGGGUAAAGCGCCCUGCUGCUAGAGGAAGGGUUUAUAUCAUGGACGGUGAGGGAGCUGAUGGGUUAACCGGAGGAGAGCGUAAGAACGAUGGUAACCUUCUACCCAUUCUUUCGCAUUCCAGUAUAAUACGCUUCAUUACUCUCGUAGCGUGUGCAACACGCCUAACUUAGUUAUACUGUUUGAGCUUUGACCUUACAGUUAUUACACCUAUUAAGAAUUUAUUUGACUGCUACUCGUGUUUUAACUAUAGAAGUUACACGAGGUUUAGAAUAACACACUAAGUCUAGAAAGUAGUCUUCCACCAAUGCGAUUAUAAGGAAGCUAGUAGCUGGAGAACGAAUCUUAGAGAGAUUCCUUAUGGGUAGUAUACGUGUUAUGUUGAGGGUGCGUAGUUCCGUAGCGGGACCGUUAAGGAUUGGAUGUUGGGAUAAUUGUGACUACUGAAUGAUAGGAACUCAUUGACUGUUCCAGUGGGUUUUUCUAAAUUUCCACCUUCGAUGUAUUAGGCCUGAUCAACCUAAUAUUGAGGGGGUGAUAUUCGGAAUCACAGCUGGUUAUGGACUUUGAUAGAAGGACGGGUAAGAUGAAUUUGAAUUGAUUGAGGAUUAGUCGGAUUUGGGAGGAAAGUUCGUGUUAAGCAUUUGAUUGUAAAAGAUUAAGAUUUGAAUCUGUGGAAGUCGAUGAGUGUCGUAUAGACAUUGAUUGGUUAGUUCGUGUGAUUACUCCAAGUAGAGGUAGACCAAGUCAAGAGAUUUAGUGCUGGAAAAGUAUUAAGUAGUUUCUCGGAAGUUAUGAAGUCAUAGGUUAUGUGAUUGCUGAGGGGAGUUGUUAGAGACUAAAUAAGUUGGAUUUAAUCAGGUUUUAGAUGAUAGCUUGAUGGUAGCGAGAUUGAGAAGAAUUAGCUCUGAACUAGAUUGUUAUAGUCGAGUUCGAGGAAUAAGUUUUGCUAAGCGUUUGAUUAAUAUGUGGAGACAUUAUAGUCUUAAGAGAUGAAGUUUCGCUUGAAAAGUGUUGAAUUAAUGAUUAAGUUGGAGAAAGAAAGUUUUAGCAUAAGUUGAAUACUUGAGGUUGUUGAUAUGGAUUCCAAAGAUAUAUGCUGAGAUUACUAAGUGAGAUUUACUAAGUUGGAUUGAAAUCUUAGGGUUAAGAUUGAAUCUUGAGAGCCUAGAAUCACGUACGAGUAGGAGAUCUUAUGGUUGUAGGUGUGACAAUAGGAGUUGAAUCUUAGAAGAUUGAAGACCUGAAGGUGAGUUUCGGGUUAAGACCAUUGAGGUGUAGUAUAAGAGAGAUCUUGAAGUAAGGGAAUUCUGGGUUGUGUGGAGUGUUAAGGUCGGUGAUCGAUUGAUGUUGAUUAUGAGGUUGCGGACAUAAUGACCAUGUGAUAAGACUUGAAUGAUGUUAGCAUAAUAAGUUGUGAAUGUGAAAGCAUGACGACACUGGUCAGGUCGUUUGGGUAGUGAAGGAGCUAUAGUUUUUAAGAAACGGAUAUUCAUUUAAGAAGUAUUGAAGGAUUAAAGGUCAUUAGAGGACCAAACUUGGUGAAGGUUUAGGUUUUAAAUCUAUGAAUGUCUGUCUAAGGUGUGUAGGACUUGAAGUUUGUCAGAAUUUGAUUGAGAAAUUAAGAAGUUGAUUGACGAGAUGGUGAUUGAGUCACAAAAAGGAAGGUGUUAGUAUUAAGACGAAUAUCUGAGGUUGUUAUAUUUUGACGAGUUUCGUAGAGUUUAAGAGUCAAUGGCUAGUUAAGUCCCUUGAGGUAUAGUUAUGAUGUAAUCUUCUAGAGGAUAAGUCUCGAUUUGUGCGAAGGGUUAGGGAUUUCAGUGAGUGUAAAUAGGUUUGAGUGAGGGAAGUUUCGAGGAAGAAGACGGUAAAAACGGAUUGUUAGAUAUUAAGAGGAGGAUUAUCUUAUAAGUUGUUGAUAAAUUGAUGUUGAAGGGGGAUAAGAUUAGUGAAGGACAAGGAAUAAGGACAUAAGUCGAGUUUUAAUUCGAAUAGUGACUAAGUAGAAGUUUGAUUACUUGGUGUGUGUAAAGAUAGUUACGAAGUUGGAGGUGUUUUAAUGGACUAUUAGAUUCCAACGCAAGAUUUCAUCUAGGAGUUAUCGAACGGACAAGUGGAGUUUUGGACUGUAGAUGAAGAUCACGAGGACAAGCUGGGUAUCUAUUUUGAGAUGACAGAGAGGCACUGAGUUUAAGAAGAAUUUCGGACGACCGAAAGUAAAGAAGUAAGUGGCUAAGAUUGUGCGACUUCACGGAAUGCCAACCGGUAUCAUUUCAAGAAGAGAUCCGACGCAAGUGAUCGAGCCAGACGACAUGAAGUUGAAUGAUGGUUUGUUUUUUGAGACACCGACAGUUAGCAGUGGGGAUAGAAGAGUGAAACAGUUAAGGGGAAAACAACUUGCUUAAGUAAAGGUUAUGAGGAACAAUGACACGGGCAAUGCUACAGGGGAAUUGGAAGACCAGAUCAAGGAACUGUAUUCCGGACUUUUCUCAGAACUCUGAGUUUCGAGGACGAAACUUUCUUUUUGGAGGGGAGUAUUGUAAGACCCGGAUUUUCGGAACAAGUUAAUUUCCGACUCACGCGUGGAAUCAGUGUAAGCGUGACAGGAGUUUGAUAUUUGAGAAAGAUUAAUGAAGAAGAAAGUUCAGGAAUUGCUCGAGGAAUGUGGCGUUGUUUCUUUCGGAGCUAGUGCGAGUCGUCUGCACACCUGCCUUAUGGCGAGCAUGUCCAGAAUAGGCUAUUUCGCUCUUAAAGCAACGUUUUAAGUGAGAUUUCGAACUCUUGGAAAAUUUAAAGUUUCUCUUUAUUUUUCCAUCGACCAGCGUUUCAUUUCGGAACUCUGGACUGUACGCACGAUAGGUUUAACUUUUCGGAUGUCCGCCGACGCUAAUUUCUUUGCUUCGAAACCUUAGUUUUGAGCGAAGGAUGAAGACUUUUUCUAUUCGGAACAUCUAACGAAGAUUCCGUCCGCGUUGCCAGACUUGUUUCGACAUUUCCAAUCUUUCUUCUGUUGGAAGUUUUGUCGUCUGAGCAUCACAGCAAAAAGUAGUUUUUCGGGACAGACUAACUUACACCGCUUUUGAGAUUUUAGAUAUCGUUUUUCCCAAAUCAUAGAUAUUUGUUUUGAGUUCUGGAAUUCUGACGCCAGAAUCUCUCUUAGAAUUCAUUGGUGAACGUGCUGCAAAAAUCGGAAUCGCGAAAUUUUCAUUUUCCCGCGAUUUCACCUGCCUAUAAAUAGCUCAAAAAAGCAAAAUAUCUUCAUUUCUUCCAUCUUGGGGCCGCGAGUUUGAGGGAUCUUGGGGGAGAAGAGAUUUUCGCGAAAACUUGACUGAUCUUCGUGCAGUUCGUCCCUACUUCGAGGUACCGAGGUAACUAACACGAUUCUUACCUCUGAUUACUGUUUCUAUUGCGUUUCUGAAGUCGUUUCUGUGCUCACAGUUUUGAGCUUUUUGUAAAACUGUCCGUUUUCUCUGAUUUCUUUCUUGGGUUAUCUUCCCUACGUUCCCAAGAGUCUAAAACAUCUGUCAGUAAUCGCCGAUUGCGAUCAAGCUGUCCAGGAUUUGAAAAACUGUUUCAAAACCCCUUUUGGCGCACAUUUCAAAACUUUAUUGUCGAAAAGUCGUAAUCUGACUUCGUGCCUUUAGGAUUUGUUGUCACGGAUGUCGUUAGGAUCAUUGCUGUCAAAUUUGUUUUCCGAACUGAUAACUUUGAGGUUUUGAGCUUUUAUUUUGGACCAAAACGCCCCUGAACGGCCGUAUUUUGAUCCGAUUGUCCGAAAAUUGUUCCGACAGUUUCUGUGCCUUAGUUUUACCCUAAAACUACCUUGUGAACAGAUUUGAUCGAAGAAAAAGAGCCGGAGCUCUUUUUCCUUAAUGGCCGAGAGCUAUUCCUUUAGGGGGGAGUUUUCGUUUUCGAAAACUUGUCUUUUCGUACCCGAUUGUCGUAUUCUGAAGCUUUAAUGCUUGUCUAUCGUUUAUGUGUUGUAUGCAAUCGAACUAAUCGAUUUGUUNNNNNNNNNNNNNNNNNNNNNNNNNNNNNNNNNNNNNNNNNNNNNNNNNNNNNNNNNNNNNNNNNNNNNNNNNNNNNNNNNNNNNNNNNNNNNNNNNNNNAAAAGGGAACCACCAAGUAAGGUGUUCUUGUAGAAUAGAGAUGGAGGUUUCAUGCCAAUGAGAAAGGAUUCAUUGCCACAUUUGAAGACGACUGUGUCCUUGUGCGGUACCAACAAUAAACCACUCCUCAGGCUUCUGUGAUUGUGCAGAGGUUGCAUAAAUGUGGCGAUCAAUGUCUGGUGUUCGUUCGAGGUUUUCUUUCUUAUCGCAAAAUCUCCAACAAUGGCUCCUUGGAAAUUUGAGAGCUAGUUGUGAUUGGGACGGAGCAUCCUGGAGAAGACUAUUCGUGAACGCAACUUGGAGCUUGUGGAAGAUGCGGAAUGCUGUGAUUUUCGAAUAGGUGUAGUGGAGUGACGCAACAGUGGACAACAAAUUCAGUUUGGUACAAUGACUUAUAUGCAAACAUGGAGCUCCUAGAAUCUGGCCCAAGUAAUAGUUCCAGUUUAUGUUGGUUGUUUCCUUGUGUGGGGUAGCUGAAAUUAAAUGUUGAUGGCUAGGUGUGCCACAAUAGGUAAGGCUAGUUGUGGUGAAGUUUUCUAAGAUGGCGAUGGGAAUUGGACCAGAGGUUUAUGCAGAAGAAUAUGCACCUCAAAUCGUUUAGGACUCCCUUUACAAUGUGAUUACUGAGAGUGACUCUGUCGAGGCUAUUGAGGCUUUACUGUCGCAUGCAACCUAUGCGUCCCGAUAUUUGGAGAUGGUUAAUUAGAUUCGUUGGAGUAUUUUGUCUCACCUUGAGGUGAAGUUUCAAUUUACCAAUCGAGAAGGCAACUCGGCGGCUGAUUGUCUUACUCGGUGAACCAUGGGUAAUUUUUUUUCUCGAAAUGAAACAUGCAUAAAUAGGUCGGAAUGCAAUUAGCUAUAUACCCAUGAUCAACUGAGUCAAAUGUAACCAUGAAACAUAUAUAACAAAAACUCUUGGUGAAAAUAGUUUUUUCAAGAUAACAGUGAAUAGUCAAUUAUGCAAAUAACACCCUUUUUACUUCCUGAAGAUAUUUUCUUUCCACAAUACAUACGUUACCCGCAAACCUCCUUUUAUAAGAUUAAAUAACAGAAUAACAAUACAAAGCAUUCAUAAACACCCUGAUCAUUUCACAUCGUCGACAUCUCAAGUAGAUUCUCCUCUUCAUUAGGAUCCUCAUCUACAACACUUGGAGUUGACUCCAGAGAGCACAUCGCAAAUUAGUAGGUUACCCGCCAUCGUCUGGUGGAGACGCCCAAAGUACACCCACAAGAAGAAAAUAGUGCAAUAGUCAACUUCUUUCUAUAGAGUUAAGUAGUUAACAUAGAACGUGCCCAUACAACAUACAAUGCUCACACAAGGUAACAAACAUACAAUAUCCUAAACACACAUUGUUGUUCUAUUAGUGCAUGGAUUUUCUCCCCUCUUUAACUUCCUUUGUUAGUUCUGGUGCCCACUAGGGUGAGCAAGAUUCAAAUUGGUCCAUGGGUGGACCAGGGUUAUACACCAUAAAUAUAUUAAUAUUUAAAGUGUGUGGUCAGGAUGAUGAACCUACAACUUGGCAAUCAGGUGAAGAAGACAUUAUUCAUGGAAUUUUGAAAAUUUGCUAAGGUACCCCUGUACCUUUGUAUCACCACUUGAUGUCAUAUUGGUUGUGGUCCCUUCCUUCACUGUUCACUAUAUUGUCUUUUGUGAAUGUCCCGUUCGUCCCUUUCGUAAUAAAAAACCGCCAUUGUUGUAGUGUAAAGCUGUGACUGAGUUUUUUCGAAAUGAAAUCAUCUCCAUUUGUUUGAUAAAAAAACGUUGAAGCGGUGGUGUAGAGAGAUGAAGCACACGAAUAUUUGGUUGUGGAAGACAGAGAAAUAAGGGGACACCCACGCGUUCGUAGCGUUUACGAUUUGUUGUUAUUUGACGCAGAGGGUUGUGGAGGAUUCUGAACUGGCGUUGCGUGAGUUGGCGACAAUCGCAUGUCACCUGUUCGAGGAAAUUCCCCACAGGCAAAGAACUGGUGCUGGUGAGUUGGGUACAACAGCAUGCCAAUUGUUCGAUGAAAUGCCCCACAGAAACUGGGUUCAACGUACAUUGCCAGUUUGUUGGGAAGUGCAGCUCACAGUUGUUGUAAUGAAUUCAGGAACCAUGAUUCACUCAUUGUGACCCCAUGAUACAGUAACUGAAUGAAUAAUUUUGGUGACCUUAUUUAGCCAUGAUGCCAUUAAGAUUGACCUGUGUCCCCAUGAGUUUGCACCAUUGUUUAUAGGUUUGAAUUUGUGUGAAUCACAUUGCCUUCCCUGAGGUUCAAUGAGUCAGGUAUUGGCCAUCUUAGCACAUGUUGGUUAUUGUAAAGAUUAAAACGUUAUACAUUUGGUGCAGUUAGUGAUUGAUAAAGAAAGUAAAGCAAACCUACAUGUAUUCAGCAAGCUGUGAAACUAUUUUGAUGAUAAAGUUAUGGGCUUAUGUUAUCAUUAAUAGCAUGAUUCAAUCGAAUAAACUUGGUGUAUUAUCACAACUAUUUUGUGUCAUCGAUAUCUUUUAUCUACUGUUUGCAUACCUCAGGUCUGGUGAUUUUGGAGAAUGAAUCAACCUUUCAGACCAGGCAUUUGUAAAAUAUUAGUUAGAGUCUAGCACAGAUUUGAAAAGGAUGUGAUGUGGUAUGCGGAGGUGUUUCUACACAACAACUUUUUGGCCAGAAUUAUGUGAAGAUCAGACGAUCAGUUGAUACUUUAGAUGGAUAAGUAAUCCUCAUAAACAUGAUUUAUCUAUCAUUCAUCCAUGAAUCUUAACAAAGUGUGGUAAACUGAUUAAGAUUNNNNNNNNNNNNNNNNNNNNNNNNNNNNNNNNNNNNNNNNNNNNNNNNNNNNNNNNNNNNNNNNNNNNNNNNNNNNNNNNNNNNNNNNNNNNNNNNNNNNUCCCGGUAGGUUCCAUUGUAAAUCUUGAGUUGUGAACCUAUAGGGAGAAUCGGUUAUCCCCCAAGUCACCUAUUUGUCGCAAUCAUCUGUUUUAUCUACAACUGCACUGGUAUAUUGAUUCAUUUUCUGAAUUUCUCGAGUAUUUCUUAAUGACAAACUGGCAAACUAAUGUCAAUUAUUUUACGUUCAGUAUCAUUGAAAGGAGUGAUAAAAUGGGAAAUAUGAACAUUUAGAAGAAAAAUGUAAAACUAAAACAUCAAAUUUCAGGUCAACUUUCUAUUUAUAACUUUUGGCAUGUGUAGUUUUGUGAGCCAAACAUAUCGUGGCAUGUUGCCUGCGUAUUUAGAAGACUUAAAAUAAAAGAAUUUACAAUGAUUCUUGAAGGUACUUGCCACAACAUCUGUACCAGUGCUUAUCCACACAAAAUCUACACAAUGUGAAAAAGAAAAACAAUAAAUGAAGUAAGAAGUAUCAUGGACCCCAAGUCUUUCAGUCCUUUGGAUAUAACUUCACUUGUAACGAUCCAAAUUUUUCUUCUCGAACUUGACUAUUCUGCUGUUGAAUAUACUUUCCUUGAAGAUGGGCCUAUCCUGGGGUGUAAUUUUAGUGCAUUGUAGGGCUAUCUCAAGUACUUGGAAUGUAGCAAGGUUUUUGCCAGGUAAAAGAGGUUUCAGCACAGAGUCUAUCAAUUCCUCACGGGAAGAGCCAUGCAUACCAAUAUGCAUCUCCACCCAUCUCACUAUGUUCAUGUCUGGUCCAAAACUUGUUGGCAUUCUACCGCUAAAAGUUCCAUAAGAACGACUCCCAUGCUGUAAACAUCACUUUUUUCUGUUGCCUGCAGGGAGAAUGCAUGCUCUGAAAACAAGCCAAAUUUAACCAACUUUGAUUAGUGAUUGAAGUUAGACAGAAAAUAGUUUAAGAUCAAUUCAAAUCAGCAGUUUGAUCAAUAGUUCAAUACCUGGAGCCAUGUAGCCGUAAGACCCAGCAAACCAAGAAUUUGACUCAGUAUUGGAGUCAUCAUAAUUCUCAAUCAGAGCUUUUGCCAGUCCAAAAUCUCCCAAGUGUGCCUCCAUUUUAGAAUCUAGCAAUACAUUGCUAGAUUUGAUGUCCCUGGGAAUGAUAUUUGGCACACAAUCAUGAUGGAGGUACUCCACUCCUUGAGCCAGUCCCACAACAAUUUUCAACCUUGUCUCACAAUCAAGGCUCUUCUUUACUUUACUCUCCUUGGCUGGUUUACCCUGAAGCCAAUCCCACACACUCCCAUUCUUCAUGUACUCAUAUAUCAGCAGAUUCCAACCUGCUCCUUUGCCUUUACUGCUACAAUAUCCUAUUAGCUUCACCAGAUACCUCUCUCAUGAAGCUUUUAUCGAAAAGGAAAUCAUCUUUUGAUGAAAUCUUCUUGACAGCAACUGUAUCUUCAGUAACCAAUUCAGCUUUGUAGAUUUUCCUUGAACCAAUCAUGAAGUCAUCACUUAGUUUGUUUGUGGCAUCCAUGAUGUCUUCCCACCUGAAAUCUCUCUUUCCAGGAGCAUGCAUGUAGUUUAAAAAGUGGCCGCCUUUGUGAUGAAGAGUAAACAUAAGUCACUUCACUGUUUUUCCUAAAGAAUUCUUGCUUGUUUCUGCAGAAGAUCUGAGUGAAAGCACCAAGAGUGCAAUUGCAGCUGAUGUUGAAAUAGCAUAAAUUAUCAUUACUGAUGACUCAUUUCGGGCUGAGUUCUCAUUGUUGGGAGUAUCAUCGCAGCGGUCAGAGGGCUUCCACAAAGAUGUAAGUUCCGCUUCAUCCUCACCAAUUGACUCCGACAGGGUGGGUGUGGGUGAUGACAGAAUUCCAGCAACAUUUUUCCCUUCACCAAUUGAUGAAAAAUCUAUAGCAAAGGGACAACAGUAACUCAGAACCAACGUACUCGAUAUCAUUUUCCACAUACUCGAUUAAGAGGUAAAUAAUCCUCAAUAUUUGUUACAAGAUUACGACCCAGAUACUAUGUACGAAGCUCAACAAUGUAAUUUAUGAAUACAUCUGUUCCUCAUAUCAGUUUUACACACCCAACCCAACCCAAAUUAUGAAUUCGAUAGAAAAAACAAAAUUCCGAACAAUGGACCUAUUAAUCAAAAAAAUCAUUCAGAUCUGAUCGAUACUUUAUUUGUACUAACAUGUUUCGUCACAAAGUAGCAGAUAGCCAUUGAUACGAAGGGAUGAGAAGAUGAUGGAAACCAUAGGACACACCUUAGGAUUGCAUUGGGGUGUUUACAAUUUACGUUAUUUUACAAGCCCUUAUUUGAAAUUAAGCAAAAUACUGCCACAAACCCAGUAACCUGAAAAAACCAGUCAAAAAGCAAAAUACUGCCACAAACCCAGUAACCUGAAAAAACCAGUCAAAAACCCUGGUCCACCGAUGGGCCAAUUUGAUACUUGCCCACCGUUAGUUCUUUGACGAAGGAGAAAAUUAUAGUGCAUUCAUUAAAAGAGAAGUGAUGCCCUUUAGUUUCUUUUAUAUAUAAUGGUCAAAUUGGUCCCUAUGUUUGCAGUGACUUUUGAUUUUAGUCCCUCCUCAGAAAAAACAAGCUAAUAUCGCCCUGCAGUUGCAGACAUUUUGGUUUUAGUCCUCACCGGAGGGGGAGCUCCGGUAAGGCCCCACCUGGCACGCUGACGUGUUAAAACAAUCCUAAGUGGAUUUUAAAAAAAAAAAAUUAAAACCCAAAAUACCCAAAAUACCCUUCCUUCUAUUUUACACCUCCAAUUCCCCCAAAUCUCUCCUAAAUUCCCAAAUCAACUUGGAAUGCAAAGAGGAAUUAAACCCAAAAAUCAACAUAUUCACCUUCACUAAAAAAUUUUAACAAUUACCCAGAAAAAUCACCCAAAACCCUGCAACAAUCACCCCAACCCUUCUCCAUCCCUCCCUCUCACGCUCCCCAACCCCAAACCCAUCACCAAUCUCUGAAAACCCAUCAAAAAGUCUAUAACAGCAGCUAUUUGUUUCAACAAAUCCACUAGAGGUUCAAAUAGAAAAUACCUAGAAAACAACCAAAGGUUGAAGCUUUGUCGCCCCAAGGUUGAAGUUUUGUUCAAAGGGGUUUUGUUCCUGGGUUUUGUGCCAGACGGAAACAUGCAAGUACCAGAUCGAAGCUUUCUCUUCCUGGGUUUUGUUCAAAGCUUUGUGUCUGUCUAAAGCCCCCUUUAUUCUCCCUCGGUGCCUCUCAUCCUCAACACCUGCGUCCAGAUCGACGAGAAAUAAAAGCUAGAUAAUAUUCACCCCUGCAUCCAAAAUUACCGAUCCAAAACGCACACCCUUCAUUGUUUUUCCUUUCUUCCAUUUUUUAAUAAAUAUCUGGGAACUAGGAAGGGCAGCAUACAAAUAUGUUAAUAAUGUGUUACGUUUUAAAAAAAACAAUGUUUACAAUUAACAUUUUAUUAAGAAUAAGUGUGAGCAUAACAAGUAUAUAGAAGAUAAGAGGCAGAGAGAAGCAAGAGUUUAGAGAGAAGAGAGCAAAAGAAGAGAGAAUAGUAUGAAUGAGGAGUGCUCAUCUUGAUGCAUCUCCUUUGUAUUUAUAGGGGUGAAUAUGGAUGAAAAUGCCAAGUUACAUGGGCUUGGGCAUGGCCCAUGAUGGUCAUCCAAAUGAUUCAUAACACCCCCCCCCUUGGAUGACCAUCCCUCAAGAAUGUGCUCAUUAAAACCUUACUAGGAAAACCCAGUGGGAUAAAAACCUAGUGAAGGAAAAAGAGUACAUCAUUCUAUAGCACGACUUUGUACAUUGCCUCAUUAAAAACCUUACCAUGAAAAACCCAAUGGGAAGAAAACAUGGUUAAGGAAAAAAGAGUACAAUGCAUUUUAAUUGAGAUCUUUAAGCCGACGAACUCUGAUAUUUCGCACAAGCUUUUCAAAUGUUGUUGUUGGAAGAGCUUUCAUAAAUAAGUCUGCCAAAUUAUCACUUGAACGAAUUUGUUGGAUGUCUAUGUCACCAUUCUUUUAUAGAUCAUGAGUGAAGAAGAGUUUCGGUAGUAUGUGCUUUGUUCUAUCUCCCUUGAUGUAUCAUUCUUUAGCCUUGUGUUGUCUGCAAGAUGAUGGAUGAAUCUCUGAUAUAGAAUUUCUCAUAUUCAGAUUUGAACAAAAAAAUCAGAACUGGUUAAAAGUGUAACGCCCCGAAUUUCAGGGGUUACGGUAAUAACCUGAUAAAGUAAAUAUGCAAUGUUUUCCAAAAGGAUUUAUAACCAUGCGUAUAUUUUUUUCUUUUCGAAGUAUUCCCAAAACAUGACAUGCAUACUCCCAACUGUAAAUAAAUUUACAUCAAACCUUGAACAAGGCGAGUACCCGAAACCCCAAAUAUAAAUUUCUAAAAUCAUUAUGCAAGCUUAAACCAAUAACGGUAAGCUCUCUAACCCAAGGCUCUAGCCCUACACCCGACUCUAUUCUUCGAGUCAUCUACAGUUCUUCAAGUCCUCAUCUCCACUCGCACAAAGGUUAAGCUCCAUCAAAGAUUCUUCAUCGCCUAAUAGCGUUAAGCGCCCAAACAACAAGUAGCAAACAGAAAGGGUUAACUCCAUGCAAUUACCACGUAUAAAAGGGAAAAGCAUGCUAUCAAAGUUUAAGUGCGUAACAUGGCACAUAAGCUAGCAACUUAAUCUCAAUAUAGAUAACGACAUAUAUCCAACAACCUAAAUUUAAUUCAGAUAUCAACAACAUAGAUUUAAAUCAGAUAUCAGCAAAAUCAACAACAUAGAAUCAAACCAAAUAUCCACAACCUCAACAAUAUAAAAUCAAAUCAGAUAUCAACAACCUUAAAAAUAUAACAUCAAAUCAGAUAUCAACAACUUCAACAAUAUAACAUCAAAUCAGAUAUCGACAACCUCAACAAUAUAAUCAAUCCAUAUAACCCAAUAUAUAAGUGCUCUGUAGUAAAACUAUGUGCUACUACUAAGACAAGUCAAAUAAAAAAAAUGUCUCGCAAGACGAGACAGUCACCUGGAACGAAAACCAUUGAUCUGCCACUUAAUAACGCCACGAAGGCCACAUAGUAGUACACCACGAAGGCCACACAAUCGGUCAAAUCAAAAGCGUCUCGCAAGACGGGACAAUCAUGUGGAACGAAAACCACUGAUCAGCCACUUAAUAACGCCACGAAGGCCACACAGUACGCCACGAAGGCCACACAAUCGGUCAAAUCAAAAGCGUCUCGCAAGACGGGACAAUCACGUGGAACGAAAAGCACUGAUCUGCCACUUAAUAACGCCACGAAGGCCACACAGUCCGCCACGAAGGCCACACAGUACAAUCCAACAACGCAUAUGCACAAAUAUCAACAAUUUCAAAUCCAAUAAUCAAGAUAGAGUAACCCUAUGUUACUCUUAAUAUCAACAAGCAUUCGUCAAUUCAGUUCCAUAUCCGCACAAACACAUCAAGCUCUAUUGAGCGAUGAAUCAAUAAUUCAGUGCUGGAAAACAUAACCCUGUCAUAUCAACUAGAAAGCAGUAAUAACAGAAACCAGUAAACGGCCGAAGCCUCUCAGAAAAUGGAGACACACGUCUCAAUAAGUUCACUCGGCCAAAGCCUCCAGAAAACAUUUUCCCAGUUCAACACAACAGUCAUAAUCAAAUGUCAAUCAAUUUAAACACAUUCAUCUCAAACGCAUGCAGUGCGCUAAAAGCAUGCAAGACUCAAAGACGUGCUAAAACUGAGUUACCCUUACCUUAGUCAAUUUCUUUCCUAAACUGCAACUACAAUCCAAUCACAUCCCUGCUUUCCCGUGUCGGCUCGCUUCUUUUUGUCCUUUGGCUUCGUCGCCAAGCGCUUCCGUUAUUCAUACCCUUCAUAAGUACACAAAGCGUAAUUACUAAUUGAGCUACCUACUUUCCAAGUCUAAUUCCUCACUCGGGAAUCCAAACCUAACUGCUCUAUCUCUAACCAAAUAUGUUAUCCUUAAAACAUUCAUUAACAAAAGAGAUAAUAUCCAAACUCUUAUUCCCUAACACUUCCAAAAACUUGUUCGACUUUCAAAACAUUUCGCAAUCGCUCUCUAACGAAUAAAUGAGCGUAAAACUCAAACGUCAUCUAUUUUCAUAAACGGAUAAACAACAUACGUAAGUAAAGUCCAAAAGGGGUUUUCCUACUCCAAAGCAUUGUAACAUAUUUUUAAAAUAAAAGGUUUACUCAUCUAUUUUCCAAAGCAACUCUUUGCACUUGAAAUAACUAAUUUUGUCAAACAAUUAUAAACUGUACAGCGACUUUUGCUAAUUUUUAAAUAUGUCAAAUGCACUCCGAAAACUCUAAUAUUUUUAUUAUGGGUUCUUUAACAUGUUUUCUAAAUCCCUGUAAAUUUUCAAGUCGAAAUUCGAAGUAUAAAAUUCGGAAAAAAAAAAUACUAACAACAGUUUGCGAGAAACGGGACAGCUUAACCCGUGCUCACUAAAAUGCGCAUAACUUGAGCUACACAAGUCGGAACGACAUGAAACCAGCGGCAAACGUUUUCUAACGAAAAGAUCUACAAUUCUUACGAAGACAACUUCUUCAAAUUCAUUAGUUUACACAGCUUAAGAACGAGUUCAAGAGUUCAAAAUCCUGCCCAGUUUGUUUCAUUCAAAAUCCGGAGAUCGGAGAAUGAAGGUGGAUGAAGUUAGGGUUUCAUGGUGGCUCUAUUUCUCUGGUUUCGUUGCUUCACGUCGCUCCUGAAGGUGGUGGUGCUCGCGGCUGAGCCAGCAAGAGGAACGGUGGUGUUGUGCGUGAGGGAGAGAGCUCAGUGUGGUGGCGGCCUGUUCUUGAGAGAGGAACUAGAACAAGAACGGUGGUGGUACUGGUUCAGUCAAGGAGAGAAGAUGUUGCACGGUGGUGGUGGUGUUUGGCCUUGGGUGGCGGCUACCAAGAGGCGGAGAAGAAGAUGUUGUGGUGUGGCACUUGCAGAAGAGAAAGAAAAAGAAGAAGAAAAUGGUCUGGUGUAGAAAAGAGAAGGAACACGUGAAGAAGAAGAAAAUGUUGUGGGGGAAGAGAGAGAGCGUCGAGUGUUAGUGAGUGAGGGAAGAAAAUAAUAUCUGAUUGAGUGUAGGUGGGUCCCACAUGGAGAGAGAAAGUGAUAGGAAAAGAUAUUUUGAAUGAGUGAUUGUAGGGAAAAAGGAAUAAAGAAUAUUCCUUUAAAUAAAGAAUAUUCCUUUGAGGUAGGCUAUCACAGGUAACUAAGAAAGGUAACAUGUUAGUACAGAUCAUCCCUUAAUAUUAGAAAGUGAUAACUAAAGUAUGUGAGCUAACUUAGGAAUAUGAAUUCCUAAAAUUAAUCAUAAAUAGUAAAGUAAAAUUUAAUUAAAAUAUUAUUCUUAUUUCCAAAGAACCCUACAAAAUAAACAUAUAAAUAAUAUAAUAGAAACACUUAAUUGGUUAAUAAAACGAAAUAAAUAAAUAAUCUAGUUAUUUAUUUCAUAGUCUUACAAAAAGCAUGUUCCAUUUUGUCAAUCAAUGACCAAUUCAGAACCAAACAACUAUGCAAUAUCCUUUUACGCCUUUGGGGUAUAGACUUCAAGUCCAAAGACUCUUAUAUUUUUUGGCAAAUGAAUUGCUUCUUUAUAUGUUCGCCAACCACACCCUUUUAUAUGGGUUCGAUAUUCUCGCACUUAUAAUAUUAAGCGCUACUUCAUCUGUCGACAACUUUUCAAGUUCUUGGUUCCUUGUUUCAACUUGUAGAGAUAUCAUUGAUUGAGAUCUCUUUGUAUCAAUAAGCACAGGUACCUGAACCUGUUUAAGAGGAGGUUUAAACAGUUUUCGUAAUCUCUACACUUUUCAUGAUAAUUUUUCUCAUAACAAGACCAUCUUCCUUCUCUAAGAGUUAUCUUUAGAACCAAGCUUAGGCAUGUCUUAGCCUAAUAAAAUUUUAAUAGAGAGUGUUAUCACCCAGCUUUUCAGUCUUCACUGCACCAAUUUGUCGGUUCUGAACAGAUCGAUGUUGGUUGAUCUUCUCGGCUCUUCUCUUCAGAAUCUCCAUUUCAGCCUUUGAGAAGGGUGCCUUUCCACCUUUCUUGGAAGGAGCCUUAGAGGCGGUUGCAAGAACUCCGGCCAUUUGAUGCAAAUAAGUAACACAAGAAAGGGGGGUUUGAAUUGUGUACUUGAAAUUUACGUUUUAAAAACUUUGUUUUAUGAAAAGAAUAUUGGUUCUUUUUUAGAAAACGUUUAAGUAUGACUUUUCGUAAACUGUUCGGAGCAGUGGAAGUUAAACAGUAAGUAAGACAGAACGAUCAGCACACAGGGAUUUAUAUUGGUUAACCCUAAACGAUUGGGCUACGUCCAGUACUUGGCCACCACCAAGAUUUUCACUAGCAAGUUUCACGGACUUAUCCAAUACAAGUAUUCUCAGGGACUUUUCCCACAACAAGUAUUUUCAGGGACUUCUCCCACAACAAGUAUUCUCAGGGACUUCUCCCACCAUGUAUUCUAAGGACAUCUCCUCCAACGUAUUAUCAGGACGCCUCCUUACAAGUAUUAUCAGGACUUCUCCUAAAACAAUCUUUUGCAAGAUGUUUUUCUUCUACAUGAUCUAUUCUUACAAGAGUGAGGUAGACAGUUCGGCUCAAAUGAACUACAAAGUGUUUUGGACAGAUUUGACUCUUAGAAAACUUUGUGUUCUAGAUCUAGAGAGGCUUGAGAGAGUAUUUGACUCUUUUGGAUCUGUGCUCUCUUUCUAAGAUAUGACUCUUAAGCUCAAUACUUUGAGUACUAUGUACUUGGAGAGGAUUCAAAGUUUGGUUCUCUAGUACAUGGUUGAGAAGAAUAAGUGUUUGACUCUUAGCUUUUCUUCAAAGGAUGAAAAUCACUUGAAAUGAAGGAUGGCUGGAAUGCUAAGUGAUUUCUCCAUUCUUUUCUUCUCUUCAUCUACAUUGUGCUGCACUCUCUCUCUCUCUUACAAGUCUUCAAGUCUUCCUUUUAUAUCUUCAAGGCUUCUAGUGGAUAGUGAUGUGUUGGCACGUUGAGAGCCUUUCAAUUUUCUAACCGUUGCUCCAACAGCUCUUUUCUUGAGCAUUAAAUAUCUUGUACCUGCUCCCCAUGACUUUUUGCUCAAAGUGGUACUUUCUCUCUCUUCCUUUUUGUACUUUUAUGACAACAUUGUAAUUCGUGCAUUGGAGAGUGUGUAGAGAUAGAAAUCACGUGAGCUUCUUUGCUUCUUUUCUAAGCUGAUUUGACAAGUCCCCUUUUUUAUCAGAAGAUAUUUUCAAUUUGAAUUUUCAAUUUGAGUUUCCCGGUUCGUUGUCUUGAACGGUAGGAUGAUGAUAGUACCCAUCGGACGGUAGUCAUCGAACGAAUGAAACUUUGCAUAGUCUGAACAGUCUAGCUCUUUCUUCGGACAGUUUGUGAUGAUGUCAUGAAAUAUAUUUCACGCCUUUGCUUUGACUGUCUGGCUUAAGCUUUGACUUUCCUUCUCCUUGUCUGAACAGUUUAAUGAUGAGGCCGUGAAAAUCCUUUCACGCUUUAACUUGAACUGUUUGGCGAGACUUGUCUUUGGCUUCAUUUCUACUAGCUUGAUCAAUUAACGAUGAUGAUCCCAUGGAAGUGCUUCCAUGCUUAUGACUUGAACUGUCUAGCUCAAGCUUUAUCACUCUUUCUUCUUCUUCCUCAUUUCACAAUGGCUUCAGAUGAUGCACUGAAAUUUCUUCCAUGCUUUAGCUUGUACUGUUUGGCUUGAUCCUUGAACUCUUCUUCACCAAGUGGUCUAAGAUAUUUCCAAAUAUGAAGAUGACGCUUAAUCUGUUGACUUCGCAGCUUGGUCCGUUGGAUAAACUUUCUUUGAUCCUUUAGAAGGUCCUCUUGCUUUAGAUUGUCUUCUUUCCUUAGAUGGUCUUCUUUCCUCAGACGGUCUUGUGACUGGACAAUUGACUUUGGCCAACUCUUCAGGGUUUGAACUGUCUUGCAGAUUUUGCAUUUUUGCUUGGACAGUACACAUAACAGCUAUGAAUGAUAAGACAUGAUAUUUUCUGAAAUACACAAUAUAUGAAAUUUUUAGUAUUUCAUUUAUACCCUUGAAAUUGUUAUCAUUCAAAACAUGAUAAACGAUGUAGAUAUGCGUUUGAAUCUUACAAUCUCCCCCCUUUUGAAGAUGACAAUUUUAAGAUAAAACAGGAGAUUUCAUAUAAGAAAACUAUAGAAUGCGGGACCCCCCUGAGUUUUAUAAGAAAAGCCUUAGAUUUUCAAGAGAGUAAAAAUUUCAUAUGGUUCACUCUCUUCCUAAGCUUUCUUUUCUAAACUAGGUCAUUUUUCUCUUUUUAUUCUUCUCUCACUUUUUCUCUUUUCUCUCCCCCUUUGGCAUUUUCAAAAAGAAUGAACUAAUAUGCACAAGCAGUAAGCAUAUAUGCACCAUGCAUCAAAUUAUAAUCAUGCUAGGAUAAUGCAUAUGCUUGCUAUUAAAAGUAAAGCAUUAAAUAGUGAGAGUUUAGGAGAGUGGCUUAGCCAAGUUUCUUCAAGAUCAGCUCCAGGGAGCUUGCAAUUGAGUCAAAACACCGAUUGACAUAUGCUAUGUUAUCCUCAAGGGCUUGAGCGAGCGAAAUAGGAUCAGCAGCAACAAGCAUGUUCUCCUCAUACUUUUCUUCUUCAACCAAGAGCUUAGUUUGAAUCAAGUUCUUCUUGAUGUUGAAUAACUUCCAGAUCCAUGAUGAUAGAUAAUGAAGUCCUUGGUAGCAUAGAACCAAGGUAAUUGUGUGGACUUAGGCGGCAUGUGGUGUGCUUCACUUUUAUCCUCAUAAAAUGUUAUUUUAAGCGCUUGAGGUAGUGAUCGUUUAGGCACAAUGUAUUCAUUUUCCUUGCCUUUCCUGGUAUCGUCUUCCUCUCAGACUUAGACUGAAAAUCUUCAGGAGCUUGAGAAUCAUCAACUUCAAAAAUAUUCUCUAAACAUCAAGAAGGUUGAUGGGUUCCAAGGUAGGGAAUGGAAUAAAUGCUUUAAAAACCCAAGUAUCAUUAAUGCUAGGUAUGAUAACUAUUAUGCAUAAAAUGCGCCAAGGCCAUUCCUCUUCUUAUCACAUGAACUGAUAAACGAUGAUAAUACCAGGGUUUGAGCUUAUCCAGAGGUUGACAAUCAGUAGAUAUGGACGAUAUCGUGCAGACAGUGUAAGCUUGAUCUGGACAAUACUUCAUGAUCUGGUGACGACAUAUUCCGCUUCAGCAAUGAGAUUGAGCCUUGUCACUUACUGGUCUAGAAUAUCAGACUUGACCAAGGUAGUGGUUGUCUCCACUAGUGCUCUUUCUUCCAAUAAUGCCUCAAGAAGAAUGUCUGAUGGGUGUUGGUCUUAUUAGCCUUGUGAAUGGGAAAUAAAGAACCAAGAACAUCGAUGGGUGUGCACCGAAGAAGACUUCUUAGCUUGGUAGGAGCAGCUGACUUGUUGGUCACAGGAGACCCAUUGUUGGCCCUUGUUCUGGAAGCAAAUGGUUGAGAGAGAGAGGUGGAAGGGGGUGCUCCACUCUUAAUAAUUCUGAUAGACCGUUCUUUGGUGGGACCUUGGAAAAGUUUCCAGACAGUUCUACAACAUCGUCACUGGACGAUGAUAUCUUCAGUCCUCUGGGAGAGACUUUUCAAGACGGUCUCUUCUCUGCCUUGCUAGAAUCAACUUUCUGCUUUUUCUUCUUGUCCUCACCAGACGGUUCAGACAUUUCAUCUUUCCUUCAGUACCCUUCUUCUUCUUUGGCAAAAACUCCUCAGGAACUUCAGAUGCAUCAUUGUCAAUUUUGAGUAAUGGUGAUAUGCGUCGAUUAACGAUUUGAGGUGACGGUUUUGGAAAACUAUGCAUUGGCGGUUUCUUUGUAGAGAGAGAAAACAAUAAGCCAUGGGCAGUGGCUCCACACGCCAUUCAAGCUGCAGGAAUAAUUGUUCCUCAUUGAAUGUGAUAUGUCUUUUCAUAAUUUAACUGUUGAAGCACGUGCCAUAGAUAUGAUGACGUUGAACUUUGCAAUAGCUCUGCCAACUGUGAAUGAACGAUAGGGAAUUCCAUAGUACUACUUCAUAAGAUGGUGUGGUGCUGAACGAUUCUCAAAUAUUCCAGACGAUAGAAGUGUUGAACGAUGCAUAAUUUCUUUAAUAUGCAGAUUGCAUAUUAAUUCUUGCUCUCAGAUCAGCAAAUCUGCUUUCUUAUAAUGACUUCAUGAGAAUGUCAGCAAGUUGAUCUUCAGUGUAUACAUGAGAUAUAUCAAUAUGUCCUUUUGCCACAAGAUCUCUAAUGAAGUGAUGCUUGAUUUCAAUAUGCUUUGUCCUGGAAUGCUGAACAGGAUUAUUAGCUAUGUUGAUGGCGCUUGUGUUGUCACAAAGCAGAGGUAUACUGCUCUCAUGGAUAUUAUAAUCUUCAAGUUGAUGUUUUAUCCAUAGAAGUUAUGUACAACAUGAGCUAGCUGCAACGUAUUCAACUUUAGCAGUGGAUAGAGAUAUUGUACUUUAUCUUUUACUUGUCCAAGAGACUAGACAGUUUCCUAGAAAGUGACAUCCUCCACUGGUGCUCUUUCGUUCAACUCUAUCUCCAACAUAGUCAGCGUCACAAAAUCCCUUUAGCCUGAAAUCACUACCUUUCUCGUACAAGAGACCAAGAUUAGCAGUACCUAUUAAAUAUCUAAAUAUUCGUUUAACAGCACUAAGGUGUGAUUGUUGAGGAUUUACAUGGAAUCUUGCACAUAAGCAAACACUGAACAUUAUGUCUGGUCUGCUGGACGUUAGAUACAGAAGUAAUCCUAUCAUUCCUCUGUACGGUGUUGGAUCAACUGGUGAACCUUCAUCAUUCUUGUCCAGGACUGUAUUUGGAUACAUGAGAGUGCUCAUUUCAUUUGAUUUGUGCAUGUUGUAUUUCUUGAGCAUAUCUUUGAUGUACUUCGUAUGAUGAAUAUAGAUCUUGUCUUUCUCUUGCUUGAUUUGUAGACCCAGAAAGAAUUUCAGUACUCCCAUCAUACUCAUUUUAGUUUCACUUUGCAUGAGAGUGGAAAAUUCUUUACACAGUUUAUCACUUGUUGCUCCAAAUAUAAUGUCAUAAACGUACAUUUGCACAAGGAUGUAGUCAUUGUUCAUCUGUUUCUGAACAGUGUGUUAUCUAUCUUUCCUCUUGAGAAUCUGUUCUUCAUAAGAAAACUGCUUAGACGAUCAUACCAUGCUCUUGGGGCUUGCUUUAAACCGUAUAGAGCUUUUCUGAGUUCAACCACAUGAUCUGAAGCACGAUUCUUCAAAUCCUGGAGGUUGCUUCACAUAGACUUCUUCUUCAAUUACACCGUUCAGGAAAGCACUUUUGACAUCCAUUUAAUAUAGUUUGAUAGAGUGUUGAAAUGCAAAAGCUAGAAGAAUUUGUAUAGCUUCAACUCUGGCUACAGGAGCAGAUGUUUCUAUGUAAUCUAUUUCUUCUUGUUGAUUGUGUCCUUGAGCUACCAGCCUUGCUUUAUUCCAUGUCACUUUUCCAUUUUCAUCCAUAUUGUUUCUGAAUACCCACUUAGUACCAAUGAUAGAUUUUCCUUUGGGUUUUAGUACAAGUGUCCAGACUUGACUUCUUUCAAACUGGUUCAAUUAUUCUUGCAUGGCGAGAAUUCACCCUUCGUCUUGUAGAGCUUCAUCCACUGAUUUUGGUUCAAUUUCUGAAAUGAAUGCAUUGUUGGAUUCUUCUCUGAAUGCUGAUCUGGUUCUAAAUAUUUUUGAAAUACUACCAAUGAUUUGCUCUUGUGGAUGAUCUUACUUGUAUCUCCAUUAUUUAGGAAGAGAGAUUCCACUUGAUGUCAUUACUUGAUCGGAUUGUUCUUGAGUAGACGUUUGGGGUGAAGUGGACGGUUCUUCAUGCGAGGUUUAUGAUGGUUGAACCUCCAUUGAAAUCUCUUCUUCAUCUCGAUCAGAUAGAUCAUGGUUUAGAAAGUCUCUUUUAAAUGAUCAGCAGCUUCAGUUGAUUGGUCAUCAAAUUUGGCAUUGAUAGAUUCUUCAACCACUUGUGUUCUAGAGCUGAAAAUUAUAUAAGCUUUGGAGUGAGAGGAAUAUCCAAGAAGAAUUCUUUUUAGACUUGGUUGCAAACUUCCACAUGGCCUUGUUUUGAGUUGAACAUUACACUAGGGGGGGAGUNNNNNNNNNNNNNNNNNNNNNNNNNNNNNNNNNNNNNNNNNNNNNNNNNNNNNNNNNNNNNNNNNNNNNNNNNNNNNNNNNNNNNNNNNNNNNNNNNNNNUUGAGAGCUCUAUACACUUCAAAUUGAAUGGAAUAACCAAGAGAUAUUCCCUUAUCUGAUUUGGAUUCAGACUUUCCAAGAACAUCCUUAGUGUGGAGAAUAUUGCAGUGACAAUCGAAAGGAUGAGAAUAGGAAAUGCUUGGUCAUGUUCCUCUCCAUAGCUCAUAUGAUGUCUUCAUUAAGAUUGACCGCAUAAGGAUUAUGUUCUGAAUAUAAUUGGCGAUGUGUAUGGCUUCAACCCAGAAGUACUUUGGGAGAGAAUUUUCACUUAGCAUCGUUCUAGCAAUCUUUUGGAGAGAUUUGUUCUUCUGUUCAGCAACACGGUUCUGUUGAAGUGUUCUAAGAACAAUGUGUUGAUGAGUUAUGCCUUCUUCACAGAAGCUAUCAAGCUCUUCAUUUACAAAUUCUUCUCCUUUGUCAAGAGCACCCACUAUCCGGGUACUAUUGUUGGUGUUUCUUUUGACCAAUUAAACAGAUCUGCAACAUGCAAAAUUUUGCGCUUGGGUACCCAGACUUUCUUGGGUCCUGAAGGGUUAGUGGUACCGUUAGAAGGUAUCUUCUUUUCAUAAGAAGCCUUCUUUCCUACUUGUUCAAAAUCUGGCUUCUGCAACACCUGUCUCAAAUGAAGGUCAGUUCUUAUUUUUACCUGAAAGCUUUGAAAGUAGAGUCUUAAGCGUUGGGCGGUAACGAGGACGGCGAGCGCCGCCUUCUCUCUUCUGAUACCUAAUUUCCGCCCCUUGGAGUGUAUGGCUUACGAAGUAAAUUAUUUUUUGUUCCCCGUUUACCUCCUGAAGAAUUACAGAGCUGAUUGCAUGAUCACUGACAGAAAAAUAUAAGUGCAAAGGGAGGCCUUGGGUAGGUUUCGACAGCACGGGUGGCGCGGACAACAUUUCUUUUAGGCGCUUAAAGGCUUCUUCACAUUCUGAAUUCCACUCAAACUCCGCAUUCUUCUUUAGGCACUUGAAGAAUGGGGCUGACUUAUCGCCCGAAUGAGGGAGAAACCUGGACAGGGCUGCAAUCCGUCCUUGUCAGGUGCUGCACUUCUUUUACACUGCUGGGGCUUUUCAUUUAUUGGAUUGCUUUACACUUAUCUGGAUUGAUCUCAAUCCCUCCGGACGUAAUCAUGAAGCCUAAAAACUUCCCGCCCUGUAUACCAAAAGAACACUUCUCCGGAUUGAGCCUCAUAUUAUGCUUUCGGAGCCUACCAAAGGCUUCCGUAAAAUCCUCAUGAUGGCUUAAUCCUAAAACUGAUUUCACGAUCAUAUCAUCAACAUAUACUUCCAUGUUCCUCCCCACUUGGCCUUCAAAUACCCUAUCCAUCAACCGCUGAUACGUCGCCCCCGCAUUCUUCAGCCCAAAGGGCAUAGUUUGAUAACAGUAGUUUACCCUAGCGGUCAUGAAGGCCGUUUUGUCUUCAUCCGACGGGUGCAUCUUGAUUUGGUGAUAUCCUGAAAAGGCAUCCAUCAGACUCAGCAGCUCAUUUUCCGACGCUCUAUCUACUAGCUUGUCUAUGCUCGGUAAUGGGUAAGAAUCUUUCGGACACGCCUUAUUAAGGUCUGUGUAGUCGACACACAUCCGCCAUUUUUCGUUCGCCUUCUUUACCAUUACUACAUUCGCCAGCCAAGUAGGAUACUUAAUUUCUCGGAUGAAAUCUGCCGCCAGUAAUUUGUUCACCUCUUGUUGGAUUGCCUUCUCCUUUUCAUCGCUCAUUCGUCGGCGCGUCCAAGUUCUCGCCCAACAGCUUUGAUAAUCUUUGUUCUUGAGCCUCAGUCAGUCGGGUCUCUAUCUUGAGUGUCUUCUCGCCAAAUUUCAGCUCCUUGGUCUCCUCGAUCGGCGUGGGCCUGUUGACUCGCCCCUUGGGUCUAGGUUCUCUUCCGGCGCUUCGACCUCGUUACAUCGGUGUCCCACCGAGGCGUUCCUUUUCCCGUACCAGUCUACCGCGUUGCAGUAGCACUCCCUCGCCGUUUUUUGGUCCACAACCACUCUCCCAAUUUGCCCAUUCGACAAAGGAUAUUUAACCGCCAAGUGUGUCGUCGAAAUCACAGUGCACAGCCGGUUCAAGAUGUUCCUGCCAAUUAUCAUGUUGUACGAUCCCUCCGCUCCUAGGAUCAAGUAUUUCACUCUUAGCGUACUAGCGUUCUCUCGCUCGCCGAAUGUGGUGUCAAGGUCAAGGACGCCUCUCACCCACACUUGCUCGCCCGCAAACCCCACCAGAGUCCCUGCAUAAGGAGUGAGAUCUGCCUCAUUCAGACCGAGCUGAUCAAAUACCCCGCCGUAAAUGAUGUCCGCCGAACUCCCUUGAUCCAAAAGCACUCGUUGUACAUUAAGUUGGUUGACGCGAAGGAGGAUUACGAUCGGAUCGUCCAGAUGUGGCUUUAUUCCAAUGAAGUCACCGAGAAGGUAAUGUCUGGAUGUGAAAAACCGAAAGGAACUUCUGUUACCGUGUUCACCGCCCUAGCAUACCGCUUUCUAGCUGCACUGGUGAUUCCUCCUCCUCCAAACCCUCCAGCGAUUGUGUGCACUCCUUUGGGUAUUGGAGCUCUACCGCCCUGCACUCUAGUAGGCCUUCCUGCCGCUAUCAGUUUCCUGACCUCACGCUGCAGCGUGCGGCACUCCUCUGUGACGUGGCCCAUGGCUUGGUGAUAAACGCACCACUUACCCCUCGACUCGCCGCAUAUUCGCGUUGUUAACGGCUCUCGGAGGAUUUCUGAUGUAGAUGGUUUGUCCAGGCAUGUCAGCUUUCCUUUUAGAGAUGAGUUUGUCCACUCCUUCGGGGAUUUCCAAUAGCUUUCCCUUCGCAACAUCCGAAGCUUCGCCGUUGUAUUUGCUUCCCGAGCCUCCGCGUCCUGCUGCUCCAGACCACGGCUUAUGUCGCGAAUCAGCCACCUCCAAUCUCUGAGAGUGUCCAACGACCAAGGUGAUGGCGGUUUUCCUUCUGAGGAUUUCAGCAAGGAGACUGAAGAUUCCGCCUCCUCCUCACGUCGCCCUCUAUAUGCUUGACACGGAUUGCGCGUGUGUCUCAUCCUUCGUUCGCCUUGUCAACGUUGCACUUCCAUCCAGUGUCACCAGAAAAUUAAGAAUUUGACUCAGAAAUCGAAAACCGAAGAGAAUCGCACGAAAAAACGAACUUCACUCGGCUAAACUAUGCUCCACGUAGUCCGGGAAUCGAAAUCUACCGAUCCCCACAGACGGCGCCAAAUGUUCCAUCAUGAACAUUGAGAUGAGGUAUAGUACCUAAGAUGCAAGGAACGUGAUGCGAGAUUUCUAGAGAGAAGUGAGAGUGUAACCGCUUAGAGAGAGAAAGUAACUGAAUUCCAAGCUUGUUAUUGCACAAAUGAGCAAAGAGUCCCUUACAAUUGGUAUCUCUCCCCUAUUUAUAGUUGGGGAAGUUGGGCCUUGCGCCUCUAAGUCAUCCUAAUGGGCCAGUUGGGCCUUCGGGACAAAGGCCCAAGUCCCUAAUGUAAUUCCCGCCUUAAGCCAGCGCCCCUGGGCGAGGGACCCGGGGGUCUCGCCCAGUCCAUUAAUGAAUUUCAUUAAUGGGUCAGGACUAAUUGGGAUGAGCAGAUAUGGCGGGAUUUGAACAUCAUACUCUCUUGCUCUGGAAUCAGGAUGAUCGUCAUUUCCAAUUUUAAGAUUCCAAUAUGCAAACUCUUUGAUUUCUUUUGUCUGAAAUCACCUCCAAGUAUUACAAAUUUUCCUCUAAAAGGUUUAUGUACGUUAUCUUCAUUUUUCAACCUCAUUAAAUUUUGAGUGUAAUGUCUAGAGUUUCGAAACAUAACCUUUCAACAUUGAAACUUCAUCUCAUAUAAUAAGGCUUGUUUCAAGUAGAAGCUUUGUUCGUAGACUUCCUUGCUUUAUAUUACAUGUUGACCUCUUUGUAGCAUCUAAUGGAGUGUAAAAUUUAGAAUGAGUUGUUCUGCAUCCAGGAAAGAGUAAUGAUACUAUGCCACUGGAAGCAACAUUAAGCACAAUUAGUCCCAUGUGCCUAAGUGACGCAGAUAAAGUGUUCCAAACUUAAAGUCUUUUCGGUUCCACCAUAGCCAUAUAAAAAGUAGAAGCCUCAUGAGUUUAACAACACAAAUGUGACAACCCUUUCAUAUACAAAUUUUUGCUUAGGUGUAAACAUACUAAACAACUCUUCAUAUUGUACCUUUAAUGCAUCUUUGUCAUAGUUGAGUUCAUCGACCAUAAAUCUAUUGUCAAAUUGCAGGACUUCAUCAUAUUCUGAUAAGAAUACUUAAAUGGUAUAGAAUAUAGAUGCUUGCAUGUUCUCCUAUGUUUGCUUAGUAAGAGACUUGUGACACUUCCAUGCCUUAUUUCUCAUAGAUUUACUUUUCGAGAAGAGUUGAGGGUCAUAAUUUUGGUCUCUAAGGCAUCAAUUUAGUAUAACAAAGGUUAGUUUCUUCACAUUAUUCUCAUGGCUUAUAAAUUUAAAGAUCAAUAUGUUUACUUUUGAGCGAUAUCCAAUGUUGUGCCACGAAGCAAUCAGAAAGUAUUGAUGUAGCUUAUCAAAAAAAAAUAUUGAUGUAAAUUAAAGUGGUAAAAUAAAAUUUUGUGUUUUGACAUUGACAUGUUUGCCUCCCUUUCUAGGUUAAUGAGAAUGUUUCAUACUGUGAGUGUGUUUGAUGGCCCUUCAGACUUUUUCAUAUAUGAUUGUCCUGAUCCAACUGAUCUAAACUUUAAUUCAUUAAGAAACAUCUAAAACAUGGAAAACCAAUUACUUUUACAUAAGGGGAAGCAGCUAUAAAACAUCUGUUGAUUGCAUGAUCCGCCCGGGCCUNNNNNNNNNNNNNNNNNNNNNNNNNNNNNNNNNNNNNNNNNNNNNNNNNNNNNNNNNNNNNNNNNNNNNNNNNNNNNNNNNNNNNNNNNNNNNNNNNNNNUUGCGAUCCGUUUUUGAGCGUUCCACCAGGAAUCUAAAGAGUAUUUGGCGUCAAAUCACAGACUCAAACCAAUAUUUUAUGAUAUGGGAAAACGAUAUCCGAAAUUCUCAAAACGGUGGUAAGUUAAUUCUGUCCCGAAAAACUACUUUUUGGCUGUGAUGGCUCAAACGCAAAACUUCAAACCAGAGAAAAGAUUGGAAAUGUCGAAACAAGUCUGGCAACACGGACGGAAUCUUCGUUAGAAGUCCCGAAUAGAAAAAGUCUUCAUCCAUUGCUCGAAAAUAGGGUUUCGAAGCAAAGAAAUUAGCGUCGGCGGACAUCCGAAAAGUGAAACCUAUCGUGCGUACAGUCCAGAGUUCCGAAAUGAAACGCUGGUCAAUGGAAAAAUAAAGAGAAUCUUUAAAUUUUCCGAGAGUUCGAAAUCUCACUCAAAACGUUGCUUUAAGAGCGAAAUAGCCUAUUCUGGACACGCUCGCCAUAAGGCAGGUGUGCAGACGACUCGCACUAGCUCCGAAAGAAACAACGCCACAUUCCUCAAGCAAUUCCUGAACUUUCUUCUUCAUUAAUCUUUCUCAAAUAUCAAACUCCUGUCACACUUACACUGAUUCCACGCGUGAGUCGGAAAUUUAACUUGUUCUGAAAAUCCAGGUCUUACAGAGAAAACAAGUUAUUUGGACAGUUUUACAAAAAGCUCAAAACUUUUAGCACAGAAAGACAUAGAGAAAAGUGAUAGAAUUUACGAUCAGAGGUAAGGAAAAUCAUCAGUACCUCGUGGCCUACGCGUAGCAACGAAUAGAGCGACGAUCAGACAAAAAUCGGCGAAAAGCUCUCCUCCCUUUCUCUCCUUGAAGCUCGGGGGUUUGGGGUGUUGAUGGUGGUGAUGAAGUUUUGAUUUUUUUCAAGCUAUUUAUUGUUGAUGGAAAAUGCGGGAAAAUGAAAAUUUCGCGAUUCCGAUUUUCUUGUGCAUUCCUCUAUGAAUUCUAAGAUAGGUCUGGCGACAGAAUUCCAUAACUCAAAACAGGUUUCUCAGAAUUAAAGCAAACGAUCCAAAGUCGGUGUAAAUCUAUUUUACCCGAAAAACUACUUUUUGCAGUUGAUGUCGGAUGAGAAAACUUCUUUCUGAAGAAAGAUUAGAAACUUCGAAAGAAAUAGGUGAACGCGUGUGGAAUCUUCGUUUGAAGCUCCGAGUAGAAAAAGUCUUCAUCAACAGUUUACUUUAAGGUUCUUGAGCUAUCAGGGAUUCAGUUUCGGCAAACUUCCAAGAAUCGGAAACGAUAAUUCGUACAUUCCAGGGUUUCGUUUCGAAACACUUGUCGUGGAAAGGAAUAAGAGAAAUUCGUAUAUUCCUCUGAAUAUUUUUGAAUAUCGUUGCUACAGUGCUUUAAGAGCAAAUUAGCCCUUUACUAACGUUUUCGCCCUAAGGCGGAAGUGAAUAAAACUCGUGCUAUAAACUAUAUCGACUAUAGUACUAUUCUUAGUCAUUUCCUGAACUUUCUUCUUCAUAAUAUUAAUCCAACCAUCAAACGAAAGUCAAGUUCCUCUCACGCUUACACAGAAUCCUAUGUGUGAGCUGGAAAUUAUUUAUUUAUUUAAUUAUAAAAUCUUGGGUUUGACAAUANNNNNNNNNNNNNNNNNNNNNNNNNNNNNNNNNNNNNNNNNNNNNNNNNNNNNNNNNNNNNNNNNNNNNNNNNNNNNNNNNNNNNNNNNNNNNNNNNNNNGUGGAUUAGGUGAGGCGCUAAGAUAUGCGUUGCAGAGCAGCGAAUGACGAAAUAGGAGAAGAAAGUAAGGAAAUGAAGGAGGUAGUGAGGUUCUGAAACCACCCGAUUCAACCACUGCAGCACUGGAAGAACGCUGCUAUUCUCCUUUCCCAUCUCGCUCAGAUCUUAAUUUUUGACAACACAACACUCUCACCACAAUUCUACCCUUCCCUUCCCUUCCCUUCCCUUCCCUUCCCUCUUUUCCUGCUGCUCCAGGAAGUAAAUUGUGGGCUAAUUGCGAUGUUAUUUUCAUGUUGGGUAACCCAAUGGCUGAUUCCAUUUUAAGGCCCAUAAAAUUCCGCGACCUCUCUCCUUACCAGAUUGAGUGAAUAAUAAUAAGAGAAUGGUCAUCAAUUUAGUUUGUGUUUGUAAGUUUUUUCGAUCUAUCACCUUUGGAAAAUAAUUUGGUCUCGGUCUCCACAAUUGUGGAAUCUAUGGUUUGGAAAUUGUUAUUAGAAUCCCCCCCCCCCCAUUUAUUCAUAAACACACCCCUACCCCUCUACACUACAAAAAGUCUAAAAUACUUUUCUCUCAUUUUUGUUUUUUGUUUUGUGGCUUAUGUCAAGAAUUUCAAUCUUGGUACAAAUAUGGCAAGAACAAAGAAUCCAGACUGCCCAAGUCAACCCCGCGCGAGCAGAGUUCUUCUUACGGCGUCCAACCUCCUUUCAAAGACCUAGGAGUCUUCGCCUACCAAUACUUUGAAGAAGAAGAUUUAGCCAUUGGUUGGUUUGGCUACCACUCUAGUGGAGCACCGUGAUAAGGCGCCUAUUUAUUACUGGAUUUUUUUUAUGAUCUCAAGACGACUUAAGAAGCUCGUGCAGUACAAGACCUGAACCCGAAGAGGCCAUUGUAAUAAACCUCAGAAGGAGACCAAUAUGGUGAUGCUAUAGUUGUGAGGAGCAGGAGGAGGACUAUCCUUCCAGGGGCUUUUGGAUGACAUAUUCAAGAACUUCNNNNNNNNNNNNNNNNNNNNNNNNNNNNNNNNNNNNNNNNNNNNNNNNNNNNNNNNNNNNNNNNNNNNNNNNNNNNNNNNNNNNNNNNNNNNNNNNNNNNAAAAGAAAAUUGUUAGAUUUAAAAAAUAUUCAUCCAAAGGAAAAAGCAAAUGCAAAACUUCCCUUGGGUUGGACUACAUUCAUCAAAGAUUGAACCAUAUAGGGUGCAUUAGUAAGGUCGAAGAGCAAAGACAAGGAAUUCAUAAUGUCCCUCAUGUGUCUGAAAUGCAGUUUUUUAAUAUCUUUUUCCUUCAUUCAAAUCUACUCACCAGAUUUCAGGUCCAAUUUAGAAAAGUUAGCAGCCACGAAUAGCUCAUCGAAUAACUCAUCAAUGAUGGGAAUAGAGAACUUAUUUGGUACUGUAAUCUUGACCAAGAAAGAGAUGGGCCUAGAAUAUGGAUUAACACUAAGUUUUAUAUUUACAAAUUACAACCUUUCCACAUAACCUCUCUAUGCCAGUCUAUUGGUAAUAUGGGUAUCUGUAGCUUUCCACCAUGGCCGAUUUCCCGCCAUAUGUCCGCCAUUUCAGCCAUAUUCCGCCAUUAUUUGUCAUUAAUGGCAGGAUUUUGGCUUUCCGCCAUGGCCCUACAUCCACCACAUUUAACAACACUAGGCCCUCAAAAUAGGCAUUGAAUCUUCCUCCUUCAAGGUGAUUGCAUGGUCUUACAACCUUGCAAGUUGCAAGGGUAGUUCCCAUGGUUCGUGAAAGAAAUCUUCUGUUCAUCAAUCUACAGCAACGUGAGUCCAACAUCAAUCCCAAUCGUUGCUGGCUAGGACUACUGACCUGACCACCAGGUUAUCACGGAUUGGGGCUAGGGUUGUCUCUCAUUACACGUUAGGCUCUUGUACCAUGUUAAAUGAAAAGAAACUGAGAGGUACUAGACUGAUGAUAGGGUCAAGAGGAUGCAGAAACCUCCUAUCAGUAAAGUCUAUGUCAGACGCAAGAAGGGGAAUUAGCUUAGUGCUUAAUAAACCUUGUGGUUAGGGAAACUAUAAAUAAGAACCUAUGGUUCAUAGUUAGUUAGCUUUUGCAUAUUGUUGGGCUGUGAUAACUGAAUCAGGGGAUUCAGUUAGGUAGUUACAGACUUUCAACUGAAUUGGGAUUCAGUGGAAUUGGGAUUCAGUUGAGCUUCUCUGUUUCUGUUAUCUUCUUCUUUCUCAGUGUUCAUCUUCUAUCAAGCUUUCAUAUUCAGAUAUUGAUUCAGUUCUGCAUUCUCUGUUGAGUUUUCUGCUACAAUUGUUAGUNNNNNNNNNNNNNNNNNNNNNNNNNNNNNNNNNNNNNNNNNNNNNNNNNNNNNNNNNNNNNNNNNNNNNNNNNNNNNNNNNNNNNNNNNNNNNNNNNNNNAAAAAUUUUUGAAGAGGAGAAAAAUGUGGGUUAAAGUUUAAAGGGGGGUGGGGGGUAAAAGGUCUCUUAUACCCCCCCUAUACCGCUUUUAAUUUUACCAAAAGGAAUUCCAAAUCCAAAAAAAAAAAUUUUAUUUCACCCUGUUUUUUCCCGCGAAAGGGUUUAUUCUUUUUGGUUACUAAAGUGACACCUGGAAAUCGGGGUGUUACAUUGUGGUAUCAGAGCUUAGUCGAGUCUUUUGGGAGUCUUUGGGGAAUAGGUCUUCUGUGCUAGGUUGUGUGACUCUGCAAAGAGUGAAAAUUGAUUGUCUGCAGAGCGAUUUUCGCUCUAAUUGUUUGCGUUACUACUUAAUCGGAUUGAGUGGUUUGUCUAGUGCUACCGUAUGGCUAGUACUAAUCGGACGUUUGAUGAGAUAUAGGAUGGUGGACCUUAACCGGAUGGCGGGGGCAAUAGCUACACUGAUCGAGGCAAUGAUGAACCAGGCUGCGGAAGACGCUUAUAUGCGCGCUGAAGAGGCUGCACGUGAGCAUCACCAACGAUUGAUGGCGACGGCGAUGUAUCAACAAAGAGGAAUGAACCGAACAGGAGCUGGGGGACCAAUAAGGUCAGGAUCUCAAGGCUACAACAGAAGGGAGAGCUACCAUCAGUGGGGACCGUAUCAGCGUUUCAAGGGAAGAGAUCUUAUCUCAAGAGUCUACAAACCAACGACUGCUGAUACUGGAGGGGAGCCAGUUGGUGACAAAGGUGUGACAUGUACUCGUUGUGGAAAGUUUGGGCAUUUUGCUAACAAGUGCUCAGUGACUGGAUGGAGAUGCUUCAAGUGUAACCGAGAGGGGCAUCUAGCUGUGAACUGCAAGACACCCCAGGAGGAAACGUCUGAUAGUAAGAUGAAAGGGAAUGAUGCUACCGAAGGGACAUGAAACAAGACUUCGGGAAGAGCAGUGACGUGUUACAGGUGCAGGGAAGUAGGGCACUAUGCUAGUAAGUGCAAGAUCAAGGGAAAACUAUGCUUUAAUUGCAACCAACCGGGACAUUUCUCCAGAGAUUGUAAGGCACUCAAGGGCGAAUCAUCAGGGAAUGUUGGGAAAGGAAAACAACUUGCUACAGAGGAAAGGAUUCAUACCAAGGAGGGAGCAAGAGUUGAGGAGUCGAACGAGGAAGAACGUGGGAACGAUGGUAAUAUUUUAACUGUUCUCUUAUUCUAGAAUAACUUACUCUUUUAUCUUCGAAGCGAGUGUGACGCGCCUAACUUGUAUUUACUACUUAGACUAUGAUCUUAUGAUUAUUAUUCCUAGUAGGACCUUAUUCGAGGUUGCUCGUGAUUUAACUAUAGAAGUUACACGGGGCCUAGGAUAGCACGCUGAGCUAGGGAGUUGUUUUACCGAGGCGUCGAUAAGGAAGCUAGGACCUCAGGGGAAUUCCUUAUGGGUACGAUACGUAGGAUUUUAGGGCGUUUAGUUUGAAGCGGAGUCGUNNNNNNNNNNNNNNNNNNNNNNNNNNNNNNNNNNNNNNNNNNNNNNNNNNNNNNNNNNNNNNNNNNNNNNNNNNNNNNNNNNNNNNNNNNNNNNNNNNNNUCGAUCUGUUGUUUGGUAUAUGUUUCUCAAAACAUGAUUGAAGUACCAACUUUCAAUAAUAAUUUGUGGUUUGGGAUUCCUGAACUUUUAGUGUCGUUAAAAAAUUCUGUGGUAAACCACUCACCUCAAAUUUCAGAAUCUUCAUCAGAUCGCAAGGCAUAGUCGGAGCUCAGAUAUUCAUAUUCUGGUGCAGCUAUAAUGCUAGACAUGUAAGUGUUUAUCAUUUCAACAACCUCCAGUGUAGGGGCCAAAAUUGUUCUAUCUUGAAAGAAUUGCGAGUCUUUCAUUUUGUGCGUAAGGCCAGGAUAUGUAUAUUUAAUGAAUUUCAUUAAUGAGUCAGGACUAAUUGGGAUGAGCAGAUCUGGCAGGAUUUGAACAUCAUACUCUCAUGCUUUGGAAUCAGGAUGAUCGUCAUUUCCAAUUUUAAGAUUCCAAUAUGCUUACUCUUUGAUUUAUUUUGUCUGAAAUCACCUCCAAGUAGUACAAAUUUUCCUCUAAAAGGUUUAUGUACGUUAUCUUCAUUUUUCAAUCUCAUUAAAUUUUGAGUGUAACGUCUAGAGUUUCGAAACAAAACUUUUUAACAUUGAAACUCCAUCCCAUAUAAUAAGGCUUGUUUCAAGUAGAAGCUUUGUUCGUAGACUUCAUUGCUUUAUAUUACAUGUUGACCUCUUUGUAGCAUCUAAUAGAGUGUAAAAUUUAGAAUGAGUUGUUCUGCCUCCAGGAAAGAGUAAUGAUACUAUGCCACUGGAAGCAACAUUAAGCACAAUUAGUCCUAUGUACCUAAGUAACACAGAUAAAGUGUUCCAAACUUAAAGUCUUUAUGGUUCCACCAUUGUUUAAUAAUCAACCGCGCUUGCUGAAUACUUCUCCAUAUGUAGUUAGAUAGAUUUCAUAGUCCAGCAUGAAUAAAAUGAGUUCUUGAAAAGUACCUAAUUUUUAGACAUUUAGUCAUAAGUGCAUCCGAGCAAUUAGAGAGUCUCCAACAUUGCUUAGCAAAAAGAGCAUCAUUGAAAGCCUUAAAACUUCUAAACCCCACACCUCUCUCCGCGGUAGGAGAACAAAAUGCAUUCUAUUUCAAACCCAAUGAAUCUCUAUCCACCUUACGACAUACUUUCUCUAUAAAGAUUUCAUAAUUUUAUAUAGUUUUAGUCCUAAAAUAUAUUUUUAGUCCUAAAAUUAUAUAGAAAUUAUGAAAAAUACUAAAACUUGCUAAAAUUUAUUUUUUUAUAAAUUUAACAUGAAAAUAUUUUAUUGUAAAAUGUUAACAUGUAAUUCAAACAUUAAUAAUAUUGUUUAUAUUGAAGUUAUUUCAAAAUAAUUUAAUAAUACUUAAAAAGAAAUAUUAUCGCAAAAAUAAUAAAAUUAUACGUAUUCUUUCUUCUAUUAAUGACAAAACUAAUAUAAUCAAAUGUAAAAUUCUCAUUCUCGUGAGAUGUCUUUAUUUAAUAGUAUUUAUAUUAGUGUGAACAUGCGCAGUGUUAUAUAUUUUUGUUUUUAAUUGUUAUUCACACAUGACAUAAUUUUUUUCAACCUAAACUAUUCAUCCUCAGUAACCAAUUUCUUCAUUACAUGUGCUUGAAGUAAACAGUAAAUAACUAACUAUGAAAUGUGCUCCGCCACAUAAAAUUAGAAAUGAGUUACUUUAGGCAUUUACUUUCUAAGAUUCAUUUGAUUCAUUGUAUCUUUUAAUUACGAAUUUCAGUUCAAUUGGUCAAAGUCCUAAUAAAGAUGACUCGUUCACAAAUUAUAAUAGUGAGAGAGGCUUUUAUCCAUUAUAUCUCAUUUUUUAUUAGUUUGUACUAAAGAGUAAAUAACUAACUAUGAAAUGUGCCGCGUCACAUGAAAUAACAAAUGACUUAGUUUAGGCAUUUAUUUUCUAAGAGUCGUCUGGUUCAUUCCAUCGUUUAUUUACCAGUUUAAAUUUAAUUGAUCUAAGUUCAGAAAAAAUCACAGUGAGAGACCUUGCUCCCUUGUAUAUUCCUCUACUUACAAUUUCCUUCUCUUACUGGAUCAAGGGCCUUACUCACAAUUUCCUUGUCUAGCACAAAUGAGUCUCAAUGUUGUACUUAACAUAGCAUAUGUUUCAAAUAUUAAUAUACUGAGCAAUGAUUCCUUCAUGUGAAAUUGUAUUAGAGCCUGUUUGAUCUCACAUCAGCUAAUUGUGUGAUCCCUACUUAAGCAUUAAAGGAAGAAUUUAAACUUUAAAAUGGAAAUGUGCCCCGUAUCAGAUAUAUACUUCAUUUAAUUGUAGGAAAAAUGUAACACCUCUUUGCCUAAUAUAUAUCAAACAGACAAAAAUGACAUGCUAAACUCUAAUCAACUGAAUAAUAUCUCUUUGGUUUAUGCAGAAACCAGAGGUUACUAACAUUUUUAUCUUCUUCAAUAAACAUGGGAAGAAGAUGUCAAGUGUAAGACCCGGAUUUGCAGAACUGGAUUUAAAGUGUAAUUUCCGACUCACGCGUGGAAUCAGUGUAAGCGUGACAAGAGUUUGCUGUUUGGGAAAGUUUAAUGAAGAAGAAAGUUCAGGAAUUGCUUGAGGAUAGUACCAUAGUUGUUUUAGGAGUUAGUGCGAGUCGUCUGCACACCCGCCUUAUGGCGAGAGUGUCCAGAAUAGGCUAAUUCCGCUCUUAAAACAAUGUUUAAGCGAAAUUUCAAAUCCUUAGAAAAAUAAGAAGUUCUCUUUAUUUUUCCUUCGACCAGUGUUUCAUUUCGGGACCCUGGACUGUACGCACGAUAGGAUUCACUUCUCGGAAGUCCGACGACGCUAAUUUCUUUGCUUUAAAAACCCUAAAUUCAAUCAUUGAAUGAAGACUUUUUCUUUUCGGAGCUUUUAACGAAGUUUCCAUCCGCGUUGCCAGAUUUCUUUCGACGUUUCCAAUCUUUCUUAAGAACGAAGUUUUGUCAUCUGACCUUCACAGCAAAAAGUAGUUUUUCAGGGCAAAUUAACUUACACCGCUUUUGGAUCGUUUUUCUCAAAUUCAAGAAACCUGUUUUGAGUUCUGGAAUUCUGUCGCCAGAAUAUCGCUUAGAAUUCACCGAUGAACGUGCUGCUAAAAUCGGAAUCGCGAAAUAUUCAUUUUACCGCGAUUUCACUCUCCUAUAAAUAGUGGAAAAAUCAAAAUAUCUCACCAUUCCACCACAUAGAGGCCGCGGGUUUGAAGGAGAGGAGAGGAGAGGGGAGAAGAACUUCGUCGUUUCUCGACCGAUCUUCGAGCAGUUUGUCUCUAUUUCACGGCAUCGAGAUAACUUGCUUGAUUCUUACCUUUGAUCAUUCUUUUUGUCGCGUUUCUUUAGCUAUUUCAGUGCUCAAAGUUUCGAGCUUUUCGUAAAACUGUCCGAUUUUCCCGAUUUUUCUUUUGAAAUACCUUCCAUGCUUGCCCAACAACCUAGAACACUCGCCGUUGUGCGCCGAUUUCGAUCGAGUCGCCGAGGAUCUGAAAAACUGUAUAAAAACCCGUUUUGCGCACAUAUUGAAACUUUAAUGUCGAAAAGUCACAAUCCGACUCAGUGCCUUUAGGAUUAGUUGCUACAAAUGUCGUUGUGAACGUUCCCACCAAAUUUGUUUUCCGAAGUUUUAACUUUGAGUUUUUGAGCUUUAAUUUUGGACCAAAAUGCCCCUAACUAGUCGUAUUUCGACCUGGUCGUUCUAAAAUUUUUCCGACAGUUUCUUUACUCUAGUUUUACCCUAAAACUACCUAGGAAUUAAUUUAGAUCGAAGAAAAAGCGCCGGAACCCUUUUCUCUUUAGGGCCGAGAGCAUGUUUAGGGGGGGAGGUUUUCGUUUUUGCGAUAACUCGUCCUCUCGUGCUCGAUUGUUGUACUCUGAAGCUUUAAAUACUUUGUCUAUCGUUAAUUAGUUGUGUGUGAUCGAGCUAAUCGAUUUUGUAUGGAUUUCUGCUUUGUUUUCUCCGAGGUUCCGUUGAAGGAACUUUGGGUUCUACGGAGCAACUUUGUGAGGAGAACCUAUACCGUGAGGCUGGAACAACUCGAGGUUAGGGCAACUUACCUAUUAGCUAAGAUUGCAUGAUAGGCGUCGAUAAAUUCGACUUGUAUAUUAUUUUGAUAUUGGUUAUGAUGAUGAAUUAUUGUUAUGUUGCUACCAUGACUUAUGAUAUUGAUGUUUUAUUAAAUUGUGCGCAUUGACGCGUUUUCGGAGCGAAGAAUCACUGAAUUGAUUUCUUUUGAUCUUUCGGGUUGGAGGAACAACCCUAGGCAAGUCCAAACAUGGGGUUUGAGACCUAGCCAUUCGUUUGUAUUCUUAGACUUUCCCCGGUGUUUACAUUUGGUGAGGUUUUUGGCAAACUUAGAAAGAAUAGAAUUUUGGAAACUAGAGACUUUAGGAAACUUAGACUUCAAGAAUUAAACUCAUAACUUGACUAAUUCAAUUCGAAACGUUUUCAUUAACGAAUAAACCAUAGGGAAUCUAAAAGGGAAAAUGAUUGCGAAAGACGGGGAAAAGUCGACUUUGUCGUGGGUUCUAGAGAAUUGGUGGACAUCACGGGGGUGAGCCACGGUGACUAGAGGAAGUCACCGAGUACUUGGGUACUCUUGUUGUUGGAGUUAUGUCGUAGGGUCGGCAUUAAACUCUUGAGUUUUGAAUUUGAGAAUUAAGCUAAACACUUGCGUUGUGAGGACGAUUCGAUGUUUGGCUAACCAUAUUGCAUCAUGCAUACAUUCGAGGUUUGUACGAUUGAAAGAUUGGGCCUCGGUGAAGUUGGGACGGCUUCACGAAGGUUGUGACGGCCUUCAUCGAAGAACACUUGGAUGUAUCUUCGGCAUAGCGGGCAGAGUGGUACGACCUAGGGUGGUUGGGACUGAUCUGACUAUGCAUGGGUUUGUAAGUGACACCCGAGCGGAAAUGGUUAAACACUAGGCCGGUGUUAGGACUGACUCGAUGGUGCCCAUCCCAAUUGAACUAUCCGGAUCAUAUUGAAUUGCAUUUCACGCAUACAUUCACCCUGACUUGAAUUGUAUGUUAUCUGAAUUAUCGAAGCAUUGUUAGAGCCGAUAACAUGCUAGGAUUAUUUAUAUAUAUAUAUAAACAUAUAUAUCUAUACCCCAAUCACCUGUUGUAUGUAUAAAUUACUUUAUUCUGUGAGUUGACCCUAGCGCCUUGGCUUUGGUUUCAUGUUUGUGUUUGGGCGGUCGGCCUGCUGCCAGAUGUCGAUGGCGGACUGGUUUUCGAUGGUCUCUCCCUCGGGGGGGAUCAGGUUUGAGUUGGUUGACCGGCAUGCCCCCACCGCUUGGGUGAUCGAUCCUGUGGAUCAUCGGGCGACGUACCGGGGAAGGGUCAUGGAGGACCGUACUGACGAGCGUGGACGUCUGACGAGGGAAGUUCUACGACGCAUGGAGCUGAGCUUCAACUUGCCGCCUUCAGUUCGCUGUGGACCGGGUACUGGUCGAGGACCACCUGCACCACCUUCAUCUUCAUCUGAUGACCAGGACCCAUCCGAGAUCGAGGCUGAUGUUGAUGCACCUGUCGCGCCACUUCCUGCUACUGAUGUCGAUCCUACCGACGUUGCGUCGUCCUCGAGGCUCGUGGAGCCGAAGAGGGAGCAUGUUGUUCCAUCUGCCUCUCGCUGUUUUCCGUUUACUCCAUCACGCGGCUACCGUGUGGAACCCCUGGUUCGUGUGGUGGAGGAGGAUAUCCUUUCUAAGGAGGUAGAUGUUGGGAUGGGCUCGACUAGGGUUGUUCGCAGGACAGUUAGGAAGGAGGUCGUGGACUUGGAUACCGAGAUGAGCACGGUGGACUCUGACUCCGACACCGACGUCGACAGCUACUCGCCGAGCGACGAGGAGGAGGAGGAGGAGCUUUGAGUGGUAUUGGGAGGGUAGGUUUAGACAACGUCAUAUUUUGUGUAGAGCUCUGAUUCGUUUUGCUUUUUGGGACAGGGUAGGUUCCCGACGCAUGGCUUUUUGUGUGGUUCUCUUACUGAGGGAUCACAGUGAGUCAGUCGGACCAUAGGGGUCUUUGCUGAGGCCAUUUUGAGGCCGACUUACUCUUGGAGGAUUGUAAUUAUGACUUUUACUCACACUUCUGGAUCUGUACAUAUUUGCCUACGGGCACACUACUUUGGAGUCACUGUGAGUGCGCGUGACGUGAGAGUGCAGCUGAGGCUGUACAUGUUUAUAUAUGUUGUACAUCGGUUAGUUUAGUUUGCUGGGUCAUGCCUUUAUUUUUCUAUCGCUUUAUUAAAAAGAAAAAAAAUAUACCUGUUUUUCGCGUAAAGUUUAUUUUUGAGUUACUAAAGUGACACCUGGAAAUCGGGGUGUUCCAUCAAAUCUCUCCAUCCCACUCAAAGACCUGGAAACAUCUGAUUCAAGCAAUUCAUUGAAAACAAUUGACUUUGAGGAGGACAUGAAAAUAUGACAGUCUUCAAGAGAAAAAUUUAAAUUAUAUGUUGUCUUCAUUCCCUUAAAUUUUUUUACAUCAAAUGAUCAUAUAUUACAAUAUUGAAUUAGAUCAAUAGCUUUUUGACACAGAACCAAUGUUUUUCAUUAGAUUUAAAAAAAGCAAGUCCUGAAGAUUAGUUAAGAUAAACAUAAAAUCCCCUGAAAACUAAAUAGAAAUAGAAGAUUUUAGUGUUAAGUUAAACAGAUACCUAUGCUUAUUAUAUAGAAUUUAAGUAGGAAACCAAAUAAGUUCACUCAAACAUCAAAUCUUCAACAAUCCUACCCUUCUAGCCAUUACACAUAAUGGUACCUUGCAGAAGUAUGAUCUUCUUACAAUAUUCACCGGCCAUGGAGCCACAAUGCUUGAUAUUUGCUGCUAUGGUUUAACCUGUAUGUAUAACAAAGAUAUUUUCUUAGAUGAUAUUUUAUUAGGGAACACAAUUAGAUUUAGAUUGUGAUUCAAUUAUCUAGUAUUUCCCUUUGUUUUUCAAACGGAAAGCCUAAGAAGAGACAAAAGAAAAAAAUACAAAAAAUAAAUUUGAUUAUAAUCUAAUGGGGAUCCAUAAUCCUCUUCCAUUCAUUUCAGAACAGUCAAUCAAAGAAGUAAAACGUUGUAUGAUAGUAUAAUUUUAUUAUGAAGGGAAAAAAUAGUUCAAUAGUGUAUGAUCUAUGUUGCACGGAUACGGGUACGGUACCGGUACCGGUACGGGUACGGGGUACGCCAUUUUUUGAAAAAACAGGGUACGGGUACGCCGGUUAUAUACAAUAUUAUUAAUUAAGAAUAUCAAAUCUCUUAAUGUACAAUACUCGUAUUUUUUGGCUAAUACUCAUAGCAAAGACCAACAUGAAAGUCAUCACAGAACGGUGGAUUCAAUGGUGGCAUGAUGGGGGGAAGAAGAACGUGAUCGACUCUCUCUCUUCAUUCUUCAUAGCAGUCGUAUGUUAGAAAGAAUGAAAGGUAAAUUAGGUUUUGGUCGUUUGAAUAAAUUGAGAAUAAAUUUUUUAAUUUUUAAAAUUACAUAAAAAACUACAAAACGACAUAGUUUUGAACAUUUUUCAUUUAAAAAAAAAAAACUUAUCCGGCGUACCCUCGAUGUACCCAGAACGUACUCACGGAGUACCCAAAACGUACCCACGCCGUACCCGGUUUUUUUUGUUUGGCGAUGCUUUUGGGUAUGUACCAGGUAUGUACCAGGUACGUACCCACGGCGUACCCACUGCGUACCCGUACCGGGUACGUACCCGGUACGGGUACUCUGCCAAUUUUGGCGUACCCGUGCAACAUAGUGUAUGAUAGACCAACAAUAUAACAAAUUUGAAUAGAUACAGAUCUAUCUAAAUGUUUUCUGGACUCAAAUUUAGCCUUCUCAUCCUUCAACUAUUCUUUGGCACAGUCUAGCCUCUGCAUAUACUAUUUUUUACAGCGGCCCAUUAUGCUUUCAAACAUGCUAUGCUAUGCGAUAUUACAUUAAUGCAAAAAUAAGUAUAUUAUAUAUGCAUCAACUCAAUUGAUAAGAAAAACUAUACCUUCCCAUAAUGAAUAAGUAAAACUUAAUUGAAACAUCAUGAAUUGGAAAACUUUAAUAAGACGAAUUUCAUUCAUAAAUCAAUACAAAUGCUCACAACAAAGGCAUUACAAUGCAGUUAGCGCCAUUGUUGUCAAAGAGGUAAAGAAAUUACAUUUGUUGCAAUUUGGAUACAAUAGAUUUAGGGGAAAACUUAGGUGCAGUUGUAUACCUGUUGUUGGUGUUGUUUGCUAAUAGGAAUAAAACACGUGGAUUAUAAUUAAACCUCACCAAAAUCUAAUUAUAUUAAAUUUCACACCGUUACCCUCCGUUAUCUCUUAAAAAUGGUUUCUUUCUCCCCCUUUUCACUCUGCCUCCCACCACAACAAUCACCUUCUGGCUUCUGUACACCGAUUACGGCAAACACGCUGGUCGUUGGGCAUGUCUUCAUUUGUGAUUCUGCAUUCACGCUGUGUAAUUCACUCCCCACGUUUUGCCCUUUUCCCUUUUACUAACCUGCUCCCCACGUUUUUCUUCAACGCUUAAUCUUCUCUGUUCUUCACGCUGUGGGAAUCAAAAGAAACGUUCUGUCUUCUGCAAUCACAAAGUUCUCUUUGCUUCACAGAGUUAACACUUAACAACAAUGAAUACAUGGGCUGUAGCUACAGAGAAAGGGGAUGAACCUGUUAUUUCUGAUUCCAAUGGUAUGUAUUCUUUUUUAAUACAAUUCUGGGGGUUUUCUUUUAAUUGGAAUUAUUUUCUUGCACCAAUUCCAAUUACAAAGUAUUCAUAUUUCAGGAGGUUUUUUCUUUUAGUCUUUGCAAAGCACAGAUAGCAUGAGCAUUCAUUCACUUUUAUGAAAAUCAAAUACUAUUACUCCAUGAAAAUCAAAUAGUAUUACAUGGAAAUGUAUGAAUUCAAUCCAUGUGCUUGAUCUAAAAACGGAAGCGGAAACCUUUUUUUUUUCAAACCAAAGCCUAUGUUUAUGCACUAUUAACUUUCAUUAGUACUACAUGUUAUUCCUUUGUUUAUAAAUUGUUGAGCCAAGAAUACAAUAAUUUUAUAUUUAAUAUAUUAUCUGUUUAUGUAGUUAAAUGGAAGGAUAAUAUUGAGGAUGAAGUGACUCAUGUUAACUCUAACAAAGCAUUUUGCUUGGCUUUGUCUCAUGUAAUUGGAAGUUAACAAAUAAAGGCUUACAAUGAACCACUUUGCUGGAUAUAAAUCAAUUUCCAUUCUCAUUCAUCAUAGAAAAUAAAAAUCAUUUCAUUACAUGCUAAUGAUAUAGCCAUAUCACUUGCCAUUUGGUACAAAAGAGCCUACAUUACAUAGAACAUACACUACCAUAGUUCAUUCUAACUAAUAAAAAGAGAAAAAAAUCUACAGCCAAUGAAAAAAACUACAGCCAAUUAAACCAGCAAAAAAUAGGAAGAGGUCCAUAAUUGUGAUAAUUGCAGCCGCACACUUAAAGAGGUUUCUAACACUACCAUACACUUUGCUAACCACUGCCACCUUCUUUGGGUGAUUUUCCUCUUCAAAGUGCCACAAGCUGCAUUUGGACACACCCUUCUGCUCAAUAAUAGACUUGCAACACAUUCAAGUGCCCUUGCCCAGCUCAGGUACCAUCACAGCGGCAAAGGUCCAAAUUCACUCUCAAAGCUUUUAAUAUCAAAAGCUUAUAGGCCUUCAACUACCACCUUCCUUGUGUGAUUUUCCUCUUCAGUACCCCAGCUGCAUUUGAAUUUUAGUUUCAAAUUUUACUCUGCUCUGUCACAGAUCUUCAAAUUGAAGGGGUUUUGACUUCUGACGCCAAACACCGGCAACAGAAAUCUAAAACCUUCCCUUUAAUCAUGGAUUCCAAUUCUUCCAUAAACCUUCCUUCCACCCACAGAUCUGCUCAAACAAUAACAUAAUGCUCAAGUACCCACGUUCCGUUUCCAAUUACAAACCCUUCCAGGCAAACAAAUUAUAACUUUUCCACAUAAAACAAUAAAUGGGUCUGCUGCAUAACCUCAAUAUGAAAUGGGUCUGCUGCAUAACGUGAAGUUAGAGAGAGAGAGAGAGUGAAUGGAAGGCUUGGAAGAAGGGGAAGGAAAGAAGCAGCGUGAAUGCAGAAUCACAAAUGAAGACAUGCCCAACGACCAGCGUGUUUGCCGUAAUCGGUGUACAGAAGCCAGAAGGUGAUUGUUGUGGUGGGAGGCAGAGUGAAAAGGGGGAGAAAGAAACCAUUUUUAAGAGAUAACGGAGGGUAACGGUGUGAAAUUUAAUAUAAUUAGAUUUUGGUGAGGUUUAAUUAUAAUCCACGUGUUUUAUUCCUAUUAGCAAACAGUACCAACAGCAGGUAUACAACUGCACCUAAGUUUCUCCCAUAGAUUUAAGAUAUUACCUUGUAGCUCAUUGACUUUGCGUCCUCCUUGUGAACUUUUGAGUCUCCUACCACAAAAUUUAAUAGAAGCAACACCGUAUUAAAAAUUGAGCAACACCGUAUUAAAAAACUCAGUUCAGAAAGAUGAGGUCAGAUAAGAACAAAUAGGGGAAGAAAACUGUGGAAAUUGAGAACAAAUUAAUCAGAAGAUAUGGGUCUACUUUGAAGUUGAUCCUAUUUGAAACUGUAACAGAUUCAAUUUUGCAGUCGAAUUUUUGAACUCAAAUUGGAAUUGCAGGUCAAGGAUAUCUUUGGUUGAUCCUGCAACAGAAAUAAAUUUUUGAAAAUAAAUAAAUUACCUAAUUUGAAGAUGUAACUGAAAUGGUUAUUAUGAAUAUGAGAAAUUUGAGGUACCUAGAGUGAUUGUGGAGAAAUUUAUGGGAUUCCUUCAAUUAGGGGAAAUAGAUGGGUUGGCGGCUCAAAAUUAGGGUUCCUUGCGACUGAUAUGGGGAAAAGCGAGACCUGCAGUGACUGCAGAGGUCGACCCUGCCAUUGAAUUGAAAUCAUCUAGACUCCUCUUUGAUCCACUAUUCUAGUGGCUUCCUCAAAGUUAUUGCCAAAUAAGAAAUGCAAACUGGGUUUUGGGACCAAAAGAUACGAACUUUAAACACCAUUGUUAAAAAAGAUGAGGAUGAAGUAGAUUGAAGCUUGAGAGAGACAGAGAAAGGAAACGCCGAUUGAAGAUGUAAAGAUGAGAGAGAGUAGAUUGAAGCUUGAGAGAGACAGAUACAGGAAACACCGAUUGAAGAUGUAAAGAUGAGAGAGAGGAUGAAGCAGAUUGAAGUUGAAAAGUUGAGGGAGGGAAAAGAGAAAAAUUUUAAAAACCCAAAAAGAUAAAAAGAUUGUUUCCAAAUAUUGACGGUGAGUAAAGGAAAAUUAAGAGCGAGAAGUUGUAAUAAAAUGAAUUUUUAUUAGUAUGAUUCAAAUUUUAAACAAUUGUGGACCUAUUUAAACAUGAUUCUAAUUUUAAAUUUCAAAAUGUAUUGAUUGAAUGAAUUAAAUUGUGAGAUAAUUGAUUUAUUCAUUUAUUGAGUCAUCAAUUUUGACCAAUGAAAAAUCAUCAAUUGUGGACCAAUAAGAAGAAGACAUUUGGAAAUUCAUUUUAACCACCAAUAGAAUUAAAACAUGUGUCAUUUAAGUUACUAUAUGGCCCACUUUGGUGGAUGAACUUUAUAUAUUAUUAAGAUAAGAUGCAUUAAACCAUAAAAGCUCACAUACCUUUAUAUUAAAUACAUUAAAAAAUAAAAAAUAAAUAUUAAAUAAAUUAAAAACUGAAAAAUAUUGUAUAAUAAAAAAUUAUUCAACUGCUUAUAUUAAAUAACAACAUUCAUAGACUUAAAAUUGACUUGAGCUUUGCAUUUGACAAAUAUUAAAAAUUAAAAUUAGUAAUAAAAUAAUAUUUAUUAAUAAAUAAUUUAGAUAAAAUACUUUUAAAAUAAAAAAAUUUCUAUAUAUCCAUAUCUAUCUAUAUACAUUUUUUUUAGAGCAAACUGAAUUAUUUUUUUCGAACAUAAACUGAAAUUUUAUGAAUAAAGAAAGACUUGAAAAAUAGCAUUAAACACAUAAAGAAAUAAUAAAUUUCUUUUGUAUUUAAAACAUUAAAUAAAAAAACUGAAAACUAAAAUAAAAACUCAUUAAACAUAAAUUAUUAAUUGUUAAACUUUUCUAUUUCUCAUAUUUAAAAUUAAAUAUUAAAAUUUAAAAUUUUCAAUUUCUCAUAUUUAAAAUUAAAUAAUAAAAUUAUUUAAGUUUUAAUUAUUCAUUACAACUUGAGGUGAAUUUUUAAAAACAAUAAUAAUUGAAAUUGACUACCUUUAAAUUAAUUUAUACUAUUUACUAAUUGUUCAUUUCUGUGGAUAUACAGUGUAAGAAAACAUGUCCUGAUAACUUAUUUAGUUAUGAUAUUAAAAACUUAUUACUUGGUUUAAUAUAUUUCAAAUUCACACAUUGAUUUUUUAUAUUUUUAAAUGAAUAAAAUAUUAAACUACUUCAAUGCUAAUUAUUUAAUAUUAAUUAUUAGAGAGAAAUGCAUACGUGUUUAAUAACAAAGUUCUUGCUGUUGAACAUAAAUGAGACUAUUGCUCGGUUCGUGUGUUUUGGUGGGUCAAGGGGAAGUGGAAUGAUUGUCCAUAUGAUUUAGAGCAGUUUGCUAGAGGCUUUGAGCGUAUUGAAUGGUCACUGAAACAAAAGAUGUCACGAACAGUGUAUUGGGAGACACUGCCAGCAACUGUUUUAAAGUUUAAUGUGGAUGGAGCGUCGAAAAGGAAUCCAGUGGUCAGUGAUUUUGGCAGGGUUUUGAGGGAUUAAGGAGGGGAGGUGUUAGGUUACUUUGCAAAAGGAACUAAAAUGUUGUGGCCUGUGGGCUUUUGACGAAUGUUCAAGUAGUGUUACAUGCUUUGUAAUUUUUUUCCAACAAUUUAAAUUUUCAAAUGUGGUGGCUGAGAGUGAUUCCUCCUUAGUGGUUGGGUGAGUGUCUAAGGGAGAUAGGAGGUCAUUGAAAUUGGAACAUAUAUUUAAUCAUAUAGAUCAUCUGAUGUCUAUAAUCAAAUGUGUUGGUGUAGUGUAUGUAUUGCGUGAGAGAAACAUUUUGACAUGUAUGUAUUGUGUGGUAGGGAACAACAAAUAUUGAUCUAUUGUGAUCUAAUGUAAUUAUCUAAAUGAAAAGGUUGUUCUCAUUUUGUUGCGUUUUAAUGAAGUUUUCUUUUAAAAAAAUCAAUUAUUAAAUUUGAGUAGUAUUAAUUAUUUAGAUUUAGAGAAAUCUAAUUUUAUUCAAUGAAAUGUCUCACGUCCAUUAUUAUUUAAUUUAUUAUAUUUUAUAAUAAAUAUAUUUUAAUAUUUAUUGAAACUAUAAUAAUCAUAUAUAAUUUUAAAAAUAUUAUAAAUAAACCCGUGCAACGCACGGGUAUUAUUUCUAGUUACCGAAAGCAUACCAAUAAAAGCAAUUAACACCAAUGAAUAUAUGUUGGGAAAAAAAAUCCUCAGAUUUAGCCAAACUCUAAAGAAUGAAGCACGGUACCACAUGUUUGAAUUCUAGAGGAUGAGGUUAAAGCAAAAACAACUACAUUACAAAAUAUAGAAGGUGGUCUGAUAUGGGCUUAUUGAUUAGUUGGGCUUAUCAGCCUAAUGUAAAUAUGGGUCAUGCAACCCAUGGUCCGGGCGGACCGAAACUCAAUCUAUAAAUAUCAGAUACCACCCAAGCGGUGGGGGAUCUAACUUUUCACGUAUUUUCUCAUUUUGUCAGUUUUCUAUCGCUCUCAAACUGGUUAGCCCUUGCUUGAUAGUUCCAUACCGGAACAUUGGCGCCCACCGUGGGGCAAGGUAAAACUUCCCCACCACCACAAAUCCCAUCCGUGACCAGAUCAUCAUAAUCUUUUCUACAACCACCGCUUUCAUCCUUUUCCACCGCCAAUCAACAUCUGGUGGCAUCUUAAGUUUCAAGUUCUUCCUCUUAACAAAAGGAUAGUGAACUUGAUGUCUUUCUUUCCUCUGAUGAAGAUCACGACACUAGUCUCGAAGAAGAAGAUGAUGAAUUCAUCGAUUGCGAUUUCUAUGAAGCGUCUGAAUCAGAUGAUCGUGAUGUUGAUGAUGAUGAGUUUAAAUCGGAUGACAGUGAUAUUGAUGAUCAAUCCCUCUCCGAUAAAGUUCUCUCCCUCUUUCGAGAAGGAAAGGAUAUAGAAGGUUUGAAAUUAAACGAAUGCAAAGCGUAUUUGCAGAAACACGGCCUGAGGAUUGCAGGAAAUCGAGCGGUUACAAGGUGAAAAAGAGAAGGGCAACCAAGAGAAGAAACUGCACAACCGCCACUUAGGAGAUGAACACACCACAUUCGAGUUGAAACUGCCCACUAUCAUUUUGUCUCAACUGCAAGUUCGGAGUUGCAACCGCUCAUGCUGUCUCAACCGCAACCUCUGAAUCGAACUCGUCCAUGCUCGACUGAGUGACAUCAGGCCAAAUUGAUUCAGGACCACUCUAAAAAACGGAUACGCAUCCUCGUUCUUUUGGAAUUUUUCUUAUACCUUCUGUUCAGUUUUGAUUCUAUUAGUUUUGUACUUUGAUUACCAAUAGUUGGAAAUUAAAUUCGUUACUCUCUUCUGUGUUUGAUUCAACAUGAAAAAUUGGAUCAGAUCAAGAAGAAAUUGUGGAGAAUCGGAUUGGCACGCAAACUGUUCGAUGAAAUUGGUGAACGAUUUCUUCACUUCAACUUUACAUAUGAGGCAAUCUCAACACGUUUGCUGCGGCGAUGGAGUUCUGGCGAACACGCUUGCUGUGGCGAUGGAAGUAUAGCGAGUAUGUUCGCUUUGGCGACACAAUCUUGGCGAAUACGUUCGCUUCGGCGGUGAAAUUCUGGCGAGCAAGUUUCGCCGGCGUUGAAAGUUCAACGGCAAACAAGUGUUAACUGACAUCUCUAUCUCUCACCUGUGGUGCUCAACGCCAAGGGCGAGCCAGACCUGAUUCAGGAUUGCUGAAACAUAUCCCAUUUCCUUCAAUUUUUCUUCUAUCUUCUGUUGGUUUUUGUUAAUAUCCUUUGAUUAUCAAAACUCUGGAACUAAUUUUGUCAUUCUCUUUUCUGUGUCCGAUGUGCGGAACAGAGGGGAACAUGCCAGAUGAAGAUGAAGGGAACAUGCCAGAUGUGCGGAACAGGGGAACAUUCUCAUGUUUGAGCCUGUCAUUCGUUUGAUGCAAUGACUGACUGAAUUUCCUUUGAUUCAUUCAUGUCUAAUUUUCACAUCCAUCCUUUGAUAAUUCUGAUAUAAUUUUCAUGUUGUUUAAGCGUUUGAUGAAUUGGUUAAUUAAAGUUUGUUCUUCAAUACCAUGUGGUUCUCCUGACUUUAACUUUUGAGUCUCCAAUUCCUUGGAAAUGUAAAUUUGCUUGGGCUCUAUGACGAUUGUUUAAAGUUUGGGGUUCAGAUAAUUCCUUAUCUCGCCUACAAUCCGGUUUAUCGAUUCCUCUACAUUCCACAUUCAUUCUACUAGCUGCGGUUUCCACUUACUUGCACUCAUUAAACUUAAAACUGGUUACUUUAGUGGCAUGUAGUGCUUGCUAAUUGUCGAGAAAUUUGAAUGCAUCUCUUUUAGUCUCUAGAGGUUACAUGUCCUGGGGGCUAUCCUAUGGGUAAGGUGCAGGGAUCUACCUCGCUUAGUCAUACAGAGAANNNNNNNNNNNNNNNNNNNNNNNNNNNNNNNNNNNNNNNNNNNNNNNNNNNNNNNNNNNNNNNNNNNNNNNNNNNNNNNNNNNNNNNNNNNNNNNNNNNNCUGAGCGUCGAAGCCAUUGGAGACAGCUUCGAGGCUAAGGAGUUUAGUUGGUCGGCGGAAUUGGAUCCGAGGAAGGAGAGAAGCUCGUCAAGUGUGGCGCCAUCUGAACCAGCGGCGACCAUGCUGAGCACAACCUGAAGCGACAAUGGCGAAAACACGAUGUUCUUAUCCUUAGAAUCUUUCAAGAACAAAGAUUUCGCAAUGCUAAAAGUAACGUCUGUUUCGCUGGUCGAUUCUGGUAAGCGUUUUAAUUUUUUCACAACCAAUUUUGUUGUCAUGUCCUCCCUCGUUGCUUUCUUCUCUCUUCUUAUAUUAUCAAAGGGAAAGGGAGGUGGAGGAUUAAAACGAGAAGAAAAGUUGAACAUUUUCUCAUGACGACCUUCAAAAUCAAAUGGACCAAGCUGAUGAUCAAUAUUCUGGAGAGCUGGAGUUACAUGGUGAGUUGGUCCAGAGUCAGUGCUUCCAGAAUCUGCCUGAGGAGAAGAAGGACGAAAAUCGAUCUGCUGAAACUGAAAUUGAGGAUGCAAGUUGAACUGCUGUGGAUAUGGUGAAUUAGCCAUAGAGAACUGAGACUGGUUCUGCCGCAGAUUUUGGGGAUAAGAUUGAUUGGAAGGCUGAGAAUUAGACUGAUUUGGUGCAAAAUUCUGAUCAAAGCGGUGGUCGCAGACAGCAGCAGUAUGACCAUACUUGAAGCAAAUUUGGCACUCAACAGAAGCAGAAGACGACAUUGUGUGGCUAGCUGGGUGGAGGUGAUGCUUGGGGUUGGGGAGUUUGUGUUUUCCAAGUGAGCCCUAGAAGACUAAUAGAGCUGGUGAUCCAAUAUAUAAGUAUAUCUUAACCUAUUAAUGAUUAAAUCAAAUCUCCCUUAAUAUCAGCUCAAUUUUCCCUUGAUUUUGGAGAUAAUAUAUUUCCUAUAUAAGAAAGAGAUAAUAAAAAAAUAGAUGAGAGAUUCAAAAGGAAAUACAUUUACCUUUCUCUUGUAACCAAAAAAAACGAAAGGAAAUACAUUUGAAUAUUUAAUCUCAAACCAACGAAAUUAUCCAUGAUUUGUUAGAAAAAAAAAUUUAACAAAAAAGAUAGAUGUAUUUAUGAUGGAUCCAAUUUAAUAAAAAUAGAUAAAACAACGAAAUCCAAUCAGGCCAAAAAUUAAAAGAAACUUCAUCUCAAACAAAAAUUUGAAGGAACUGAAAAUCGAAAAAAUUGGAUUUUUUAUUGUAUUAUAUUGGAUUUGAAUUUAAUUUUCAAAACCAAACUAACCCAAUUUAAAUUUAAUAUUUACAUAUAUAUCUAUUUUUUAAAAUAACAAAUAUACCUAAUUUUAUUCCUACGUAUAGUAUAUCAUCUUACAUUUUUAAAUCCGUAUACAUUUAACUAGAUACUUAAUUAUUAUAUACUUAUUCUAUAGCACGUACUUAAUUAUUUAUAAAAAUAUAUCUAAGUAAAUAUAAUUCAAAUAAAUGUGCACCAAAGUGAACACAUACUUAUAACUUUUGAAAAUAUUAUUUUUCAAAAAAAAAUAUUUAUAAUAAAUAAUAUUUUAUAAUUUAUCAAUGAUAUAAAUUAUAGAGUUUAAUGGAUAUGUACUGUCAUUGUAAAAAAGUUUUACACUGACAACAAAUCAUAAUAUACCACAUAGGAGAAAUAAUAAUUUUCAUUUUAAUUUUUAAUUAAAACAAAAAUACGUUUUAUAAUGUGUCGGAAUUUAAUUGGAUAACUAUGUAAAAUCUGUUUACACCGACUGUGUAUAUCUCUUUAAUUCUAAAUUAUAUAACAUUGGAGAGAAUCAACUAUAUAUUGAUAACUUAAUAUGCAAAUAGUGUGAUAAAGGAAAAUAACAAUAUUUCAAAUCAUAGUCCACUUUUUGAAUACGUUAAAAUUCAAACACUAAAUUAAUUUUUUUUUACAUCGGAAGAAAUUAAUAUCUUAUCUAAUAUAAUAUUUAAAAAUUUAUGAGAUCUUAUGAAAUUUAAAACACAUAAUUGAUUGUACCAAAAAAAACACAUAAUUGAUACGCCGCUAUAUCAAUCAUAAAAUAUAAACUAUUAUUAAAAAUUUUAAUUUUUUUUAAUAUUAUUAAUGAAAAAUCUACAUGAGAGCUUUUUUUAAAAGCGAAAAACUAACGCAACGCUAGCCUAUCCUUCAGAAGAAGAUGUCUAACUCCUGAGGAGGGGCAGCCAGCUCACAAAGACCCUAACCAUUCACCCUGCAAAUCUCUUCAUUUCUCUUAGCUCACCCUUCCCCCUGUCGUCACUCUAAGUUGUGAUUCCUUCUUUUUUAAUGAAAUUUACGCUGCUCUUUGUUAGUGACCGAAAAGAACCUGUCACAAUCCUAGACUAUAAUAUAAAAAGAAUUAGUGACAGAUUGUGGAGAGAAGUUUCCCCUCGCAAAGUGUUUAGCGACCAAAUAUUCCUUGUGACAAAAUUCUAUCCGUCACAAAAUCCUUGUGAAUAAUGGAAAAUAAAUUAAUGGCAAAACCUUAAGAAGAAAUAUUUUCGUCGCAAAAUGUUUAGCGACGGACUAUUGUUUGUGACAGAAAACUUCUCUCUCAACUUUGCGUCACUAAUUCCUUUUAUAUUGUAUACUAGAACUUUGUGACGGAUUUGCUUCCGUUACUAACAGUGUAAAAAAAAGGAAAUGGAGAUUUAAUCACCCCUUAUAGUGGAUAUUUAUACUAUUUCUGUAAUUAAAGAAAAAGUUGCACUAACUUAGUAAAAUUUUGUAAAAACUACCAUAUUCAUGUAAAAAAGUCCCUAAUUAAUAUUUUUUCAAAUUGCAAAACAUAAAUUGUUCAUCCAUCCGUAUCUAAAUAUCCAUAUAGGAUGUAUCUUUUUAGAAUGACCUUUGGUCUGAUAUGUGCUUAUUGAUUAGUUGGGCUUAUCAGCCUAAUGUAAAUAUGGGUCAUGCAACCCAUGGUCCGGGCGGACCGAAACUCAAUCUAUAAAUAUCAGAUACUACCCAAGCGGUGGGGGAUCUAAUUUUUCAGGCAUUUUUCUAGUUUCGUUCAUUCUCUAUCACUCUCAAACUGGUUAGCACUUGCUCGAUAGUUCCAUACCGGAACAUUGGCGCCCACCGUGGGGCCCGUAAAAAACAAAUCCCCACUACCACGAACAAGAGGCUAUGUAAUUUCUACUUCUGAGAGAGGAGGGCGAACGAAAUUGAAGGGGAAGCCAUGCAAUCAAUUUAUGUCAAAAUGUCAGUUUCAAAAGAUGGUUGCAUAGAACAUCAGAAACAGAUUGAGGAAACGUGAAGAAGCAGAGAAGAGAAAACGGCGACAAGGGAGAAAAGUUUCGGAUCGAUGCCAGGACGUGAACGGAGGUCAUGGAACUCCAUGGUGCUCGGGGCGAUGCGUUUUGUGGGCGGUGGAAGGGUUGAACGCAGUGGCUCGCCUUUGUCAUCGUCCAUGCUCUUUUUCUUUCAAUCCUUUUUCAAUGUUGCAGUUCCCAAACUUCACAAAGGACAGAGGUCAAGUGGAUUGAAGGUUGGAGGAUCACAAUUAGGGCUUGAAAAUCAAGAUGGAGAACGCCCCUGUUUCCGGACCUGAUUCAAACCCGUCAACAAAUCCCAAUUCAUACAAUUUUGGAAAUGCACAACCGCCACGUAGAAGAUUGAAGCCAUCAUUUUGAGUUGCAACCGUCCAUUCAAUUUCAACUGUCACGCCCAGAAUUUAAAUGCUCAUUUUGUCUCAACUGCAAGGGGAGUUGCAACUGCUCAUGCUGUCUCAACCGCCACUGCUGAAUCGAAUUCGUCUAUGUUCGCCCAUGAGUUUCAGGCCAAAUGGAUUCAGGACCACUCUAAAAACGGAUACGCAUCCUCGUUCUUUUGAAAUUUUUCUUAUACCUUCUGUUCAGUUUUGAUUCUAUGAGUUUUGUACUUUGAUUACCAAUAGUUGGAAAUUAAAUUCGUUACUCUUUUCUGUGUUUGAUUCAACAUGGAAAAAUUGGAUCAGAUCAAGAAGAAAUUGUGGAGAAUUGGAUUGGCACGCAAACUGUUCGAUGAAAUUGGUGAACGAUUUCUGCACUUCAACUUUGCAUAUGAGGCAAUCUCAACACGUUUGCUGCGGCGAUGGAGUUCUGGCGAACACGCUUGCUGUGGCGAUGGAAGUAUGGCGAGCAUGUUCGCUUUGGCGACACAAUUUUGGCGAAUACGUUCGCUUCGGCGAUGGAAGUCUGGCGAGCAAGUUUCGCCGGCUUUGAAAGUUCAACGGCGAACAAGUGUUAACUGACAUCUCUAUCUCUCGCCUGUGGUGCUCAACGCCAAGGGCGAGCCAGACCUGAUUCAGGAUUGCAUAUCCCAUUUCCUUCAACUUUUCAUCUAUCUUCUGUUGGUUUUUGUUAAUAUAUCUUCUUUUUAGUUCUCUAGUAGUUUACAUGUCUUGGGUGCUUAUCUUAUGGUUAAAGUGUGCAAGGAUACAUACCUGCAUAGUUUCAUACAAGAGAAACCAUGAUUUAACCUUUAUCAAGUGUAUUGGCAUUUUGUCAUGAGUUCUGAGAGCCAGUGGCUGGUUUCUUUUCACAAAUAGCAAGGAUGACUUUGAAAUGCCUUUUGCUUUGGGAGCUUUGCUCUCUGUUCACAGGUUUUAGUUAUUUGCACAUCUAAAUUCUUAUCAUUCACAUAAAUAUGAUGUGACUUGCGAGUUGAGAUUGAAAUCAUGAUGAGGAUUAUAAUGUUUUUACUUCCCUUAUUGUUUAACACCUUAUUGUUUAGCACUGAAUGCUUUGAAAGUGGAAGAAUAAAUGCUAGUAUGAUUGUUUCACAGUAAAAGAGGAUUGUUAUGUUGCAAGUUGGUUAUUGUCAAUUGUUUCCUGCUCAUAAUUGUUGCCUUCUAUCUCGUUAAAACUUAGCUUUUUGGAGUUUCUUGUGCGUAUCUUUUUAUGACAGGCCAUUGGUUCAAUCAUGCUUAAAUUGGAGUUGAAAUAAUGAUUUCAAUAUUAGUAUGCUAGCUUAACUCCAUCUGACUUACAUAAUACUGCUACUUUAAGAAUUGUCAACUGCAGAUUCUGUUUUCGCUUUUAUUAGGAUUUCUUGUGUAUGGCCAUAUUAUUACACAGUGGCAUCCAUUUCUAAUUGUUACUUGUUUCAUGUGUUAUCCAUAAUGAAAUGCAACUACAAUUGAAAUGCUUGAAGGAAAAGCAGAAUAGGAAGAAGCCUCGUCAAAUCACCCUGACAAGCUUGAAUAAAAAUAUGAGAGCCAGAAUCAGCUCUUUGAAGAGUGCAUAAAAUCUGGAACUGAGACAAAGUCCUGGUUUGACAAAUCUUUCUUUUAAGCCAAAGUUGAUUCUGAAGUUAAUGCUUUCCAUCUCAUUUGAACGUUUCACAUUGGCUUUCAUUUUCUUUCAUGAUUCUGUUUUGGUUUUAUUACCUGCUAUAUGCUUGACAAAAUGUUUGAAUAGAAAUUCAUUGGUGCAUACCUGUUUGAUGAUAUGAUUUUCACUGCCUGUGUUUUAUGCGAGAAAUCAUGAUUUUGUGGAAUAUUUGUACCACUAGGUUGCUUCCACCUUGAUUUUAGAUCUGAUUGCUUUUUGAGAUAUGUUGGGAAUAAUGAAUCCCAGUUUGAAGUGUGCUCAAAAUGUGCCUACCAUAUAUUUGAUAAGUUCUCUAUGUGAGUUCAAAAGAAGUUCAAGAAGGUAUAAUGUUGCUGUUUGGAAAAAAGUUACCUUGAGUCCUUGACUUUGUGUUGGUUAUCAAAUGUCUCUGAUGCUAUGCCUUAUAUUAUUUGGCUAGCUUUCAUGUUAAACUGCCAUUUCACUUAGAAAACUUUAGGUUUGGGUGUUGUGUGUUUGAGUUUGAUCAUAAGAAGUUUUCCAUUGUGUUUUUGCUACUUAGUUUAGUAAUUGAGAAGACUCAUUCAUAAUACUGAGAAAACUAAUUUCUUUAAGGUUUUGGAUUUUGAAUAUUGUUCCUGUACAAUUUGCAUGUUUGUCCGUUUCUUACAUGUUUUGAUAUUGUCAAUGUUAUAUUAUAUUUUAUCUCAUGCUAACAAGGUGAUGAGUUGACAGGUGAUGAGUUGACUAAAAACAGUCAAAGCAUACAACAUUAUGUACAGAAAAAGAAAAGAAUAACAGGUAUGCACUCUUUUCUCUACCCCAGGCGGGAGAGUUUUUAACGAGGCAUAACCUUUUUAAAAAUGUUCAAGGGCGUAACAUUUCAUAUGCACUCUUUUCUCUACCCCAGGCGGGAGAGUUUUUAACGAGGCAUAACCUUUUUAAAAAUGUUCAAGGGCCGUAGCAUUUCAUUUAUUCCCAUAGCGGAAACUUAUCAACAUAAGAGGUCUAUCAAUUUGGGCGAACGUCAGACAAAUUGUAGAAAAAGAAGUAAAGUCCUUCUCUAAAAAAACANNNNNNNNNNNNNNNNNNNNNNNNNNNNNNNNNNNNNNNNNNNNNNNNNNNNNNNNNNNNNNNNNNNNNNNNNNNNNNNNNNNNNNNNNNNNNNNNNNNNUCAAUUGGGCGACGUCAGACAAUUGAGAAAAGAGUAAGUCUCUUAAAACAAGAGCAUUUGACCACGAAUUCAUAAGCACAGCCUUAAAUUGGAUUUAAGCUUGUCCAAAAUAAGCACAAGUCUCCACGCGAGCAUAUUAAUGAAAUCAAAUAUCGUGACUUUGAUUUCCAUGAAUAACUAUGUCAAAAAUGAAAAUUUUGACUAAGUUAUAUACACAAAGGCCUUAUGAUUCCAAAGUAGUUGAUUAAGUUUAAACUUUACAAAAUUUUUGAGAUUUACUCAAGAGUAUUUUACUAUAUACAGUAAAGAAAGGCGGGAUGAUUCUGAUGAAAAGUCGUAUUCGAACUUGAUAGAAAAAUGAUAAGAUUAUUGGGCGAUAUUAAACAAUAUCGUCCUUUGGGUGAUAUUAAACAAUAUCGUUUUUAUGAUAAAGUUCAUCUUACAAAGGAUGCAUUACACUGAGCAUAGAUGAAUGUGCAAGCGAUGUGAAGUAAGUGUGUUCCAUAUUAUUGAUUUACAUUUAAGUCUUUAACUUUUAUUUUGUCUAAGUUUCAAAUUAUUGUGCAUUAUUACUUGUGGUAUUAUGAGAGCAGGUUGUGAUCAUGGUUUAGGGGAAGAGAAAAUUAAUCAUGAUAAUGACAGUGAGGUUGUGAUUGAUGUGAAGAGACGAUUUGGGUCAACUUGCACGCGCUACACAAAGAUCAAGAAGUAACAGCAAAAGUUGAAUUGUCAAAGGAAUGACUACUUAGCUUUUAUGCCUUUUAAAUUUUGAUUUCGGAGCAUGUGUGCCCAUUAUUUCCUUUGCACAUUUUGGGCGUGUCAAUUACUUGUUAGUUUUUGUGUAGUGUUGGGUGAGUUGAUUACUUGUGGGCUCAAAAAAAGACACACUUCGUCUUAAAGCUUUUAAGACUCGGUGUCUUGUGGGCUUGUGGUCUGAUAUGGGCUUAUUGAUUAGUUGGGCUUAUCAGCCUAAUGUAAAUAUGGGUCAUGCAACCCAUGGUCCGGGCGGACCGAAACUCAAUCUAUAAAUAUCAGAUACCACCCAAGCGGUGGGGGAUCUAACUUUUCACGUAUUUUCUCAUUUUGUCAGUUUUCUAUCGCUCUCAAACUGGUUAGCCCUUGCUUGAUAGUUCCAUACCGGAACAGAAGGAUACACAAAAAAACAAAAUAUAACGUGAAGAAGGAAAAAAACGAUCGAAAGAAAUAACGUAAAAAGGAAAAAGAAAAAAAAAUGUAAAUAAGGACAAUACAAAAUGAUAACGUAAAGAGACAGAAGCAUAUAUUGGAUGUAGAAUUGUAGAUCCAAAUGAGUAUUAAAAAAAAAAUUGCAAAAAUCACAUGAAAUGCAAACAAGUGAAAUAACGAGGGAGAAGAUUAUAUGAAAAGAAAAAAGAUAUGGAUGAAGAACAAAUGAUAUUCCCUUGCUUGAUCCUUGAAGAGAUAAAGAGCACACUCGUGCUGAUAACGUAUUAAGAAUAAGUGAAAUAACGAGGGAGAAGAUUAUAUGAAAAGAAAAAAGAUAUUAAUGAAGAACAAAUGAUAUUCCCUUGCUUGAUCCUUGAAGAGAUAAAGAGCACACUCGUGCUGAUAACGUAUUAAGAAUAAGUGUGAGCAUAACAAGUAUAUAGAAGAGAAGAGGUAGAGAGNNNNNNNNNNNNNNNNNNNNNNNNNNNNNNNNNNNNNNNNNNNNNNNNNNNNNNNNNNNNNNNNNNNNNNNNNNNNNNNNNNNNNNNNNNNNNNNNNNNNCAUUCGUUGGCAAUAAAAAAACAUCCAUCGUUGGAAGAAAAAAAAUUAUUUUAUGUAAGCAUGCUUGAUAGAGAUAAUUAUGGUUGGUCAUAGUUGAAUGAUUGUUGGUUGUGGCAGGCCCAUCCAGUGAGUGUGUUCGUCCACCCUCGAUAAUUAGUAUGUGUGUGGGCGAUCGGCUUUAAGCAUUCGUUCGCCAACUAAGUUAGUUAAAUUUAUUUUCGUUCGCUUGAUAAUAUUUUAAGCUAUUUAAGUUAUCACUUAUCAUAAUUCUAAAAUUUUAAAUUAAUUUAUUCUUCUUGACCUUGACAAGUCCCAACAAAUGACUUUCUUGGUAAAAAGUUGGAUUGGGCGAGCCCCCACACCCUAGAGGAACUUGCCCAGGGACGAACAAGACCUAAACGAGAGGAACUCGCUAGGGGUGAGAGAAAGGACUUAGGAGAUUAGGGACCCCUUAGGGCAAGCGCCAGGGGCGGUUGAUGUAUGUAAGGGAGUUGGGCCGAGUGAGGUACGACCCAACAAGCCCCAUUAGUGGCAAAGUUAGGGUUUCAUGUAACCUCUAUAAAAGGGGACUUUAUGAUCAUUGCAAAGGAUCAUUCGGCAUUUAUUGUAACACCCCAUUUUUUUUUUUCUGUUAUUAGGUUAUUUAGUAUUUUAUUUUAAUUAUUAUUAUGUUAUAUGGUAAUUUGAUAGUUUAUGUGAUUUAAUUAGAUGAUUAUGUGAUUUAAUUAGAUGAUAAGGUGAUAAAGUGAUUUUAUUAGAUAAUUAAGUUAUUAUGUGAUAUAUGGAGUGAGUAAUUUAUUUAAUUUGUAUUUGAGUGAGAUAAGAUUAAAUUAUAUAAGGUUGUUGGGUUUGUGUGAUAUAUAGAGUGGAUCCCACUAGUAAUACUAGUUUAAGGUUAGGAGUGAAAUAAAUAGAAAAAAGAAAGAAAGAGAAAUCAGAAUUAGAAGAGCAGAACAGAGAAGGAGAAAGCGUGAAAACAGAGAAGAAGGAGACGAGAAAAGAGCAGAAAACUUAGAACUGAUCUACAAGAGGUAAGAGUUUGAAUUCAUGUUUUAUGGAUUGGUAUGAUAGUGGAUAAUGAUAGAAAGCAUGAUUUAGGAACCCUAGGUUGCAAAAAUUCCCAAAUUGAAAUAGUUAGGGUUUGGUUUUUAGAUGAUUUUGGGGGUAGAUGAUAGGCUUGCAUGAUGCGCAGAAAUUUACGUUCUCUUGUACCCUUUUUCGUGCUAUGUUAGUGGCCGAAUUUGAAGAAGUAGUCUUCAUAAAAGUUGUAGGUUUUUCUGUUACGAAACUUUUGCCACUGGUUUCACGUCAUUCCGACGUCUGUAGCUCGAGUUAUGUGUAUUUUAGUGAGUAUAGGUUAAGCUGUCCAGUUUCUUACGAACUGCGGUUAGUGUACGAUUUUUCCUGAUUUUUGUACUUCGAAUUGUGACUUGAAAAUUUAUAGAGGUUUACAAAACGUGUAUACAGAACCAUGAUAAAAAUAUUAGAUUUUUCUGAGUAUAUUUGAUAAUUUACAUCUGUUUAAUAGUUCAUUAGAUGUGUGGUGCGCGCACAUGGCGAGUUGCGCAGGAAGAUGUCGCAAGAUGUCGCGACAUGGCGAGUUGCGUAGGGAGAUGUCGUGAGAUGUCGCGACAUGGCGAGUUAUUCAGCGACAUAGCGAGUUGCGUAGGGAGAUGUCGUGAGAUGUCGCGACAUGGCGAGUUGUGCAGUGAGAUGUCGCGAGAUGGCGAGCAUGAGCAUGUGGCGAGUUUUUGGGAAAAUUUAGAGAGAAAUCCAGUCUUUAGGAAAUAGUUGCAGAACCUGUUAUAUAUGAAUUAUAUUUAAUUUACAUCUAUUUUUAAUAAUCAUUAUAUGAUGUUGUUUCUGAAUUGAUGUUAUGUUUGAGAUGCUAAGUUGUUGUGAUUGCAAGUUGUAUAAUUGAUAACAUGUAAUAUGUGUUUUGUGCAACUGGUGAUGAAUAUGCUAAAAUAAUUAGGACUUGGAGAUGGUCUGAAUAUGCAUAUGUUAGUUGAGUUUUGCACAGUACACUGCAUAGUUGUCAAGAGGCAAUGUUUGCUAGUUCUCGUGGAGGCUAGUGACUUGUCCCAAAACUGGAGUGGUUUUGAAGCCUAGAGCGAGGGCUUUAUUGGUGGUUAUCUGUCUAGAGUGGACACGGUGAUACCGCUAAGGAUAACAACUUUGGUACCAAAGGCAUUUGCACGGGUCUCACUUGAGUCAUAUGUGUUAUGGUGAUAUUUUUGGAGAUAUUUGAUGUGGUGGUAAUUAGAGACUAUUAUAUAUGUUCUAAUUGAGCUAUAAUUUAAGGAGUAUUUGCCAUAACUGUGAACUUGAUUAAUUAUGUUAAAAUUACAUAAUUUAUUAUUUGUUAGUGAAUGUGAGUAAUUUAUGUGGAGCAUAGAUAAGCUUUUACAUUAUUUAUUAUUAUGCUUAUCCAUAUGAUUUGAGUUCUCACCCUUCUGUUGGAAUGAUGUUCUAUGCGACAUCGCUCAGGUACCGAAGAUAGUGGAGCUUCUCGCGAGGGUUAGUUGGAGGAGCUAGUCUUUCAUUUACGGUUUAGUUAGGGGAGUCAUGCUCUGUUAUGUAACACCGGGAAACGUUUAGUUUUGUACCUUGAUGUUAAGAGUUACCUAUGAACUCUCUUUAUGUUAAAUUUUGGAGUUGAAAUAAAUCCGCUGUGCUAUGCAUAUGAUGUUGCGACAUUAAAGUUGGAAAAUUUAUAUAUUUAUUAUGAGCAUGACAGGUGUUUUGAUUUAUGUUUCUGGAGAAUAAGUGUGACACCCUCUGUGUUAUGCAUUUUACUCUGAUUUAUGAUAUAUUAUUAUGCGGGGUUUAGAGGGUGUUACAUUUAUUCUACAGGAUUAGGCUAUAACUAGACUCAUGCUUUACUAGGGUUUGAGGCUUAUACCAUUCUUGAGUGUUCAUUUCCAGAACAAAAGUAUAAAAAAUGAUAUUAAAAUUUAUUUCAUGACACUAGCACUUAACAUUUUUUUACGUAAUUUAAAUAUUUCAAAUUAACUUAAUAAUUUUUCAUAAUUUUUUUUAUUUCUAAAAAUCAUUUCUAUGCUAAUAAUUAAAUAUCAAUAAUAAAAUUUGAGUAAUAUUAAUUAUUUAUACAAAAAAUAUAAUAAUAUUUAUUGAAAUGUCAUAACACAGUUUAUUUACAAUUAUAAUUAAAAAAUAUUUAUUUAUUUAUUUAAACUAUAAUAAUUUAUAUAUAAUGUUAAAAAAUAUUGUAAGUAAACUCGUGCAACGCACGGGUAUAAUAUCUAGUAUAUGUAAAGCACACUUGAGUUUUGCAUUAAAUACAUAAGCAAAACACAAGUGUUACAUUGUAUUAAAAGCAUAGUAUUAAAUAAUAAAAUUUUCUUUAUAAUAAAUAUAUUAAACAAUAAAAUAAAAAACUGAAAAAAAUCAUAUUAUCAAAAACUAUUCAACUACUUACAUUAAAUAAUAACAUUCAAAAACUUCAAAUUUACUUGAGUUUUACAUUUCUAAAAUAUUAAAAACUAAAUUAUAAUAUAAAAUUCUUUCAACAAAAAAGUCAAUGAUAAAAUAAUAUUUAUUAAAAAAUAAUAAAGCUAAAAUAGUUUUAAAAUUAAAAUAUUUCUAUUUAUAUGUAAAUGAGACUUCAGUAUACAUUAAAUCCAUUAGAUCAUAAAACUCUCAUACAUUUAUAUUAAAAUACAAUAAGAAACAAUAAUUUUUCUAUGUAAAAAAUAUAUUAAAAACUGAAAAAAAAUUAUUGUCAAAAACUAUUCAACUUCUUACAUUAAUAACAACAUUCAUCAACUUAAAAUUGACUUUAAAAAAAUGAAAUUGUCUUAAGUUUUGCAUUUGACAAAUAUUAAAAGUUAAAAUUAUUUAUAAUCAAAUAAUAUAUUUAAAUAAAUAAUUUUAGAUAAAAAUUUUAAAACUUAAAAAAUGCCGCUAAAAGGUAUUUAAUAUUAACUAAAACAUAUAUGUGAAUUAUCGAAAAAAAUAUUAAAAUAUAUCAUGAGUAAAAAUUACUCUACUCGAGGAAGCAUAAUAGAGAAAAAUAAUAAUGUCCAAAGUUGUAUAAAUUUUUGUUGUGGAAGAGCUAUCCACUUAACGGAUCNNNNNNNNNNNNNNNNNNNNNNNNNNNNNNNNNNNNNNNNNNNNNNNNNNNNNNNNNNNNNNNNNNNNNNNNNNNNNNNNNNNNNNNNNNNNNNNNNNNNNNNNNNNNNNNNNNNNNNNNNNNNNNNNNNNNNNNNNNNNNNNNNNNNNNNNNNNNNNNNNNNNNNNNNNNNNNNNNNNNNNNNNNNNNNNNNNNNNNNNNNNNNNNNNNNNNNNNNNNNNNNNNNNNNNNNNNNNNNNNNNNNNNNNNNNNNNNNNNNNNNNNNNNNNNNNNNNNNNNNNNNNNNNNNNNNNNNNNNNNNNNNNNNNNNNNNNNNNNNNNNNNNNNNNNNNNNNNNNNNNNNNNNNNNNNNNNNNNNNNNNNNNNNNNNNNNNNNNNNNNNNNNNNNNNNNNNNNNNNNNNNNNNNNNNNNNNNNNNNNNNNNNNNNNNNNNNNNNNNNNNNNNNNNNNNNNNNNNNNNNNNNNNNNNNNNNNNNNNNNNNNNNNNNNNNNNNNNNNNNNNNNNNNNNNNNNNNNNNNNNNNNNNNNNNNNNNNNNNNNNNNNNNNNNNNNNNNNNNNNNNNNNNNNNNNNNNNNNNNNNNNNNNNNNNNNNNNNNNNNNNNNNNNNNNNNNNNNNNNNNNNNNNNNNNNNNNNNNNNNNNNNNNNNNNNNNNNNNNNNNNNNNNNNNNNNNNNNNNNNNNNNNNNNNNNNNNNNNNNNNNNNNNNNNNNNNNNNNNNNNNNNNNNNNNNNNNNNNNNNNNNNNNNNNNNNNNNNNNNNNNNNNNNNNNNNNNNNNNNNNNNNNNNNNNNNNNNNNNNNNNNNNNNNNNNNNNNNNNNNNNNNNNNNNNNNNNNNNNNNNNNNNNNNNNNNNNNNNNNNNNNNNNNNNNNNNNNNNNNNNNNNNNNNNNNNNNNNNNNNNNNNNNNNNNNNNNNNNNNNNNNNNNNNNNNNNNNNNNNNNNNNNNNNNNNNNNNNNNNNNNNNNNNNNNNNNNNNNNNNNNNNNNNNNNNNNNNNNNNNGAUCAAAGACAAUGCCUUUGAUUCUUUGACUUUCUUGUUUCCUUCAUGAGACAUCUUCAGAGAUUCAAAAAUGCCUUUAGCAAACUCACGAUCUGUAAUCUUCUGGUACUCUUCAUAGGAAAUAGCACUUAGAAGAAUUGCUCUUACUUUGUGAUGUUGUGAGUACAGCUUCUUUUGAUCUGCAGUCAUCUCUGACCUUGGGAUCUUCUUGCCAUCUGCAUCAACUGGACGCUCGUAGCCAUCCACAAUAAUAUCCCAGAGAUCUGCAUCGAAACCCAGAAAGAAACUUUCCAGUCUAUCUUUCCAAUAUUCGAACCUUUGACCGUCGAACAUAGGAGGCUUUGCAUUGUAACCAUCUCUUUGAGUUUCAUUGGUGGUGGCAGCCAUUGUUUUUCACACCGGCCCGAAUCACUGAACACUGUUUGGUGUGGUAAUCAGAACUUGCGCUCUGAUACCAAUUGAAGGUAUGAAAAACGGUAGAAAGGGGGGGGGGGGGUUUGAAUAACGUUUUCAGUACAAAACUACCACCUUAAAGAUUUUGACAAAUCUUUCGAGAACUUAAGUGCUAGAGAUAAGAGAUAGAAAAGCACACAAGGAUUUUAUCCUGGUUCACUUGAUAAAUCACUCAAGCUACUCCAGUCCACCCGUUAAGGUGAUUUCUUCCUUCUUAGAAUGAAGGCAAUCCACUAAUCAGGUAAGAGUUACAACUGCACUUGAAACCUACAAGUGACUAACAAUUACACUGACUUAGCUCACACUAAGAUUCACUCUCUUAGUCUUCUCUAGGAUCCGAUCAGCCUUGAUCUCCUAAAGGAACUAAACAAACUGUUUAUCAAAGAAUUGUUUACAAGAGAUUUGCUUCUAAAAAGCUAAUAGUAAACUCAAUGAAUUUCAGAUGAAAGAAAGCUUAGAAUAAUUUGAAUAUGUCUUGCGCGUAUGUAUUGCUUCUAGCCGCUUCUUUCAAUCUUCAGUCUCUAUAUAUACUCCAAGGAUUAGGGUUGAGCGAUGCAUGGGAAAUGCUACCGUUGGAGGGCAGUUCUGGAAAAUCCAGCUUCUGCUGUGGCUGAGAGCGUUAGGUAGGUCGUCAGGGAGGUACAGUUGCUUUUGUACUUGGAUAGCGACUUGACCUUUAAACCUAGGAGACUUCUGAUCAGGGGAAUGCUUCAUAUUGGAACUUGUGAAGCCGGUUGAUCAGAGUCAGAGGGAAAGCACAGAUCCUCUGACCAUUGUAUCUUCUGAUUCUGAACUCAGAGGGAAGAACAUGGCCUUCAGAGUUUCUUGCUUCUAGACUUCAGAGUUUCCACUAUUCAGCUUCUGCAACUUCAGAGUCUUCUACACCAUCAGAACAUCUGAACCUUCAGUGUUUCUUGGUUAUCAGAACUUCUGGAUCUUCAGAGCUUCUAGUGACUGAGUCCUCAUCAGAGUUUGUAUAACUUCAGAACUUCUGAAGCUUUUCCACUGUUCAUACUGAACAUGGUGAAUGCGAAAGCGUUGCUUGGGUCACUCUUUAUACACAGUGCUUCUGAUUUGUGUGAGAUUGAGUUGAGGUCAGAGCCUGUAAAUAGCACACUCAGAAAAACACGUUAGAGUACCACAAUUGUUCAUAUCAAAAGGUUAACUUGUAAUCAUCAAAACAUAGAGUUGUACUACUAGAUCAAAACUUGAUCUUACACAUAGUUCCCAAUCUUGUAACAAACGCAGGAAUGUUCAUUCCCAACCUUCAUAUUCCCGAGAAUCUCUUUUCAAAUCUUGAAACAAACGCCUCCUAAAAGAGUUCCCUUAAAUUUUAUUUUCGAUCUCUAAAAUAGUAAAUUAUUGAUUUUAAUCUUUUUAUUCCUUUUUUUAACAUUUUAUGACGUUUUAAACUAUAGUAAAACCGUCACAAAAUAUGUUAGUAUUGGUUUAAACCGUCACAAAAUAUUACUCACAAAAAUGAAGAAAUUAAAAUUAACAAUCCCUAUUUUAGAGCGACCAAAAACAUAUUUAACCCUAUUAAGAAUCUCUUCCUAUGCUCUGAACUUGUGAUCAUAAAGUUCCAUGGUAUAACCGUUGCGCCUGGUCCUCAAAAUCUCCAAAAUAUACAAACAAAAAAUGAACUGUUUCUUUCUCUUUAUUCUCCCAGAAAUUUUCUAAUGACAAAUUUUGCUGGCAGUGGCACUCUCUUCCAGAAGAUGGUUUCAACAAUUGAUUCAAAUCAAUUUUCUAUUUUUGGGUUACAAUCAUAUGAUGCAAUGAUUGAUAAAGUAAACUUUCGGAUGAAUAAAUAACUACACACGUAAAUUGUAAACUUCCUCAAGCAUAUAAACAUACAUACAGACAAAAAGGCAAUGUUACUCAAUUAUUUUAUCAUUUAUGUCAAAAACACAGAUUAGCAAAGGUUGGUUGGGUCAUUAACAUUAAUUUUUCUACCAUCCUCACAUAUUCUCACACCACUAAUAUUCGGUGUACUCAUAUUGCUGGAACGAAUUACACAUCGUACUUAUAAAUGUGGAAUGCAAAUAAUACAUUUUACAAAUUAAAAGUGUAAAAGAGAUUGCUAUCAAAUAUCUAAAAGGUGUGGUGAGAAAAUUAAUGCUCCAAAAAAUUAAUUCAAUGGAGCAAAACAAUUGACAGAAUCUCGUAUUUAACAUGUUGCAAAUUCGAACCCUCAUUUCUUACCGUAAGUCAUCUAUAACCGCUAUUGGAGAUUGCUAGUUAUCCUUACCUUAGGGCACCACCCCCACCCUAAUUCUUUUAAAUAAUUCAAUUACCCAAGCACAUAGUUUCAUUUCACCUCAAAAUACUUUGUGAAGACAGUGAAAACAAGGUAAGAAGUAAACCAUGAAAGAGAAAAAGAAAUAUUAUUAUUCUUGUGACGGUUACAUGUUACAGGGAGUGGUGGUAGAAGAGUCAUUGUGGCAGUUCCUAUUAAUCUAUCUAUCUAUUCCAUUCAUUGAAAGCUUGUCCCACUUCAUCUUUCUUUCUUUCUUCCCACAAAUCUCUCUUCUUCUCUUCUCUUGCAUAUAUGCACCCAAAACUUCAGUGUCACCAACUCCAUCAUCUUUCAGUUUCAACUAUCUCACUGACACACACUUCAAAUUCCAUUUCUUCUAAUCCAAAACAAACAAAACAACCAUCGAUCAUCAAAAUCUAUUAGCACAAUUCAGUGUCUGAAUUUGUAAUCCUGUUCGUAAAUCGAGUCAACACUGAUCAGAAACCAAGUUCUAGAGGUAUUCAAAGUGUGUGUUUCAUAUGCAUAUGAUCCAGAGUAUAUAGAAGACAUGAAUUCCCACAUUUGUGUUUGUUUUCCAGAUUGAAUUCUAUGUUUCUGUUGUUUUGAUUUGGAUUCUGCUUAGCUUGUUUUAUUGGACUAUGGUUUUUUUCUUAUAUAUAAAUCAAGCUCAUUUUUAUCUGGGUUUGUGUUGAUUUUGUGAGGAGUUUGUUGCAGGGGAUGAAGAUCCAAUGUCAUUCCAAGAUUUUUUGUUUUUUUGUUAAUUUUUUGUUCUUACUGAGAGAAUUGGUAUUGGAAUCUGAGGAUAAUGAUGGAAUUUUAAGUAGUUUCAUUUCAAUUUGGAGAGAUAAAGGAAGGGUUGAUCAGUGGUGAUGAAUGUGAGUCUAGAUUUGUGUCAAAUGUUGCACAGAAUUAAAGUUGUACUAGAUUCUGUUAUUAGAAAAUGUAUAUUCAAGUUGGGGAUUUGAAAAAAUUCAAGGGGCUGUGGAAAAUUUUGCAGAGAAUGCACAUUAAGAUGGAUCAGAAGACACUGUUUACUCUUGAUGUUUUACAUAUGUCCUUAAAUAUGAUUUGAUUUUCAGAGAACUGCUUCCUUCAGUAGGAUCUGGAAUUUUAAGUGAAAAUUAUAAUCUAAGGGUGUGUGUGCUUUUGCUGAAUUGCAAUGGCAUAUACAUGUUAUAUAUUAUGGUCUGGAGUACUAGUUAGUAGUUACCACUGCUUGCAUAAUUAGGCAAAACAUUUUGAGAGAUUUAGCCAUCCUUUGUUGAUUUAUCUGUAUCAUUCACAAUCCAAAGAAGCUAGAAGCCUUGAGAGGUUAAAGCUUUGAAGAAAUGUGCAUAUUUAAUUGGAUUUUCUAUUCCAUGUUCUGCGUAUUUAGUUAUGUGAUUCAGGAACCGAAAAAAUAGAAGUGUUUUUCUUUUAUAACUGAUCAUACUGGACUUUAUUUUUUGUGACUAUUUAUAGCACAAUGGAAUCUGAAAAUGGAGUUGCAAUGGAGGACGAGAAACAUGUUAUUGGGGAAACAACCAAGGAGAGCCCAAAUAAAGAAGCUGAAAACAACCCUAAUGCAGAAAUGCAGGCCAAGAAUGAAGUAUCUGAACCGACAAUAGAACCUGAAAGCCACAACUCAACAGCAAGUAAAAUCCCAAAACGUUCCAAGGUACCAUAUACAGUGUAUCAGAAUCGUUUAUCGUCAAUGAAACAGUUACCGCACAUAGUACAUGAUGGACCACUUUAACUAAUUCAUUUUAACAUGGUUAGGAGCCUGGUAGCAAGAAUGGUGUUGCUGGAAAGAACAAUAAACCUGCAACCAAAGAUAAACACAAUGUGAAGACCUCAACUUCAUCAUCUCAAACACAGAGGCCAAACAUUUCCAAGAGCCUUUCUUUCCCAGCCAAAUCAGCUCGCGGAGAUGGUAUGAAGAAAAGCACUGAUGGAAUUCUUGUGAAGACAGAAAGUAAGCUUGCUAAUCAAGGUAAUGGGGUUAGAUCUGCGACUUCCGUUCGACUUUCGAGCAGGUUGACAAACUCUGAAGUAAACUCUAAGGAGGCAAAGACAAAUCCUGGAAAUUCUAACCAAAGGACUUCUUUGGCAUCAAUGAAUAGCUUUAAACGCUCUGUGGUAGAUUUUCUUUUCUUUUCUUCUCAGUGUCUUUCUUUUUGUAGCUGAUAGCUUCUUUUAACUGGUCUCCAUGUUCAUGACUUCUGUUUUUUCUACCAGUUUGGAAGGUCUACUUCAGUUAAGGCAGUUGCCAAGAGUCUUACAUCUGAGGCAUCCAUGUAAAUUUCUUAACUUCCAAGAUUUACUGAAUCCUUAUUUACAGUUUAUCUCAGUUUAUAAUAUUCUCUGCCAAUGUAUUUCAAUCUUAGGUAGACUCAAUUGUAUUGAAAACUAUACAUAUCUUUUAGAGAGUGCUCUGCAUUUUUCGGCUGAGUGGUUUAUGAAUUUGUGACAUUAUUGCAGACCUGUUGAUCAGAUUUCAAACCCAGCAAAAACUGAAAGAUCAAAUAAAGAGGAUGAUGAUUCUCAUUCCACUACUUCGUAAGAUUAUACACUUAAACUCUGAGAUCAUCAUGUCAUUCUAGCUUGUCCAUCCAUCUUAUUAGGAUUUGAAUACUUGUUAUUGGCUUUUCUGAAUUUCUUCUUUUUCUUUAGCUAACAUAUGCAUGAAAUUUUGUGUAUAUGCUAUCAGAAGUGCUACGCGGAGGAACAGUGGUUCUGGAUUUUCCUCCAGAUUGCAAGAACGAGCUGAAAAGCGGAAGGAGGUUGUUGUUGAAACCUUACAGCCUAUUUAUAUUAAUAUUGCAUCUGCGAGUUAUUAACUUUAUUUUCUCCUUUUUCAUCAGUUCUUCUCGAAGAUAGAAGAGAAAAUUCAGGAAAAGGAGGCAGAGAAAACUAACCUGCAAGAGAAAUCAAAGGUACCAAUGUGAAAAACUAAGAUGAGGUUAAGAGAUUCUGUUCCUAGUGGUUUGAGUUUUCACUGGAAGCUUAUCUGCUGCUUUUGGCUUAUUCUCUCCUUUUUUUCUUCUGAUUUUUGGCAGGAAAACCAGGAGGUGGAGAUCAAACAAAUGAGGAAGAAGAUGACAUUCAAAGCAGCUCCAAUGCCAAAUUUCUAUAAGGAACCUCCUCCAAAAGUUGAACUGAAGAAGGUAACUCAUCUAGCCACAUGUUCUCCCAAAUUAUACUGUCUUCUAAUAAUAAGUUCUGAGUUACUUUGUCCACUCUCAGAAUUACAGUUUUUUCUUCCUCAAAUUUUCAUGUCAAUGAAGUUUGCCAUGGUUCUACAAAUGCUAGUUCAUUAUGUGUUAUUUAGCUGAAGAACCUACUCUUUCUUCUUCAGUAUUUAUUUCAUGGGAUAUACUCUUUCAUAUUCUUUCUGAUGGACUUUAUUUACUGAGUAGAUACCUACAACACGCCCAAAAUCCCCAAAACUUGGAAGGAACAAAGGAUCUGCUGUGAACACCAAUUCAGAGGAUAAAUCUUGUUCUAGCCCUCGUGUGAAGCAACAGCUGAAUGAUUCAACCAAGGCAAAGAUAAAGGGAUAUAAAGAUGUGAUUUCAAAGAAACAAAACAAAAAAUCUCAAGCCAAGCUGCAGCCUCAGGAAACUGCAACCAACAAAACCGAAAGAGAUUCUACAAGUAAGGUCUCAGAAACCGACCAAGGUGCAAAAGCUGGUGUAGGAAGCAAUGAAGAAUGUCAAGAUCUACCAGUUAGCAAUGCUGAAUUCCAAAAUGGCAUGGUCCUAGAAUCCCAAAAUGACCUUGCUGAGAAUGGUGAUCUGGCCUUGAAUUCAUCCACAACUGAGAUUGUUUCAUAUGAGGUUACUGUUGGAGUAUAGAUUCCUGUACCUGAAAAGCAUUUAUUUAUGUAUACAUAGGACUCCCAUAUUACCAGUUAUUUCAUUAUUAUUAUUAUUGUGAAUAUAGAGGUUUGCUUCAUAUUCACCAUAAACAUGUAUUGCAUUGAAGAUAGUUGCUUCUUAUAUUGAAUUGUUACUGUUUGUAAUUGUAAGAGAGGCUUGUGAAUUCAUGAUUUUGCAAUCGGUUAAUGUGUUAAUGUGAUUUUGGUUAGAUUUUCAUGUAGUUGUGUUGAAGAAUAUUUGUCCUUUAAUCCCCUGACCUGACAUUGUUUCUAUAAGAAGUAAAACUAGGAGACAGCCUCUGAGCCUCACAACAUUCGAUAAACUGUCAUUUAAUUCGAACACAACUUCAGAAUAUUGUCAAUUUGAAUACCAAUUUUGCAUUCAUCACUCCCACUAUCUUAGCAUUAAAGCAUGUCCUAGCACUUCAAUGCUGGAAAGGUAAUUUUUCCAAAGGAAAAAAAAUAUUGCACUCAAUCAUUAAAGAAACAUAGGUGUUUCAUGAAGUCCCGGUGUUUGGCCAUUAAGAUUGAAAUUUUGUGUUGUCACGCUCCCCUUUGAGAAGAGAAAUGAGGUGCUUUGCCAAGUGGAAUAAUGAGAUCCUUCAAAACCUCAUACUCUUCCAUACCUAAUUGGGAACCAUUCAGAACCUGUUUCAUCAAAACGAACACCAGAACAAUGGUAAGCAAAUUUGAGAGUAGAGUGAAAAUUAUUACAAGACGCGGCAUAAGAUAAACUAUAAAACUUCAAAUUAGUAAGGAUACAUUAAGCUCUAUUUUCCAGCUUAGCCUUAUAGGAAUUUUUGCAAGCCAUCAUAGAUGAGUUUAUAUGUUGAAUUAAAAAGUUAACUGUGUCGCACAUCCCCUUGGAAACACCCACACAGACCAAGGAAAUCAUAGUAAAAGGAAAACUUCCAAGUUGGGCAUUCUUUUUCAAGUAACAUGUACGUUCAAUAAACAAGAUGUAGUGCCCAAAGUUUGAAACAAGAAUUUCAAGUCUGCAUGGGAGAAUAACCAUAUGAGAUGAACUUAAUAAUAGGAUCAUAAAAUAUGGCUAUCAAGCGUAAGCUGUAGAAGGAAAACAAAAUUAAGGACAAGGCAGUCAAGUAAUUUGAGAUUUAUAUAGUUAAGUUCACAACAGAAUGAAUAUAAAGAGUUAAGGGAAAUCCAGAUGAAAAGUAACAAACGCUAGCAAAUGAAAUUAUCGAGAAUUGAAUAUAUAUUAGACGUCAACUGAACUACCUAAGCCAAAAGAUCAUUGUCAUAAUAAGGGUUUAAGCUUACUAGGUCAUGUUAUCUAUGCAAUCCAACAUCAUUAUGUAAUGCUUCAUGUGUAUCAAUCAGAUGCCUGAUAUAGUCAUGUACAUAAAAUAAUAAAUCAGUACAAUAAAAACAAAGGGUCUCUCACCUUGUGAAACAAGUCCCUCCGAUCCAUCAUGUAUGAGAUAAGAGCAGGUAUUCUACAAACGGACAAUGCAUCAAUGAACAAAAGAACAACAACUUGCCAUUGUUUCAUUCUGAAUGCUGGAAGUGCAUCCACAAAUGACAUUGUAUCCAGCAAGCAUACCUAAGAAAAAGUUGUGAGAACUUCCAUAUAAUCCAUCCGUAUAAACAAGUAAUUGGAUAUAUUUAAUAUAUUUCCUCAACACAGAUAUGAAGAUUAUAUCUUAGGACUAUGCGCAACCCAUAAACUCUCGUGAAUUGCUAAACUUUGAAAUAGAAGGCAGCCUAGUGCUGUAUAGAUCCCACCACGUGUUGGGUCCACUUAAGGGUCAAAAGACCCAAAACCUAACCUUGCAAGAGGCAGAUUUCACAUUCAAUAACAUUGCAUCAAGACUCCCCUUCAUUCACAAAUUUCUAAAGUGAUGCUUAAAAUAAUGAUUCAUCUUUUCAUAUGAAGAGAAUUUUCCAUUUGCAUGUCAAAAUGGUUGACAUCCUUAUUUUACGUGCACAUGUGACUCUGAAGUAUGAACAUUUCUUUUUCUUGAUGGUGGUGGUGAGAGGGAGGGGGGGGGGGGGGGGGCGGGGGGUAAUGGGGUUGACAAACAUAUUAGACACAUCUAAAUCAAUAGUGUUACAUCAAUUAGGCCAUGCCUACCAGAGUGUAUUAAAUCUGUUCUAAACUUAAUUUAGAACUAUAAUACAACAUAAAUGAAAAUAAACAGAUAACUUCAGAAUCAUCCUUAUUUUACGUGCACAUGUGACUCUGAAGUAUGAACAUUUCUUUUUCUUGGUGGUGGUGGUGAGGGGGGGGGGGGGGGGUAAUGGGGUUGACAAACAUAUUAGACACAUCUAAAUCAAUAGUGUUACAUCAAUUAGGCCAUGCCUACCAGAGUGUAAUAAAUCUGUUCUAAACUUAAUUUAGAACUAUAAUACAACAUAAAUGAAAAUAAACAGAUAACUUCAGAAUCAUACCACCCCUUGCUCUAAGGUAGAUACUGGAAUUGGCAGCCUGAGCUCAGCGACAACUGCAGGUAAAGCUCGAGCAAGACAACUGGCUAAAGCUUGCUUUAUUUCAGAUGACCGACCAUCUGUCAAGAUAAUUUUGCAAGGAUAUUCUCUCCCGUUAACUGAUAGAAAGUCUUCAUGAAAACUUACAUCCCUCCCAUAUAUAUAUGCCAAAGAAGAUGAUGUUGUCCACGAAAAGAGGGCAUUCCACAUAGAUGCAAAAGGUGACAACUGAAAUAAAGUUUUAUGAAAAAAUGAGGAACGUCAGAACCAUGAAAACUUGUACAGUUUGAAUAUUUGUAAAAAUGCUUACUAGACACUUACAGUCAAACUGAAACCCUCUGGUGGAGGGUCAUACCAUGAGUCUUCAGAGUCAAACAAGUCAAAAUCAGAAAUUCCAGGCUUUCUAGGCCAUUUCAGAGUAACUGCAUCUGUUUCUGGAAUAUCAACAUCCUCCAUAGUACCUUCCUCAACAACAUCAUGGGAAGAUGGCAAUAUAAUGAUUCCAGCUUCAGAAACUGCAACAAGAUUCAUUGACAGAAGAAAUUAUUUAAGGAAUCAUUUAAUAUUUGAAUAGAAAGCCUUUUUAAAGAAAUGGUAAUUACCAGCAUCAGUGAUAUCUGAGUCUCCAGAUGCAACUGCUUCUGAUGCUUGGCUCAAUGCAAUUGCACAUGCUUCUGCUGAUGCACGACGUACUAUAUCUUCAUCAUCAUCAGUAACAUCUAUAUUACCCUCUAAAUCAGAUUCUUUUUUAAUAUCUCCAUCCCCAAAUUCUCUAACUGAACAAAGAUCUUUACUCCCAGAGCUGUUGGUUUUCUCAUCAGCCCAAGUAACAGAGCGACUAAGUUUAUUUUUACCAGUGGACUUAAGAGAAGAUUUGGGUCUAGUCUUGUAUGAUCCAGUUUCUUUUUCUAUUUGAAAUUCCCCUUCAACAUUGACAGGAUCUAAACUGGAGGUGAAGGCAUUCUGAUUAGCAGCAACUCUACUUGUUUCCCCUUGGAGUUGUAUUGAUUUCCUUUCAGAAAUAUUCUGUUCUACAUCAAGUAUUUCUGACAUGGUGGAAGAAUGAACAGCUAUCUUUUCAACAGAAGGAUUCAGAGAGGAUUUGAUAACAGGUUCAUCUGAUUUAUCUAUUUCCUUCUCUUUUUCUGAGGUACUUAAAUUUAGACUACUCUUGAAAGAUGAAGACAGAUCUUGUACACUAUCAUCAUCUUUACUAGCCACUUUAUCAGCCUUUUUUGGCACCUCCACUUUGGCCACUGGCUUAAUUUGAUGAUCAGCAGUUGUGUCUGUUUGACCUGAUGAUACUUUAGAAACACUAUACUCAUCUUGCGUAAUUAUAGUACUCAUGAAGUCCAUCUCACUGUAAAUUAAUUUUUUGUCAUCAUUCAACCUGCCACGACUAGCUUUGGACCCUGCAAUUCAUAAUCAAAUCUCACUUUGUUGGAAAGUGAAAAAGAAUAAGAACUUAUCACUUCACUAUUCCAUUUCACAGAAAUUUGGUCCUCAGAAAUCAGAAUCACCCAUAGAUCAAACAUUGAAUAUGAGACAAUAAACAAAGACAAUCUCAAGCAAGAAAUUGCAUAAGGCUAUCUGACUACCUAGGGUCUUAAUUAUCAAGAAUUCCAUAAAAUUCUCACCUUUUUUAAUAUUUUUCUGAGAACUCUUAGAAUCACUCUUUCUUUGCUUUGGUACAUAACCCUCAAUUGCAUUUGAAGGUCCAAGCCACUGCUCCAAGGACACCUCCCCUGUGCUGGACUCAGUUUUCUCCUGGAUUCUCAAGCCAGACAAACCUAAAUCUCCACCCUUCCCCAAAUCCUCCACAGGUUCUGCAUUCAAAUUCUCAAACAACCUGAGAACAUCGUUGAGUUUCUCUGGGUCCACAGUCGGGCACCUCUCACCUUGCAAGGUCCCAGCAAAAGCUUUGCUGUUAACAACACAAGUGGAAGAACAAAACAUGUACGUCUCGUGCUGAUCAUAAACUUUGUGCUCCUUCAGCGAAAUCCGAUAUCUACCCUUCCGGGGGCGAUCAGAGGGUAAACCAUUGCGGCAGAGUGGAUAACCGCAUACAUUUGUAAUGGACCUCUCAGUCACAACAUCUUCAUAGUCACUCCUCGAUAUCAAAGACCCAGCUGCAAACAGCUGGUCUUCGCUUCGGAUGCCUUCAAGGAGGGACAUUUGCAAUUUGAAAACAGCAUCUUUGACAAAAACAUGUUGGUUCUUUGCCAUUGAACCAAAGCCUCAGAAGCAACCAAGUAUCUAAAAACUGCCCCAUGUACAAGAAAGUCCCCCAUAAGUUACUAGAUUGAGUACAUUCCAACAAAAUUCAAAACUUAAGGCAUAAAUAGAGCAAUCCAUUCUGCUAUAGCACUCAACCAAUCAUAACCAACAUAUAAGGGGAAAGGGAAAAAAUGAAACAAUUAAUCAUUAAAAGCAAAUAUACAUAAAUAUCAGUGUUAUCAAUGACGGAUGGCGGAAAGCCAAAAUACCGCCAUAUAUUUAUGGCAGUGCCAUGGCGGCCUUAAUAAAAAAAAUUAUAAAUAUAAAUAUAUAUAUAUAUAUAUAUUUAUAUAUAUAUAUAUAUAUAUACAAUUAUACAUACACACAUUAAAAACCUGCAUAAUGCAAUUAUACAAUACAACAAAUAAAAAUUCUGCUAACUAAUAACAACUUAUAACAUCAAAUAUAGGCUCAACAUCAUAGAUACAAUAGCAAAUAUGAUAACAAAGGUUCAAUAGAUAUUAGAUACUAGAUAGAUAUUAAGUCCCAUACUCUCAUUGAGCAUAUUACAUACCAAUUACCAAAACAUCAUGACAAAUUCAAGACUUGAUGUUUUAAUUGACAUGAAAAAUAAAGUCUAAAGAGUAGAAUUUAAUCUAAAUAACUAAUCAUCCAAUCCCAAUGUAGUGUAGUCAAGUUGAGUGCCUAUGCCACUUGCACUAAAAAGGGGAAAGAAAACAGAGAUUUAAGCAAACAGUGACAGAGGAGAAAGGAGAAGGGACAGAAGGUAGUAACUUGUAAGUUGUAACAGAGGAGAGGAAUCAAAAGUAAGUCAGAAACAAGCCUUUGGGAGAUUAGAGAGAGGGAAACUGAGAAACAGAGGUGAGAGGACGCAGAAACAGAGUGGAAAAACGAAAAAAUUGAAGAGAAAAAUUACCUAAGAGAUUGGAUGGAGCAGAGACGCGGUGGCCGGAGACCGGAGUGGUCGCGGGGCCUCAGGUAACCGGGAAUGGGUCGGAGGUGGAUGGGGCAGCAGCUAUUGGAUGGAGAUGGGUGAAAUUAGGGCUUCUAUUCUGAAUUUGGGGGUUUAGAAGCUGAAAUAUGGACUAUGUGUGUGUGCGUAACAAGUUUAGAUUAACUACAGCAAGUUCAGCUAAGAAGAAUUUAAUUCUCAAAGAAAUCUCAAUGAUCACAAACACAAAGAGCAACAAGUUUAGAUUAACUACUUAGUUUGAAUAACAGAAUGCAGAAAAUGAAAGAAAGAUCGUUACUGUGCUAUGUUUGAGUCGAUGAAAGCAAAGGGUUUCGAUGGAAACGAAAGAUUGAAGAAUUGCUUUUUCUCUAACGUGAGUGGGUUAGAUAUUUCAAUUGAAUUGAAGGGAAGGAGUAGUUGAAUUUUAAAGUGGAAGAAGCAGAGGGGUUACUAGCACGCUGGUAUGAGUAUCUGAGACGAGGGGAAGGAGGAGAUUGGAUUAGGGAUUGAAGAAGGAAAGACUUCUCCAGCAAACGCCACACUACACUUGUUUAUUACCGGUUUGCUACUUUAAAAUUUAAGUGGAAUUUAUCAAUUUUACAAUAAAACUUAAAUUUCAAAAUUUGAAUUAUAAAAAUAAGCUGAUGAGUAAUGUAUAAUUUUGAAAUUUUACGUUAACAUAGAAAAAUGUUCAAAAUUGGAUAUUUGUUACAAUUUAUUUUAAUAUUUAACUUUUUAAGUAAAAUGAGUUCAUAUUAUUAUGAAAAACUUCGAAACAGUUUUUCGAUGUAGCAAAAAAAGAAAAACUUCGAGACUCAAACAAUAGAUAAGAAGAGGAGGUAACCCAAAUAAAAAGAGGGGCCAAAAACCUUUACAGUAAAAGUUGAUCAAAAUAAUACCCAACACAUGCCCCAAUAAAAAACAACCUAUGAAAAGUGAAAACUACACAAAAAGAAUACUCCUUAAGCACUUAGGAAACAAGCAAAUUCAUUUAAAUAUUUAAAUUUAGGCUUAAUCUUUAAAUUGAUCAUUGUGUUUGUGUCACUGUUUCACAUAGGUCUCUCUCCAAGAAAAAAUUAGCAAAAGGUCCUCAUGUUUGCACAACAUUUGAGUAAGUCACCACCUGACACCGGAGCUCCGACGAGCUUGUUGAAUGGUAGGUGAAUGCUGAUGUGGUCUUAUACACGUCAUUUUUAAUUAAUUUUAAAUGACACAUAUUUAAUUAUUAAUUUAAUUAAUUAAAAUUAUUUUUUAAAAAUACUAAUUUCUAAUUUCAGAAAUAUUAAUCUCUAAAUAAACACAUACAAAAAUUCAUGAGUAUCAUCAUUGUUCUUCCCUUCAUGAUCUCCAACUAGAAAAAAAAAACUGCCUCAACCAAACUUGAACCCACAAACAUAAAUCAUAUUCCUCAACCCCCAACAUAACCAAGAACAUCGAUUUCCAGAACAAAACUACAACAAGAGAACAACACAACCCAACAACAUCACCCAAUUUCUAGAGCACAACAUCAACCUAGAACAUCAAAUUCUAAUCCCCAAUUUACAAACAACCCAAACCUCUGCAAUGUAAAUGGGUUGAAGAGAAAAAAUUGAAAAUGAACAUUCUUUUCUUGCGGUUUCCGAAAUAGAUCAGACAUAACAGAAAUCGAACCAUUUUGCAGAAAAAAAAUCAUCCAAAUCAUGUGAACCAAAGGCAACAGAAGAAUUCAUAAACAAAGGAUGAUCAUCGUUUCUCACUUCUAGGUCCUCAUGAUAGCACAGACCACUGCUAGAUGAAACUUUAACAGUGUAUUGAAGAAAUGAGGAAGAUAGUUCUGCAAUGCAAACAGGUUGUUUGUCGUUCCCUCUAGUUCCUCAUCCUCUUCUUCCUCUUGGGUCUUCUCUCAUCCUCUUCUUCCUCAACUUUUUAUUGGAACCAAAUCCACCGUUUCCGCCAUAGAAUACUGUGUCGUUGUUACCACCGUCCUAUCUCAAGAACAUAUUGAAGCCCUCUCCUCAAGCUUUCUCGUCGCCGUCAACAAAGUCUUUAUCAUCACCACCACCGUGCUUCCAUCAGUUAAGAAGAAGAAGAAGAAGAAGAAAGAAUGGAACAAAACCAUAAGAACCCAGAGCCACUAACGAGCAAAGAAAACCCUAUAUAAACCUCUUAAAGCCAUGUUGAUGUGCCAAACUACAAGUGUACAGUUUCGCCCGGGGUUUUAAUUUAUCGAACCUCAAGGAUUGUGAUAGUUUACUUCCUAAUGUUACCAAAUUCUCGCUGUAAGGAUGAAAAGCAAAAUUAAAAGAGGGUUUAGUUGGUUGAUAGAACGAAGUAACAAGAAAACGUGGAAAAGUUAAUUACUGAUUUGAAAUCACUUAGAGAAAAGCGCACCAGGGAAUUGAUUUCGUUUACCCUUGCUAUGUUUCUACCCGCUACAAUUAUAUAUGAAAUUAGUUAAAUCUGUUCAUGGUGCUAAGCCUAUAUGUUUACUUGCUAAUCCCUUAGUCAAGCACCCCUUCUAGUUAAUUAGUGAUAGCUAAUUCCUUAGUACCUAAUCCUAAUUAACUAGAGAUUCAAUUUCAUGUUCAGGAAAACACAAAUAAAUUGCUACCCUUAUCCCUAAGGCGUAGAGACCCUUAUUCAAUUUCUUCCUAGAUCCCUAUCAUCUACCAAUUUCCCAAUUGUGCAAACGAUAGCAUGAAACCCUUUCGCGAUUGGAUUCAAUAAAAUUAAAGAAGAAAUUCAUGAACUAAAAUAACCAUUCAUAUAUAACUGAAACGUAUCAAAACAUAGUUUAGAGAAAACUAUAUCAUAUCCCCAGUACAAGAGAGGAUUAGUUCCUCAUAGUCAUAGGAAACAAUUCAAGAAAAAGGUAGCAAAACAUCAAAAUUACAAUAGAAAAAUGUAAGGGAUCCUAAAGAACUUAGGGCUCUGCCUCCAAAGGCCUCUCCAAAUGUUUCAACGUGAAAAGAUCCACAAAAUAGGUUAAAAACGCACUUAAAUAGAGUCUGGUUGUUAUUUCGCGCAAAUGCGCGAAUUCUGUGAAGGAUCUCGCACAAAACUGGUGCAAAAUAUUUCAGAAGCUAAUUCCUUCGCGUAAAUGCGCGAGAUGCAAGAGAAAAUUGGCGCAAAACCGGCGCAAAGAAAUUCAGAUUGCUCCAGACUUCGAGAUUCUUGGCUCUCACCCUUGAUUUGCUCAUUGAUUCCACAUCUUCUCCUAAAAUAACAAUAAUAAUAAAGGAAAAUAAUUAAAAACCUAUAAUAGAGAUUAACUAGAGGAUAGAGUAAGAUACCGAAUUCAAAUAACUUGAUUAAAUCCUAAUGAAAUCUAUAAAAAUAACAUAAAUAUAGAAAAAUACUAAAACUAAAUGAAAACAUUAAAAUGCAUGAACUAAGCCUAAAGUAUCAUAAAAUGACCUAAAUAUCCUAAAACUAUAUUAAACUACAAGCAAAUAAAUCAGGAAAAUAGCCUUAAAUCCCGGGUCAUCACAUGUCGACAACCAGCAAGCCACAACCACCACCCAAUCCCAAACCGAAGCAAGACCCAAUCGUAUCCGAACUAGAUCAAGCCAGAUCGAGCCAGACGGUUGUCUUGACUUGUAUGCUGAGUAGACAUUACAGGGUGUGCAAUCAAUUGCUUUGUUUUAUGUAUCAAGUAAGCUUUGGAUGAAUAGUUGAUCAGCUUGAGUUCCUUCUUCCCUCUUUCAUGCUAUCGAGCUUUUCUUUUCCAUAGCUUGAUUUUUGUGAAUAGUAACCUUUGUCCUUGUGAGGGCUUGAUUUAACAAUGUAGCAAGUAAUCUUAUCCAUGAACAAGUCGAAUAGAUGUUGAGGUUUUUGAAUAUCUAAAAGACGAUAGAGUGAUUAUAUAUCUGAGCUUGAUCAUUCAUCUAUUUGUGGUCUUCAUGACUUGCGUUGUCAUCGAGCUUCUCCCUUGGUUGUUGCUAGGAUAUUGUAAAUAACGUGAAUAUGCAGUAUCUUGAUCUUUCCUUUGAAGUUGGGCACUUCCGCGCCAUAGAGUUGCACACUUACCAACAAGAAUUUCCUUUAAUGUAGUGAUAAAAGCUUGAUCAAGAAGAUUUUCUUCUUCAUUUGAUGUUUUGACCUUAAGGGAAUUUGAUAGACGAUGAAGCCUGUAUUGAUGGACAUUGGAGCUUAUGCAUUCUCAUGCUUGUAUUGUUUUGAGACGUUGUAUUUGCUUUGUCUUUGAGACAUUGUAUUUGCUUUGAGCUUUCUAUCUUUUCUAUUUCUUGAUCCUGUAGACGUUUACUCAAACGAUAUAACUUAGACAUUAAAACUUGUACAUGCUUUGAUAUUGAGUCAUUCUUUCUUUCUCAUGAUAUGAUCUUUUUGUACAUGUGUCUAAUUAAGACUUUGAAUAACAUAAGAUCAUUAGCUUUUAUAACUUGUCCUCUUGUCAUCAUCAAAACUUAAGAAGGAGAUGAGGCUGCACCGGCCACUCGCUCCCAGCGAGCUUCUCCACCAAAUAGGAAUGAGGAAGACUGGAGGGUGGGUGGAUAGACAAUCCAUCUAAGAGUGUUGUUCCUUUGUUUGAUUGUCUGCAUUUUAGCUAAGUAUGUGUGUGCCAACUUGUCGGACCCGAUGUUGUAACAUCUUGCCUAUGACAUCUGUCCCUGAGUAUCUGUUGUGAGUUGGUUGUUUGGUUAUCUGUGAAGCUUUGUGUUCAAGUCAGGGCCGGCCCAAGGGUCAAGCGACUCAAGCAAGGGCUUUAGGCCUCAAAAAAAAUAUUUUUUUUUCAAAGUAAAAAAGGCCUCAUAUUUUUACAAAUAAGGCAUCAAAUAAAAAAAAUACUAUUACUCACCAUUACCUGCCACUUUAUUAGUUGUUUCUUCCCUAAUUUUUCUCAAAAAAUCUUAAUUGACUAUUACUAGAAAUUAGCAAUCUUCAUUGACAAUUAAUUAAUGUUACCUAUUCUUUUUCCUCACCUUUUAUUCUCUGACCUUCCCUUUCCUCUCAAUUAAAUCCUAAUAACGUUUCUACUCUCCCUGCCACUCUCUCAGUCUCUCCAAGCCUCAAAGGGAAAAAAAUAGAGUCUUUAAUUUGUCUCUCAAACUCUCAUAUCCUUUAUAAAAGAAUCAUCCUCCAUAAUUUAUUUUUUCUUUGAUUAGCCAUUGAGAAGAACUAGAGAAGAUCAAUAGGGAGACAAAACUCCUUUUAUUGUAAGUAGUUACGCUCUAGCCUCUUUGUUGUGAUGGUUUCAUGUUUAUGUUGAGUUUUGAUACAAUAAAAAUUUCUUUUUUCUACAAUAUAAAAGGACCGUAAAGUACUAACUAAUUGGAAUUGGAUGCAAUACAAAUUGAUUAUGAUAAUUUAAUAAAUGAUUUUGCAUCUCAAAAAGUUCGAAAAAUAAAAUUUAAAUUAAAAAAUUAAUAAAGAAAUUUUUUCAGACAAAAAUGCAUCACUUAGGCCUCACUUUAAAGUUCGCUUUAGGCCUCACUUACCGUUGGGUCGGCCCUGGUUCAAGUUAGGUUGUGUCGCCGUCAAGGAAUAUUCCUGUGUAUUCAAACCCGGUUCAAGGGGGUUUGAUUUGGAGCUAUUUAUUGAAGUUGGAAUCUGCUUAAUUAUUGAUUGGUCAAGGAUCCUCUGCAGAUUUGUUACUUAGCUGUUUUCUUUUAGCAACUUCCAGAUUUGUGUAUGGACCGUGUGCUCUUUCAAGCCCAAUGAAGACAAGGCCUGGAAGACUAUAUAUGAAGACUCAAGACCUAGUCUCGUUGAGAGAACAAAAUAUAAUAUUAGGGUUUUCAUCGAGUUCAUACUGGUUUUUGUACUCUUAGCAACUUUAUUCUAUUGUUGUGAGCUAAGGGUGAGUGUUUACUGUGUGAUCUUGAGAUCUGUCUUUGUAACUCAUAUUUGAGUUCAAUCACUGUGGCAGUGAUUGUGAGAGAGUGAGAGGGAGUUCUCAUACUUAGGGGAGACCUAAUUAAUAUUCCACGGGUAGAGAUAGGUAGGAAAGGUAGUUGAGCUGGGGCAGUUCCUGUGAAACCUUUUAUGUACAAUUUCUCUAUAAUAGUGGAUUAUCUCUCUUGGGUGAAAACCCUCCAGACGUAGGUGAUAUUGCACCGAACUGGAUUAACAAUCUUAUGUGUCUAUUUACUGUUUUUCAGUUGUUUAUCAUGUUGUAUCGUUUGCUGAGUUAGUCAUAUUGUUAUACAAGAUGUCUUAGACAUCUGGUAAUACAUCUAGUAAAACAUCAAUGUUACUGUAACAUCCUGACUUGACGACUGGCCUCACGGUAACAACACGAGUCUUUUCAGCGCGCUUUGUCCUCACUCGCGCGCUUCCCGGGAAAACUUCCCAGGAGGUCACCCAUCAUAAUAUUGCUCCAAGGCUAGCACACUUAACCAUGGAGUUCUUAUGAGUUGGGCUCCCGAAAAGAAGUUGCAACUUGUUGUCAUGAGUAGUACCAAUCAAAUCAUAUAUGUCAUCCUCAACUGUAUAGUCCAUCCCUACACAGUCUCGGAAUACCUCUUGUUCGGGUGUGGUGCGUCCCUCCACAUAGAAGGUGAUCAAUCCUCGCCCUCGUCAGCUCAAGGCGUCACAGGCCCCCCAACUUCCGCUUGGUUCGUCCCCGAACCACACCGUACUGGGAGAGGUCGGCUCUGAUACCAAUUGUAACAUCCUGACUUGACGACUGGCCUCACGGUAACAACACGAGUCUUUUCAGCGCGUUUUGUCCUCACUCGCGCGCUUCCCGGGAAAACUUCCCAGGAGGUCACCCAUCAUAAUAUUGCUCCAAGGCUAGCACACUUAACCAUGGAGUUCUUAUGAGUUGGGCUCCCGAAAAGAAGUUGCAACUUGUUGUUAUGAGUAGUACCAAUCAAAUCAUAUAUGUCAUCCUCAACUGUAUAGUCCAUCCCUACACAGUCUCGGAAUACCUCUUGUUCGGGUGUGGUGCGUCCCUCCACAUAGAAGGCGAUCAAUCCUCGCCCUCGUCAGCUCAAGGCGUCACAGGCUAUUGUAAGACCUGGAUUUGCAGAACAAGUUAAUUUCCGACUUACGCGUAGAAUCAGUGUAAGCGUGACAUGAGUUUGCUGUUUGAGAAAGAUUAAUGAAGAAGAAAGUUCAGGAAGUGCUUGAGGAAUGUUGCGUAGUCGCUUUAGGAAUUAGUGCGAGUCGUCUGCACACCUGCCUUAUGGCGAGCGUGUCCAGAAUAGGCUAAUUUCGCUUUUAGAGCAAUGUUUAGGUGAGAUUUCAAAUCCUUGGGAAAUUUAAAGAUUCUCUUUAUUUUUCCUUCGACCAGCGUUUCAUUUCGGAACCCUGGACUAUACGCACGAUAGUGUUCACCGUUCGGAAGUCCGACGACGCUAAUUUCUUUGCUUCGAAACCCUAGAUUCAAGCGCUGGAUGAAGACUUUUUCUAUUCGGGACUUCUAACGAAGUUUCCGUCCGUGUUGCCAGAUUUGUUUCGACAUUUCCAAUCUUUCUUCAGAAGGAAGUUUUGUCGUCUGACCAUCACAGCAAAAAGUAGUUUUUCGGGACAGAUUAACUUACACCUCUUUUGGGAUUUUAGAUAUCGUUUUCCCCAAAAGUUAGAGAUUUGUUUUGAGCUCUGGAAAUCUAUCGCCAGAAUCUCUCUUAAAAUUCAUUGGUGAACGUGCUGCAAAAAUCGGAAUCGCGAAAUUUUCAUUUUCCCGCGAUUUCACCCGCCUAUAAAUAGCUCAAAAAUUCAAAAAUAUCUCCAUUUUCAUCACUCAAGGCCGCGAGUUUCAAGGGGAGAGGAGGAGAAGAAUUUUUCGCCAAAACUCGACCGAUCUUCGUGCAGUUCGUUCCUACUUCAAGGUACCGAGGUAACUAGCUUGAUUCUUACCUCUGAUCACUGUUUCUACUGCGUUUCUUUAGUCGUUUCUGUGCUCAAAGUUUUGAGCUUUUUGUAAAACUGUCUGUUUUUCCUGAUUUCUCUGUUGGGGUUUGUUCUCUACGUGCCCAAGAGCCUAAAACCUCCGUCAGUAUUCGCCGAUUGUGAUCGAGUUGUCAAGGAUCUGAAAAACUGAUCCAAAACCCUUUUUGUCGCACAUUUCGAAACUUUACUGUCGAAAAUUCGUAAUCUAACGUCGUGCCUUUAGGAUUUGUUGUCACGGAUGUCGUUAGGAUCAUUUCUGUCAAAUUUGUUUUCCGAACUGACAACUUUGAGGUUUUGAGCUUUUAUUUUGGACCAAAACACCCCUGAACAGCCGUAUUUUGAACCGAUCGUCCGAAAAUUGUUCCGACAGUUUCUUUGCCUUAGUUUUACCCUAAAACUACCUUGUAAACAGAUUUGAUCGAAGAAAAAGAGCCGGAGCCCUUUUUCCUUUAUGGCCGAGAGCUAUAUCAAAGGGGUGGAGUUUUUCGUUUUCGAAAACUUGUCUUUUCGUACUCGAUUGUUAUAUUCUGAAGCUUUAAUGCUUUUUCUAUCAUUUAUGAGUUGUAUGGCGAUCGAGCUAAUCGAUUUUGUUUGGAUUCUGCUUUGUUUUUCUCCGAGGUUCAGUUGAAGGAACCUUGGGUUUUGUAGAGCAAUCGUGUGAAGGGAACUUUAACCACGAGACUGGAGCAGCUCGAGGUUAGGGCAACUUACUAAUUAGCUAUGACUGCAUGAUAGGCGUCGAUGAAUUCGACUUAUGCUUUACUUUGAUGUUGAUUAUGUUGAUGAACUGAUGUUAUGAUGUUUUACAUAACUUGUGAUGUUGAGAUGUUGAUGAAUUGUGCGUUUUGACGCGACUUCGGAGUGGGGAGUCUUUGAACUGGUGUUAUUUGGUAUUUCGGGUUGGAUGAACAACCCUAGGCAAGUUCGAACGUGGGGGUUUGAGACUUAGCCAUUCGUUGGUAUUCGUUGGAAUACUUAGACUUUCCCCGGGAUGUUUCUUUUGGUGGGUUUUUGGAAAACUUAGAAUGAAUAGAAUUUCGAAAACUAAAGACCUAAGAGAACUUAGUUUUCAAAGAAUUAACCUCAUAACUUGACUAAUUCAACUUAAAACGUUUUCAUUAUUGAAUGAACCAUAGGGAAUCCCAAGGGGGAAAUAAUUGCGAAAGACGGGGAAAAGUCGACUCUUGUUGUGGGUUUUGGAAUUGGGGAAAGCCACUGAGGUGAGCUAUGGUGAUGAUUGAAAGUCACCGAGUACUUUAGUACUCUUGUGAUUCGAGUUGUGUUGUAUUGACCGACACUAACUCUUGGGUUUUGUUGUUCGAGUUGUGUUGUAUUGACCGACACUAACUCUUGGGUUUUGGUUGUUGGAGUUGUGUUGUAUUGACCGACACUAACUCCGAGUUGUGUUGAAUUGACCGACAAUAACUCUUUGGUUUUGAGAUUGGGUUUGAGCUAAACACUUGUGUUGUGAGGUCGAUUCGAUGUUUGACUAACCAUAUUGCAUCAUGCAUCAUUUGGUGAAUAACGGGAAUGGUUCACCAUUGCAUUAUUUGGUGAAUAACGGGAAUGGUUCACCGAUGCAUAUUCGAUGAGAAACGGGAAUGCUUCAUCGAUGGUGAAUAACGGGAAUGGUUCACCAGUGCAUCAUUCGACAAGGAACGAGAAUGCUUUGUCGAGGAUGAAUAACAGGAAUGGUUCAUCCAUAGUGAAGAACGGGAAUGCUUCACUUGUGGCGAACGGGAACGCGUCACAUAUAUCCGGAUCAUAUUUAUUGCAUUUCACGCAUACAUUCACUCUGACUGGAAUUGUGUGCUGUUUGAUUUAUUGAAGCAUUGUUAGAGCCAAUAACAUGCUAGGAUUGCUUAUAUAUAUAUAUAUAUAUCAACAUAUAUAUCUAUACCCCAUAUCACAUGUGAGUGUAUAUCUACUUAUUUCCGUGAGUUGACCCUAGCGCCUUGGCUUUGGUUGCAUGUUUGUGUUUGGGCGGUCGGCCUGCUGCCAAAUGUCGAUGGCCGACUGGUUUUCGAUGGUCUCUCCCUCGGGGGGGAUCAGGUAUGAGCUGGUGGAUCGUGAUGCCCCCACCGCUUGGGUGAUUGAUGUUGCUGGUCACCGAGCGACGUACCGGGGAAGGGUCAUGGAGGACCAGACGGAUGAGCGAGGACGCUUGACGAGAGGAGUGCUACGACGGAUGGAGCUGAGCUUUGACUUGCCACCCUCAGUUCAUUGUGGACCAGGUACUGGUCGAGGACCACCUGCACCACCUCCGACUUCACCUUCUGAUGAUGAGGACCCAGCGGAGAUUGAGCCUGUUGCUGCUGCACCUGUUGCGCCACCUCCUGCUACUGCCAUUGAUCCUACCGACGUGGCGUCGUCCUCUAGGCUUGUGCGGCCAAAGAGGGAGUCUGUCGUCCCAUCUGCCUCACGUCUCUUUUCUUUCUCUUCACCGCACGGCUACCGUGUGGACCCCUUGGUUAGGGUGGUGGAGGAGGAUGUUCUUACAGGAGAGGUGGAUGUUGAGACUGGCUCGACUAGGACGGUGCGCAGGACAGUUAGGAGGGAGGUCGUGGACUUGGACACCGAGAUGAUUACGGUGGAUUCUGACUCUGACUCCGAGAGCAGUGGGGAGAGCUACUCGCCGAGCAGCGACGAGGAGGAGGAGGAGCUAUGAGCUGAGCUGGGAGGGUAGGUUAGGCUAGCGUUAUUUUUUGUGUAGAGCUCUGAUCGUCUUACUUUUGGGGACAGGGUAGGUCCCGAUGUGUGGCUUUUUGUGUGGUUCUUUUGAGGAGGAUCACAGAGAGUCUGUCGGAGUUUAGGGGUCUUUUGUUCAGGCCGUUUUUGGGUGCCGACUUUCUCUUGGAUGACUGUAUAUUUGAUACUUUUGCUUACAGUGCUGGUUUGUAUAUAUUUGCCUGCGGGCACACUACUUUGGAGUCACUGCGAGUGCGCGUGACGGGAGAGUGCAGUUGAGGCUGUACAUGGGUAUAUAUUUGUAUAUUGGUUAGUUAGUGUUGGGUUAUGUCUUUAUUUUCUAUCGCUUUAUUUAAAAGGAAUCAAACGGAAAAAAAAAAAUUACCUGUUUUCCGCGUAAAGUUUAUUUUUGGUUACUAAAGUGACACCCGGAAAUCGGGGUGUUACAGUUACAUUUGCCAGAAUUUCAAUUGGCAUCAGAUCAGGCACCCCCUGUUCUACUUUUGGGUGAGAUCUAGGGAGAUAAUUCUGGUAUUAUGGACAACAACAAAGAAGGAGGAUCUGUUCAUAGGCCACCAAUCUUGGAUGGUACUAACUAUGACUAUUGGAAAGUUCGUAUGAUAGAAUUCUUGAGAUCCAUUGACAGCAAGACAUGAAAAUCCAUUGUCAAAUGGUGGAAACAUCUUGUGAAAGGUGACAAAGAGGGAACUUCAACCAGUGAUUUGAGGCCUGAGGAAGAAUGGACCAAGGAGGAAGAUGAUGAAGCUUUAGCAAACUUAAAAGCACUGAAUGCCAUCUUCAAUGGAGUGGACAAGAAUAUGUUCAGGUUGAUCAAUACCUGCACUGCGGCUAAGGAUGCCUGGGAAAUCCUCAGAGUUGCUCAUGAGGGUACCACAAGAGUAAGAGUGCCAAGACUUCAACUUCUUACCACUCAGUUUGAGAAUCUGAAGAUGAAGGAGGAUGAAACUGUGUCAGAAUUUCACAUGAGGGUGCGAGAUAUGGCUAAUGCAUCAUUUUCCCUUGGAGAACAAAUGUCUGAGGAAAAGCUUGGCAGAAAAAUUCUCAGAUCUUUACCUAAGAAAUUCGAUGUGAAGGCGAUAGCAAUCGAGGAAGCUCAGGAUAUUGAAGCAUAAUUGUAGAUGAAUUGAUUGGUUCAUUACAGACCUUCGAGAUGUCUGUGAAUGAAAGGUCAGACAAGAAGAGCAAAAGUAUAGCUUUUGUGUCAAAUACUGAAGAUGAUGAUGCAAGUGAGAAAGAGUCUGAUGAAAAUUUGUCUGAAGCAAUAGCUAUGCUUGGGAGAAAAUUCAACAAAGUGAUGAGGAGGUUUGAAAGAAGACCUCGACCAAAUGUGCCAGACUAGCGGUCUGACAUUGGAAAACACUCUGGUUUUGCUCGCAUAAACAAGGAAGAAGACAAGUACAACAAAAGAAAAGGUGUCUAGUGUCAUGAAUGCGAAGGAUAUGGGCAUAUAAAGGCAGAAUGUGCAACUUAUCUAAAGAAACUGGGAAAAAGAAUGGUGGCUACUUGGUCUGAUGAUGAUACAGAAGAGGAAGAUGAACCUCAAGUCAUGGGGCUUAGUGUGAAGUACAACUCUGGAUCUGAAUCAAGUGAUGGUGAAAUAUCUGAGGAGGAACUUUUUGAAACCUACAAACUUCUAUUCAACAACUGGAAGGAUGCUUGUGAAAAGGGAAUGAAGCUAGGAGUUGUCAAGAAUCUGGAAGUUGAGAAGUAAAAUUUGUUAAUUUUGAAUGGCAGCCUUCAAGAAGAAGUCACAGUGCUAAAAUCAAAAAUUGAAGGUAUGAUAAAAUCUGUUCGUAUGUUGAAUAAAGGAACUGAUGUGUUUGACUUGAUUUUAGAAACAGGAAAAGUUGCAAAGGAUAGGACAGAUUUAGGCUAUACUGAAGACCCCACAACUGAAGAAAAUAGAAAGAUCAGUAACCUGUUCAUUCCUGCAGAGAAGAAGACUGAGUUCAAGAUGUCAAGCCGAAUGUCUCAACAUGUUGCUCAACAAGGAUACCGGCAGAUUCCUUAUUCUUAUCCUCCAACCCAGAUAAUGAGAAGCACAACCUAGAAAUGUCAUCACUGUGGUAAGCAUAGACAUAUAAGACCCUAUUGUUACAGGCUGUGCGGAACACCUCAACACUGGAGAACUACUCAGAUGCCCACCUCUGCUAAUCCAAAGAGAAGAGAGUGGAAACCUAAGAACAUUGUAACUGCUGUUGUUGCCUACACCUCUCUAAGAGCAUCUUCUAAGGAGGAUUAGUACUUUGAUAGUGGAUGUUCCAGGCACAUGACUGGUGUGAAGAUGUACCUAGAUAAUAUCAAACUUCACUCAACCAGCUUUGUCACCUUUGGUGAUGGCGCUAAAGGAAGGAUCGAGGGAUCCGGAAAGAUUGUUAGUGGUGGCUCUCCAAAUCUGAGUAAUGUUUUGUUGGUAGAAGGCUUAACUGCUAACUUGAUUAGCAUAAGUCAAUUAUGUGACUUGGAUCUGAAUGUCUCAUUUAACAAAGCUGGUUGCACUGUUACUAAUGAAAAUGAGGAAGUUGUCAUGACUGGAGUGAGAUCCAAAGACAACUGUUACAUGUGGUCUCCACAGAACAAGGCUAUGUCUUCAAUGUGUCUAGUAUCAAAGGAAGAUGAAGCAAAGUUGUGGCAUAAAAAAUUAGGGCACUUAAAUCCCACAAGCAUGAAGAAGGUCAUAUCUAAAGAAGACAUCAGAGGUAUUCCCAGAUUGAAGAUAAAAGAAGACAAAGUGUGUGGAGAAUGCCAAAUUGAAAAGCAGACCAAAACUUCUCAUAAGAAACCAACUCAUAUUGGUACAACAAGAUCCUUGCAACUGCUACACAUGGACUUGAUGGGACCAAUGCAAAAAGAAAGCUUUGGUGGAAAAAGGUAUGUGUUUGUAUGUGUUGAUGAUUUUUCAAGAUUCACUUGGGUGAGCUUUCUUGUAGAAAAGUCAGAAAUUGAAGUAUUCAGAGAACUAAGUCAGCAACUCCAGAGAGAAAAGGGGUAUGGGAUUGUGAAAAUCAGAAGUGAUCAUGGAAAGGAAUUUGAGAAUGGAAAAUUUUCAGAAUAUUGUGGAAAUGAAGGAAUCAAGCAUGAGUUCUCUGCUCCUAUUACUCCACAACAAAAUGGUGUGGUUGAAAGAAAGAACAGAACACUGCAAGAGUCUGCUAGAGUAAUGCUUCAUGCUAAGAAAGUUCCUAAUCACUUCUGGGUUGAGGCUAUAAACAUUGCUUGCUAUAUUCACAACAGGGUAACUAUACGUUCAGGAACUGAUUCUACUCUAUAUGAGCUGUGGAAAGGGAAGAAACCUAUUGUUAAGUACUUUCAUGUCUUUGAAAGUAGAUGCUACAUCUUAACUGAUAGAGAACAAAGGAAGAAGCUUGAUCCCAAGAGUGAUGAAGGAUUAUUUCUGGGUUACUCAAUAAAUAGCAAGGCUUACAGGGUGUUCAAUUCUCGCACAAAAACUAUGAUGGAAUCCAUAAAUGUGGUUGUGGAUGACAGGGUAAGUAGCCUGAAUGAAAUCAAUACAGAUGGAGAUGACAAUGUGCCUCAGAUAGUUGAUGAGAGACCAAAUGACUGUGACAUCCGGUCUGACACAGAACCUGAAGAAGAAAAAGAACAUGAGUCAUCUAAGGAGAUUGUUCCCUCAAUCAGAAUUCAGAAGAUGCAUCCCAAAGAAAAUAUAAUUGGGAAUCGAAAUGAAGGAGUUGUUACUAGAUCUAGAGACAUCAUUGCAAAUGCUUGUUUUAUCUCUAAAAUUGAGCCAAAGAACAUCAAGGAGACCUUAACUGAUGAGUACUGGAUCAAUGCCAUGCAAGAAGAAUUGAGUCAAUUUAAGAGGAAUGAAGUAUGGGAUCUUGUUCCCAGACCAGAGGGUGUGAAUGUGAUUGGUACCAAGUGGAUUUUCAGAAACAAGUCAGAUGAAAAUGGUACUGUGACAAGAAACAAGGCCAGAUUAGUUGCUCAAGGGUAUACUCAGAUUGAAGGAAUUGAUUUUGAUAAGACCUUUGCUCCCGUUGCUCGAUUGGAAUCAAUCAGAUUGUUGUUAGGACUAGCAUGCAUUCUGAAAUUCAAGCUGUUCCAAAUGGAUGUGAAGAGUGCUUUCUUGAAUGGAUACCUGAAUGAGGAGGUAUAUGUAGAACAACCAAAGGGUUUUGUAGAUCCAACCUUUCCAGAACAUGUUUACAAGUUGAGAAAGGCGUUAUAUGGAUUAAAGCAAGCACCAAGGGCUUGGUAUGAAAGGUUAACAGAGUUUCUGAUAAGUAAAGGGUACAUCAAGGGAGGAAUAGACAAGACUCUAUUUGUGAAAAGUGAUGGUGGAAAAGCCAUGAUAGCUCAGAUAUAUGUAGAUGACAUUGUCUUUGGAGGCAUGUCAGACCACAUGGUAGAACAUUUUGUUAGACACAUGAAAUCUGAGUUUGAAAUGAGUCUGGUUGGUGAAUUAAAUUAUUUCCUGGGGUUGCAAGUAAAACAGAUGCAAGACUCCAUGUUCAUCUCACAGAGCAAGUAUGCCAAAGAACUAGUUAAGAAGUUUGGUCUUGAAGGCUCAACUCAUAAGAGAACUCCUGCAGCUACUCAUAUCAAGCUAACUAAAGAUGAAAGUGGAACUGAUGUUGAUCAAAGCUUAUACAGAAGUAUGAUUGGUAGUCUUCUUUACCUCACGGCUAGCAGACAAGAUAUUUCUUUCUAUGUUGGUGUUUGUGCCAGAUAUCAAGCAACACCUAAAGAGAGUCAUCUGGUUCAAGUCAAGAGAAUAAUAAAGUACAUUAAUGGAAUUGCUGACUAUGGAAUUUUUUAUGCUCACAACUCUAAUUCCAAUUUGAUAGGCUACUGUGAUGCUGAUUGGGCAUGAAAUACAAAUAACAGAAAAAAUACUUCAGGAGGAUGCUUCUUUCUUGGUAAUAAUUUUUCAGCAAAAAGCAUAAUUGUGUCUCACUAUCUACUGCUGAGGCUGAGUAUAUAGCUGCUGGAAGUGGGUGUACUCAACUAUUAUGGAUGAAGCAGAUGCUGAAGGAAUAUAAUGUCAAGCAAGAUGUCAUGACAUUGUACUGUGACAACCUGAGUGCCAUCAACAUUUCAAAAAAUCCAAUCCAACAUAGCAGGACAAAACAUAUUGACAUUCGUCACCACUUUAUCAGAGAUUUAGUUGAAGAAAAGGUUAUCACUCUUGAGCAUGUAGAAACAAAUCUGCAGUUAGCAGAUAUUUUCACAAAAGCAUUGGAUGCGGCUAAGUUUGAGGAGUUAAGAGGCAAAUUGGGGAUUUGUGUAAUAACUGAUUUAUAGCAGUUAUUGACAUAUGUCAAGGGCAACGACUAUAAUUUCUUCUAUUUAACCGCCCUUGAUGCAGUUGAGGAAGACACAUAACUGAUUUGUCUUGGUUUCACAAACUUGAAUUAUUCUCUCUCUUUGUGCUCUUUGCUCUCUAACGGUUAUUAUUGUAAUUGUGUCAAGUUGCUCUCAAUCAUGACUCAAGAUUCAGGAAAGAAGAUCGUUGCCGGUCCCAAACCUAUCAAGAACUCUCAUGGAGUCAAAUUUCUUGGUUUGAAGACUUCAUCUUCUACUUCAUCUAGGGUUACUCGUUCCUCUGCAAAAAUUGUCUCUCCAGAAUCGUCUGGACCUGCCAAGAGGACAAGGAGUAUGCGGAUCAAUCAUGUUGUCAAGCGUGGCACAGGGAAAGCAUCAAGUGUUCAUGACAUCUCAGAGGAUUCCAUUCCUGAUCCUCAGGUUGAUGAUAAUCAAGAAAGUGAUGCCCCCGAUGCUGAUGCAGAUCAAGUUAUCCACGAUGUCUUGGAGACUCUUGCAGAUGUUGCCACUGCAGAGGAUGUCAUGCCAAAUGUUGAAUCACAGGAUGAUCGUGAUUUUGAACCAAACUCUGCAGAAAAUCCUUGUGAGCCUGAUGCUGAGAAGGAAGAUGAUACUGAUGUUGCUAGUCAUGAAUCUUCAAGUGAGAAGACUCUCUCUGUUGAAAUUCCCCAUGAGAAGACUCCUGAACCUGUGUCUAGGAAGGGUCAGAAAAAAGUGUCUACUGCCUCUGAAGAAGAAAACUCGGAUGAUCAAGAAGUACACAAGAAAGUCAUUGCCUCUGCCUGUAAGGAGGCCACAGUCUCUACAAGUAAGAAUGUUACAGGUCUGAAAGAAAAGAAAAAGAAGGUUUCUGGUACGCAGACUCCCAAAACUCCAAAAACAUCUCAGGUCUCAGUUCCUGAGAAGAAGAAAAAGAAGGAAAAGAAAGAUGAGAAGGUUGCCGCAUCUACUGGAAGGAAGAGGAAACAUGUUGCUGAAACUGACUCUGAACCAGAUGUCGAGCCCGAUGUCCCUGACAUCUCCACCUCUGCCAAGAAAAGAAUUAAGGGGAAGAGAAUUCCUUUGAAUGUUCCAGAGGCACCCAUUGACAAUGUAUCUUUCCACUUUGCUAGUUCUGCACAAAGUUGGAAGUUUGUUGUUCGGAGAAGGUUAGCCAUAGAAAGGGAACUCCAUGAAGAUGCUUUGGAACUUAAAGAGAUCAUGGAUAUGUUGGCUGAUGCAGGUUUGAUGAAGACUGUCAAGAACAUUGGCAGAUGCUUCUCUCAAUUAGUUAGGGAAUUCAUUGUGAAUAUCCCUACUGACUGUGAUGAUGAGAGUAACUCUGAGUUCAGGAAGGUCUAUGUCAGAGGAAAGUGUGUAAAUUUCUCUCCUGAAGUUGUUAAUCAUUUUUUGGGAAGAAGCCCGGUUGCUGGAACUGAUGAAGAACCUGAGUUGAAUAGGGUUGCUAAGACCCUGAUUGGCAAGAUGGUCAAGAAGUGGCCAAAGAAAGGAUUGCUUCCCUCUGGGAAGUUAACUACCAAGUAUGCUGUCCUUUUCAAGAUUGGCUGUGCAAAUUGGAUGGCCACCAAUCACUUAUCUGGUGUAACUCCUCCCCUUGCCCGAAUGCUCUAUCUGAUUGGUACUGAUGGUGAGUUUGAUUUUGGCAAACUUGUUUUUUACCAGACUCUGAAGCAUGCAGGUUCUUAUGCUGUGAGACUGCCAAUUCUGUUUCCAUGCCUCUUGUCUGAACUAAUUGUCAAACAACAUCCUCAUGUUGUGAGGGCUGAUGAACCACAAGGUAAGAGACCUUUGCCUCCCAAGUUUGAUUAUCGCUUGUUUGCUGUGACACAUGUUCCAGACAUUGUGUUAUCUGCAGCAAAGGGUUCUGCUAGUACCAGUGGUACUCAGAGAGUUGGUUCAAGCAAAGAUGAUAUUUUGGCUGAAUUGAGGGCUGUCUCCAAGUCCUUGGAUGACACUAUUCAGGCUUGCAAGAUUAGGAAGCUGAAUGUGGACAAGCUCAUCAAGGCCAUGACAUAGGUUCCUGCUGCUGUUGCUGAGGAAGGUAUUAUUGAAGAGGAUACUGAGCAUGUUGAGAAUGACACUGCUGCAGUUGAGGAAGAGGAAGCUCAGUAUGAGACUGCUGGAGAAGAUGAUAGUGAGUCUGAAAAGGAAAAUGAGGAGUCUGAUGAAGAAGAACAAGAGGAUGUCAGUGGCUCCACAAGUUCUGCCACUCGUAGCACAUCUCUUUAAUUUGUUCUCUUUUCCUGUUGGGGAUGUAUUUGAUGAAGCCGUGUGUGGCCCUAUAACUACUACAUUUGCUCCUGGUCUGAUUGUGGAUUUGUGCACUUGGAUUCUCCGUUCUGGCUGUUCUAUAGUAGUAUGACUUCUCUUCAUUGAGCCUUUGCCAAAUUGUGCUAAUAAGGGGGAGUAAUAGUUAAUGGUUACUUUGCUGGCAUGUAUGCAGUAAGUAUAGCAGUAGUUCUUGAUGUGUGCUUAGUAUACUAUGUAGUGAUGGUUGAUGUGAUGUGAUUUUCUGCUGUGCUGUACUCUAUUCUUAGUUUUGUUACUGCACUUGUGGGUUCAUAGCUGCUGAUUAUAGCUAUGUUAUUGGAAGAUGUUUUUAAGCUACCUUGAUAUGGUCUGGUUCACUCUUCUCUGGUAUUUCAAGCUGCAAGUGUUUUGAAGAGUCUUUAUGGCAGUAUAGUAUAUUAUCUAAAAUUUGACAAAGGGGGAGAUUGUUGUUCCUUUGUUUGGUUGUCAGCAUUUUAGCUAUAUAUGUGUGUGUCAACUUGUCGGACCCGAUGUUGUAACAUCUUGCCUAUGACAUCUGUCCCUGAGUAUCUGCUGUGAGUUGGUUGUUUGGUUAUCUGUGAAGCCUUGUGUUCAAGUUAGGUUGUGAUGGAAGCUUCUGUGCGCCGUCAAGGAAUAUUCCUGUGUAAUCAAACCCGGUUCAAGGGUGUUUGAUUUGGAGCUAUUUAUGGAAGUUCCUUAAUUAUUGAUUGGUCAAGGAUCCUCUGCAGAUUUGUUACUUAGCUGUUUUCUUUUAGCAACUUCCUGAUUUGUGUAUGGACCGUGUGCUCUUUCAAGCCCAAUGAAGACAAGGCCUGGAAGACUAUAUAUGAAGACUCAAGACCUAGUCUCCUUGAGAGAACAAAAUAUAAUAUUAGGGUUUUCAUCGAGUUCAUACUGGUUUUUGUACUCUUAGCAACUUUAUGCCAUUGUUGUGAGCUGAGGGUGAGUGUUUACUGUGUGAUCUUGAGAUCUGUCUUUGUAACUCAUAUUUGAGUUCAAUCACUAUGGUAGUGAUUGUGAGAGAGUGAGAGGGAGUUCUCAUACUUAGGGGGAGACCUAAGUAAUAUUCCACGGGUAGAGAUAGGUAGGAAAGGUAGUUGAGCUGGGGCAGUUCCUGUGAAACCUUUUAUGUACAAUUUCUCUAUAAUAGUGGAUUAUCUCUCUUGGGUAAAAACCCUCCAGACGUAGGUGAUAUUGCACCGAACUGGGUUAACAAUCUUCUGUGUCUAUUUACUGUUUUUCAGUUGUUUAGCGUGUUGUAUCGUUUUCUGAGUUAGUCAUAUUGUUAUACAAGAUGUCUUAGACAUCUGGUAAAACAUCAGUGUUACACUUGCCAAAAUUUCAAAGAGGACAUACGGGAGUAAUUCAACAUGUAUUUUUUUCAUUAUGCUAUUUAUAUAUCUUUACUUAUUAACUAACUUAUUUAUGUUUUCCUGAUUUCAUGCUCAAUAUCUUUAGAAGGUGAAGGAGCUUCAUGCUGAUCAACUCAAUGAGGGAUUAAGCGUCAUCCCCUCCAGUAAAGCUUCACCAAUGGAAGGAGGUUGUCGGGGGCAAGAUUCGUGGCUAUUCAUACAUCACAUGAGACUUGUCAGCCAACGCCAGACAAUGGCGGGACCUCACUUAAGAGUGAGUCUCAGGCUUCCCACGAUGCAGCUGCUGGCGGAGUGGAUGAGGAAAGCUUAGCUAGGUGGUACAUUUACGAAGCUGAAUAUGCACACCUAAAGGAGAGGAAAUUAGUUUUGUCACAGCCGACCAAAGGGUUGCAGUAUCCGAUGCCCAAGCAUUUGGCCGCAGAUGUCGUUACUACGGUGCAUAUGUUUCUGUCAUUGGGAGGUUGAGCUAGCAUCUAUGGCAUCCACUAAUACUAGUCAAAUACCACAACAAGUUCAUCAACACUAUGUUGUUAAGCAAGACGAGCAAAUAAUGGGUAAUCAUCCCUGGCUUUUUUGUACUCGUUUUGUGUAUUAUUCAUGAAUAUUGUGACUUUUAUCAACAAUAUUGUGACUUAUAUAUUGUUUUCGUCAAUAUUCAUGAAUAAGAUACAAAACGAGUACAAAAAUAUCAGGGGUGAUUACCCAUUAAAUAAUUUGCAUUCUAUUUUGCUAUACUAAAUUGGUUUUUAUUAGCAUUUAGAAUGUAUGAUGACCUAUGUGGAAGGCCAAUUAUUGGUAUAUAUAUGCUACUUGUCCUGGUCUGGAAAAAAAACAUAAAUGAGCCUUGUAAUAAUUCUGUUGUCAGGGUUGGCUCAUGACCAAUGCUAAAAUGAAAAACAAAGCUUCUUGUCCAAAGUAGCAUCAUCGAUGAGCCGACGCUAUUAGUUUCAACCAAAAGACCAUCUAGAGUCGGCUAUGCCGACACUACAUGAAAAAUAUUAGUCGAUCUAUACAACCAACUUUGAUGCCAGAUUUAGAGUUGGCUAAGCCGAUGCUAAGCGAACACAACAUACAUGCUGCCAUAGCCGAUGCUAAUUUGCAAAUAUUUUCGUCGGUUAGCAUCUGUCAUAUAGACUGACUCUAAUAUUUCCAUGUAAUGUCAGCUUAUCCGAGUCUAAAUCUAGCAUCGGCUGACUUAGGCAAAGCUAUGUGUUAGCUCUGAAUCUUUUAACUUCAACUCCAACACCUAUGCUAAGUUAACGCUAAAACGACUAUAAUGUCGGCUUUUGUCUUGUUAGCGUUGAUUUUUGGGCGCUUUUCUUGUAUUGUACAUACAAUUUAUAUAUCAAAUUUUCUUACAUUUUUUAAAUAAUUUUUUUGGUUAAGAUGUCUUUUUGUACGGGUAAAAUUUAUAACUUUUCAUUUUAGUCACUGUUAAAUUUUUUAAAAAGUUAGUGCUUACAGAACUGAAGUAUAUUUGAUGGAUACACUUGUCUUGGUAGAUGAUCCUGGGCAUAAGAAUACUUCUAUAAUGAUCUAUGCUUCAGUUUUGAAAUACCUAUUGUUGGCUAAAGUUUGCCUCAGUUUGACAGAAUGUCAUGGUAAAUCUCAUGAUAUGUGAUGCUCCCUGCCCCUACCCUAGGGAAGAAAAGAAACCCAAGAAAUUUGCCAUAGUCUAAACAUUGGGAACCACUCACUGGCGAGACCCUCACCAUCAAGCCAGAUGUCUAAUAGCUUAAUUAAUUAAACAAUGAAUUAAUUUCUGAGAACUGCCAAAGAAGAUCAAGUGCCAUUCAUAGACAUGCACCACAAAACUUUUCUUCUUAACUCCCUUUUCAUUUCUUGUGUUGAAUUCUGUUCUGUUUUUUGGAACUCACUGAAAUACUGCUAGUGGUCACCACUAUAACUAUUAAUGUACAGAAUAUGUUGUGGACCACUGUACUGCUUUGUUGCUGCCAUUAUGAAACUGGAUCCAUCAUACAUACAUAUACAUGGACGUGCUUCGCUCUAGAGUCAUAAAUGACAGUACCUUAUGAAUGAUUUUAAAUUAAAAUUAAAGAUAACUUUGUCAAAAUGCAACGGCAAGUUGCAAUCAUGCUUAAUAGGUAAUAGAAACAGUCAAAAGGGGCCACAAUUGCAACUGUUGACUGCAACUUCAAACAACUUUCUCAAGUUGUUUUGCCAUUUACAUGAACUGGUGGUUCUGAUAUAAAUUGAGCUAUAUCAAACAGCUGCUAGCAUAUAUUGUAGAUAGUUAGACUCCUUAAAAUUUAGUUGACGGUUUAAUUUCCGAGUGAUAUGUAUAAAGAAAGGUUUUUCAGAAGAUGUCUAUCCACUUAAUAUAAUUUCAAAGUCUCGAGAAAAUUAGUCUUAUGACUGUCAAUUGAGCUGUGAAAAAGAUUAGUCUUAUGACUGUCAAUUGAGCUGUGAAAAUAUUAUAAUGCACACAAAAAUAGCACCAAGGCUUGUAAAUGAAGAUAUUACACACAGCCCAAACACCAUAUAUUAGAUUUUGGGUAUUAGAAGUUGUUUUUAUUAAUUAACACUAGAUCAAAAUAUAGCAUUUAUGCUUGUAAAUAUCAUUAUAAUGUUUGAUUUUAAGUUAAACUCAUAGAACACCAAUGGAGCUUGUAGAUUUCUUUCAUAUUUCACGUGUUACGAGACCUCAUAACUUGUUUUAAGAACUUUAAUACAUUAAAUGUGAUUUUCAAGUGAAAACCAUACCUAAGUAAGCCAUUCAACAUUGAGAGGACCACCAUAAGAAAGACAAAAUAAUGGUACAAGUGGCAACAUGUUAUGAGGUACUCCAUGUCGCAAGACAAGUUGAAAGGUCUUAUUCUUACACGCCCUGCUCACCCAAAAUUUCUGUUGAGAGAGAACUGACUCAUCUGAAACACUUGGACCAUGUUGCUACUACUAACUAAAUGGUAGCUUGGAUUAGCAAGCAUCUCAGUACAGUACUAGUACUGUACAAUGUCUCAGUUCAAUCAUAAAGGCAGCAUUCAAAUUAUGUGAAAAACAAAUUUAAAGAAUUAUACGAAAGGCCAUUGUCAGAAAAAUGAGAUAAAGUUAUCCUGAUUUCUCACCAAAAUUGUUGUCCAUUUCCUUAUCAGAAGCUAUGCGACAGCUUGUUCAAAAGGUAGAGACUUAAAAGUGUUUCUUUCAAAUUUUAAUACCACAAUGUCUUUUGCUGAUUUAUCAUGUGCUCCAUGCAGUGCUCCAAACAUUGCAGGCUACACUAAGGUUAAUUAGGAACUUGUGACAGAGCAUUGUAUGAUUCUUUUUUCUCUUUCAAAAUAUCACAACUCUCUAGGAUAUUCAAGGCAUGAAUGACUUAAUCAAUUAAGAAAUUUCAUCUUUUCUUCCUGAAUGCUUAUUCCAAAGGGAAAGAAAUGGCAGACCUGAGAUCCUUGUUAAUUCCCAUAGCUCAUGCAUUGCUAGUUCAAUGCCUGAUUCAUACUAUAGAGAAUUAUUUAGGUCAAAACCAAAACACCAUCAAAGAUAUUCAUUCUGAAACCCAAACAUUGCUCACAUUCUAUAGACACUCAAUUGAUCUCUCUAGAUAUCUGUUGGGUGUAUUGAAUAUGCAAAUGUUUACUAAUUAAUUUCCUAAGUGAAAUGUUAUCAAAUCACCUUUUUCCUUUAACUUUCAUAUAUACCCUUUUGUCAUAACUAAAUAGAUGAAAAGAGACUUGGUGCAUAUGUAAUGCCACAACCGAAUCCACACUAACCAACAUAAAAUUUAAUCAAUGCAUUGCCAUAUUUGAUUUCUUCCUAAUACCUCAGGCAAUGUAGCAUAGUCCAACUAUGAUUAAGAUUAAUUAAGAGCAUGUUUAAAUUUGUGAUGACACACAACCCAAAACUAGGUAACUAUAGAAGCUACACUCUGUAACUUCUACACAUAAGUGAUUAUCUAGCUUUCCACAACACAACCAAAACAAUGCAAGUGUACCUUUGAUUUCACAUUGGGAACCUUAUAAUCAAGUAUCAUGGAGUACAGUCACUUUGGAUGGGUAUAGAUGUUUGGUAAUCAUCUUAGAAAGUUGAAAUUUCACAACUGAAUUCACAUAAUUACUCAACUGAAAUUACUUUGAAGUACUUUUACCAGAAUUCAAAAUCAAUUCUAUAAUGAAUGCUAAUCAAUGCUUAUCUAAACAUGCACUAUAGGACAAAUUUCCUUCUAUUCAAUUUCAAAUCAUUUAGGAAACACAUUACAAACAUGGAAACUGUAAGCAAAAAGGCACUAGACCCAACAUCCAAGAAAAUGCACAAUCCGAAAAUGCCAAUAACCCAAUCAUGAGUCAUACCAAACACAUUCCCAAUCAUAAAGGUAAAAUUAAUCAAGAGUUAGAUAUUAUUAAAUAAUUUCAACAACAAAAAAAAUCAUUAUUUAAUUAAUGAUUUUUGGUUCAAGUUGGGGGUGCUUGUAGGAAGCAGUCAUUCAAGAAUUUCUCCAAAAAAAAAUGCAGAGAAAUUAAAAGCUCAUGUUGAAAUUAACUAAUGCAACCUUGUUAAAACUUCCUCAAACUGAUACAUUACAUUAAACAAGAAAGUGUUAUGUUUAUACAGCAAGAACCUGAAGAUUGGAAACAGAAGAAACUUGUGAUUGUGUUGUUGAUGAUAAGAAAGAGUCAUCUCUUUGUGAAGGGCUUCUCCAAAAUCCAGUGCUAUAAAACCGGUCCCACAUCUCCUUCUCCAACUCCAUAAGCUCCUUAUUGUCUUCUUUCUCCUCCAAACCACUGCCCAUCAUGCCUGCCACAUCAUCAAGCGAUCCGCACGCUGGGUAGACACGGGCGCUAAAGUCAUCGCAGCAAGCGCACGUGCAGCGCCGCGUCUGAGGAAACACCACCUCCUCCCCUGCGGUGGGAAGGUGGUGCCGUCGGCGGCGCUGCUUCGUCUUCUUCAGCGCCCGCUGACACAGGCUGGCUGGUACCUUGUAGAUCGCCAGGUACAUGAGGUUGGCGAGGCCGAAGGGGCAGCAGCAGCAUACAGCGGCUGCUCCUCCCACCGCCUCCCCCAGCUGCGUCACCGCCCUGCCGGAACUCUUGCUUUGCCGUAGGAGCGGUUGCCGCCGGUGAGUUGAUGAUACCGUCGGCCGGAGAACAACUUUCUUCGACAUGAUCGGUUACAGUUACGACGGAAAACGGUUUUUUACUAAAACUGGUAAAAAUAAAUAUUAAUAUAAUAUUUAUAUCACAGUUCCGUUGUAACCGUAAUUGCAGUGUCGAUUCUGUUAUGAAAAAAGAAGAGAGGAACAAAGGAGAGAGAGAAAGUGUGCAGGUUCUGUAACAGAACGUUCCUUGUAACAAAAAGGAAUCAGAAGAUGGAAAGUUUGUUAUUUGGCAAAGCGGAAAAGACCAAACCAAACGUUGUGUUGUGUUGGUUUUUUCCGAUGCCAAAUUUCACAGAUGACCCGAUUUAUGGGGCACAAGAUAAAGUGAUGAAGAUCGCUUUAUCUUAACUCUUUGAGAUUUGGAAAGGAAGAGCUGGUGCUGGUGAUGUUGCUCCCAACAAAUUAGGAAAAGUGGUUUAUUUUGGGUUUAGGUGUGAUUGGAAUUUGGGGAGGGGAGAGUGUAAAUAGGUGUUGAUCUAGAAUUAGGAAUUUGGAAUGGCUGGGAAGGCUAAAAUUAAAUAGGGAAGCUCAAAAGGUUCUGUUAUGGCUUUUGGAGAGUCAAACUGACUCAGAUAUAGAGAGCUGGCAGUGGAAGAGGGUGCAUAUAUACUUGGCUCGGACUCUUGUAUGUAGCGUGUACAGUAUAUGUCGCAUUUAAUAUGACUACAUCCCGUGAUAUUUUCUGUAAGCCACAAAAUAUAAAGCCCACACUCACGUUAAGACUUGCCAUAAAAAUAGAGUGUGUAAAAGUGAUUUGCACUUUUUCAAUGUUUGCGAAUAUAUAUAUAUAUAUAUAUUUUAAGAUUAGAACUUGUUACAACUGGGGCUAGCCCCUCAUUUGUAACAAAAAAAAAAAAAAAACUUGUUACAACUUAUAAAUAAGACGAUUGCUUUGUAUAUAAAAAAUGAGAGAAUUUAUAUGAUUUAUUUAAGGUAAAUGAUCUGAUUAAUCAAACAAAUCUGAACUAAUACCUUAGUUUGGUUUGGACCAUUGAGUUUAUCGGGUUAAUUCAAACUGAUGAACACUCUUAGAUUUAAUACCCUUCAAUAUAUUAUUUAGACUAUAAAGAACUUUGAUAUCUUUACACCCUUAUAUUACAUAUCAUUAAUUUGUACUAGUAACUAGCAUUCUUUUCUUUUUUUCUUUUUGUGAGCAAUAAUUAGCAUUCUUAAACACAUUUUUAACACAAACUUUAUAGUCGUUUAUUUUUCCAAAUUUCAACAUACAUAGCUCAUACUUAGCCUAAAAUUUCAACAUAUUAACAUUUUCAUAAUUAAAAUAGAGUGAUGACCGUAAAAAAAAUCAAAACAUAGCUUUAAUAGAGUGCGAUGUAGAAGGUGCGACCAAUGAUGACGACAGUCUCGUUUAACGGUGAAAGACCCUCAAACCGGUAGUGACCCAGGGAACCCUGACGUCAAAUCAUAUCGGAGAAAGAAGGAUGGUCCUUGGGUCAAGGAAGAAGCAGGAAGCGUGGACGACAAUCCAAGAAGAAGGAAGGAGAUAGACUCUUCUCCUAGCUUUAUCUUUGCCCUCUUUGUCUAUGGUAUCUAAGAUUGCACCGGCUAUCAACAAGUUUGUGGGUUUUUUGUACAAUAUAAUUUGGGAGGUUUUUUUACCUUUUCGUUCAAAAGCGGAGGUACGUUAGAAGGAUGUACAAGUCUGGGUUGUUUAAUAGGUUUUCUUCUCUGGAGGUGGCAUCUCAGGUGAUCAACCCUCUCAACGGGUUUCGCAUGGGUGAUGUGUCCCUCUCGGUUGGCUUUGGCGAGAUUCCCAUAACCUAAAGUUGUUAAAUAUAUAGAUGGGAGAUCGGUGGUGGGUGAGGGAGUUGUUGCCACUGCUGGAGUAGAUGAGGAUUGGCCCGCACUAGACUUCUCCGUAGAUGAAACUUGAUGCUCACGGAUCUUGAUAGAAGCUGCUCGGCGGUUUCUGACUUUCCUCCUCUGUUAGAAGUUUACUGAAAUUUUUGGUUGGAGUUUUUCUGCUUCCCCUGCUUAUUUUGAACCAUCUAUUGUCUCCCCCCCGGGGAUUGUUCCUGCUCAUGAGUUUGUGGAGGUGCUCGAUAUACCUGUUCAUUAGGAUGAUGUGAAAAUUCCUAAGCCUAGGAGUAUACCUAAGAAGGCAGUGUAGCGGGAAACAAGAAGCAGGGCCACCCCAAGAGCUACCCUGUUUUUGAGACAGCGGACGCUGGUGUGACGGAGGCACAUGGAGAGAGCUUAUGGUGUUGCCGGAGGAGCUUUCUAAGACCUUUAGCGUCAUGACUUGGCAUGGAGUGCUAUGUUGGUGGGAAAACGCCUAAGCAUACAAUACUACCGCUCAGACGGUUACGCCCAAUAUGAGAUUGCAGCUCAAAAAUUGCGCAUAGGGCUUUUUAGCUGUGGUAGAGGGUGUCGUUGGGCCAUGUUUGGAGCUUGCGGUCUUUGGGGUCUUUGUGGGACUUUUGGGUGUUCUUUGGGCAGUUGUAUAUAGGCUUUUGAGUCCUUGGUUCUCGUUGUUUAUCUCGGCUUUUUGUAUUCAUCUUUGUGAUUGUUUUCCCGAGUUGUUACUUUUUGUUCCCCUUUGAGGAAAGUAUAUAUCCUGACUAUUUUCUCAAUCUUAUAUCAAUAUAGUUUUUGCUUUCGAAAAGAUGUAUUAGUUGUAAUAGUAAAAAUAUGGGUCCUAAAGGUGAAUCAUUUUUAACAUAGUCUCCAAUAAAAUCACCCCUUAAUAAUAUUUUGCUAUGAACCAGGCUAAAUUAACUUAAAAUAUCCUUUCAAAAGAAAAAUUAAAAUAUGGAUUUUAAGAAAAAAACUUAAAAUACGACCGACCUCGAAAAAAAAAACCUAAAAUCUAUUAUAAAAUAUAUAGCAGCCCUUAACUCCAUCAACAAUCUAGAAACAAUUAAAAAAAUCAAUUCAAUGAAGGCCCAAACAAAAUGAUCAACUCUGCAAAUUGUGUUGUCCUUUUUUGAGAUCAAACUGUGUUAUCACUUUACACGUAUGUGUGUCAAUUUAAUUAUCACCAGUCACCACGUUAAAAUAAGUUUAUCUAAAUGAUUGAUAAAAGAUUUGGUUAUUUUACUUCAAGAAAUUUAGAUUAAAUCAUCAUAUUCUAGAGAAACCAAUUAUAUUCUGUAAUCUGUUCAAAAAAAAAAUUAUAUUCUGUAACAAAAAAAACCAAUUAUAUUCAAAAUAAGUGAGUAAAAUAUUUCACUUAUGUUAAUAUUAAUUAGUCCACUAAACCUAUAGUGAUUUAACAUAAUUUUCUUUCUUAAAUCAUUUAGACAAGGCCGGCUAAAUGAUAAAAUUACAAUUUUAAAUGUCCGCAUCAUAUCAUAUCAAUUCCGUGUAUAGAGAAAAGACCAUCAUUCAACAUUUCAACUUGUCAUCGAUUUAUAUAUAUGUUCUAAUGAAGUCAAUUAGCAACCAAUAAUUAUUUAUUCACACCUCAAAAUGAGGUGGAAUGGGGUGGAGGAAGAGAGAGGAGUAAUGUUACUCACCCACCUCUCUUUUGAGGUGUGUGAGGUGGAAUGAUGAGAGAGAUAGAAAGAAAAGAAAAAGUAAGAGAAAGUAUGAGAUGUGAUAAAUGAUAAGAGGAGAGAGAUAGAAACAAGAAGAGGUGGAAAUGAAGUGUUUUAAAAAUGAGGUGUGUAUAUAUCAUUACUCGAAGAGAGAGAUAGGAAGAAAAGAAAAAGUAAGAGUGAAAAAGUAUAAGAUGUGAUAGAUGAUAAGAGGAGAGAGAUAGAAAUAAAAAUAGGUGGAAAUGAAGUGUAGAAAAAAAGAGGUGUGUAUAUAUCAUUACCCAUUAGCAACCUCACAUCUUUUAAAGAUGUUCAAAACUAGAGCUUUUGAAAAAAUGCGUAAACAAAUUGUAACUGGCAAGUUCUAUGGAAUUGCAAGGUUAGAGGCUUCAUCAAACGAGCGUCUAGCGUGAGAUUUUUUUAUUUUUUCUAUUUUUGAAGGUAUUCUCACAGUUGACAAACAUGAUAUUAAUUCAUCGAAACUUUGAGAUCAUAUUAAAUGAAUAAGUCUUUAUAGACAUUUUGAAAGUGAAUUAUCAAUGCUUCAAUGAUGUCUUAAAAGUUAAAAGUUGAGUAUGACAAUUUAAUAUGAAACACUACAGAUUAAACAAUAUAUAUUUAAAUGUCAAGUUAUAAGAUUACCCUCAUCUUCCUUUUUCUCCCCUUCGCCGCAAACUACCUGAAUUAUCAAUGAUGUCUUAAAAGUUGAGUAUGACAAUUUAAUAUGAAACACUACAGAUUAAACAAUAUAUAUUUAAAUGUCAAGUUAUAAGAUUACCCUCAUCUUCCUUUUUCUCCCCUUCGCCGCAAACUACCUUGUCCCUUUGUUGCCUCCCUCUCCACGACCUCCCAUUGCUACAUCUCCUCUCCCUCUCUUCCGACGCAACCUUCCCUCUGUUGCGGUGGCCCCUCCACCUCCAUAAACCUCAUCGACAUCGUCUUCAAUGUCAAUAAUCUUUCAGUGUCAAUAAUCUUCUUCUUCUAGGGUUCCUAUGAAUAAACAAUUAAUGUGUGUGAAGGUGUAAUGUUUUUGUUUCCAACAUCUACAUUGAGUCGAAGUUCGAUAUUGGCCCCCCACCCAAAUCGUUAUUGUUCUAGUUGUUUUUUUCUCUUGUUAGCUUGCUGAUCGAGUUCAAGACAAGGAUAGCACUACAUCAUUCGAAGGCUUGUUUGCGACUAAUGGAACCCUGCCUGUCCCGAUGAUGUUGUUUCGUGGUCUUGCUCCAAGAAGGGAAUCCUUUGUGACGAGCUCACUGUCGACAACGUCACCAUCGAUGACUACUUGGUGCUAAUCAUGGAUCGGAUGUCAGCCAGUCAAACAUACUAUAUCACGAUUCACAAGAAACAAGUUCAACGAAGCCAUAGACCACCGUUUCUCUCUUUCAUCAAAUUCUUCAUCAACUUCCUUAAUGGGCUAUGUCAUUGGAGCAAAUGUCAUGAAGGUUGUUGAAGUGGGAGAAAAGGAGGGCAAGGGAAGGGGUUUAAGGUUGGGGAUAUCAGAGGGGGGGAUGAUUUAAAACUUGGGAUAUCUUCGAAUUUUCACAGUAUUAUUUUUUUGUGAACCACCGUGAUUCACUUUAUUUUAACUUAUAUAUUUAUAAAUGAGAUUAUCACCUAAGAUGAUGCUAUUACAGUCAUUUGAUAAUUUUAUUUUUAUUUAUAUUUUAGGUAAACCCAAUCUCAUGUUAUUUAAACUUAGCAUAUUUAACCCAUACAUCAUCCAAUUUCUUUAAAUCUAAGAACUUAUUUGCAUAUGAAAAAUUGCCCCAAUAAAUAUGUUUGAAUUUCAUUUCACCUUUUUAACUAUUUGAAUACAGGUUUGAAAAAUAGAAUAAGUUUUGUAAAAUCACAAGAUGGAUGGUUUAUCUCUACGAUUUCGUAUAACUUAUUUUAGUUUAAAGGCUACUCUUUGCAACUUUUAAAAAAUAGAAUCGAUUAUGAAAGAAUGAAAUAAAAUUCAAACGCGCGUAUUGAGUGUUUUCUUUAUGCUAAAAUUGAUUCUAUUAUAAAAUCAUAAACAUAAGUUAUCCUUCUUGAUAUUUUACAAAAUCGAUUCUUUUUCCAAACAUGGACACAAAAAAUUCAAGUUGAUUUAGGGUCAAGUAAAAUCAAUGAUACAAACACUAAUGGUAAACUUGCUAGUCUAUAUUAGUUACUUAAAGUAUAGUAGGACAAAUAUAAUUAGUUAAAUGAGGAAUUAGUACAACUUUUACAUAGUUACACUAUCCUAUUAUGUGGCAAACACACCCUUAGUUUUUCCUUAUGCUGCAUUUCCCUUUGGCAAUCUCCAUGUUCUAUUGAUAAAAUAAAUACAGAAAAUCAAGCACUGAAUUGAACCAGAUAGAAUCGAUCAUAAUUAGCACAAAAAAUGUUUCAUUUCGAACAUUAAGCCACAGUUGAACACUUGAUAGAUAAUUUCAUUUUUCACAUCGUUCAUAUUACAAAAAAUGAAUAUAAAUUUAAUACACUACCUGUUGGACCAAAGAAAGGGCCAAACAAAGAAGAUGGUUUAAAAUUGGCAUGGGGGAUUAAACUCCACAUUGGGCUUUGAGCAAACCAUAAGUGGAUCAGACACAUCUUUCACUCAAAACCUUAAGGCAAUGAGUGUAUGAGUCCUCACACUUAUAAACCACUCAAACUUAUCUUUAGCUUCCAAUGUGGGACUUACUCACACUUGAAAAUUCCCAACAUUCUCCCCCUCAAUUGUGAGUCCAUCUCAAACGAAAGUUGGGCUUGUACCUAGAACCUCAGAGGCCGUCAUUCUGGGCUUGUGCUCCUGAGUCUCAGAGGCCCAGGCCCAUGAUCAAACAACCAUCGGCUCUAAUACCACUGUUGGGCUAAAGAAAUGGCCAAACAAAGGAGAUGGUUUAAAAUUGGGGGAUAAAACUCCACAUUAGGCUUUGAGCAAACCAUAAGUGGACCAGACACCACAUCUUUCACCCAAAACCUUAAGCCAAUGAGUGUAUGGAUCCUCACACUUAUAAACCACUCAAACUUAUCUUUAGCUUCCAAUGUGGGACUUACUCACACUUGAAAAUUUCCAACACUACCAACCCAUGAGGUGAGGAUCGAUGAGGAGUUAGGAUUCAGGAGGUGAAGAAGAAGACAUGACAAAGUAUGAGAUCGAGCAACAUGAUGCAGGCACACGACACAGAUAGGAACGACAAUCCGUAAAAGAUCUGAAACCCCAUGAUUAUAUGGCUUCAGCUAGCUACUGCUCCACUUCUGAAGAAGAAGAAGAAGGAUCGGAUUUUUGAAAAGAGUCAUACGAUGACUGUAUCGAUAAGGUUGUUUUCCAACAAUAACGGCUCCUCACACGUAUCAAUUUGUUGCAAUGUAUGCACUACACGUGGGGAAGUUUGACUAGACAUUAUUUAGACUAAUAUGAAUCGAAAAAUGGUUACAACACUCAUUUUUAGGUUGACUUUUCAAUAGUCUCUCAUUUAUUAGUUGAAAUUUAUGUGAGAUUUAUUUAACAAAUGAAUUCAUUUCUAAUUUAAUUAAAUACACGUAAAUCCAACUACUCCCUCCGUUCCUUUUUAACUGUCCAGGAAGAGAAGAAACACACAUAUUAAUGAGUGCAAUUAAUUUUGUUACUUUUCAUAAAAGUAUUAUUUGAUUUCCUAUUUCACCUUUUAAAAUGUAUAUUAUCUUUCCUCAUUUAUUGUUCCUGCAAGGGUAUUUCUUGGAAAAACUUCAUUUAAUGCUCUUUUGAAACUCUAAGUGGACAGAUAUAUAGGAACACAUUUUUUUCUUCAAGGUGGACAGUUAAUAAGGAACGGAAGGAGUAAUAAAUAAGAGAAUGUUGGAAUUAGAAUAUUAGGGUGAGUAUUAUAUUUAAGCCGAAUAUUAUGUGAGAAUAAUUUAUAUAAGGUAAUUAUAUUUAAGCUGAAUAGAUUCAUUCUAUUAUCUGAUAAUUUAAGUCCUCACCGGAAAUUGGUACACCCAAAUUUAACACUUUCCUUCAUAUGGCGCCACGUAAUCAUUUUUUUUUUAAUAUUGAUUGUCUCUCUCUAAUUUAUUUUCCCGUGUUUGUCACACGUCAUCUUCUGUGUGGUUUUCUUAAUUUUUCCACUAUUCUCAAUUGAAUAAUGUUUUGUUCUCAUUUCUUAUUCACCUCUCCACCUUAGAUAAAUAUGAAGAUAAAAGAGAGAAAUAAGUGGUAUGAUAUUUAAUGCGAUAAGAAAUGCAGAGAGAUAGAAAAAAAUGUGUGAAAAUGAGAUAAGAGAGUAAGUAAUGUGUGAAUGAAUCAUUACUCAAUCUCAAUCAUGCUACUCCUUUCUUCAUUCUAUCAUUUGCCUCAUUUCUCAUUUUUUUUUCAUGAUGUUUUAUUUCUCUCAUUAUUUUCAUGGUUUAUUGCUUUAAACGCUUACACAUUUUAAAAUCCCUAAAAUUUCCAAACUUUCUCCCAAAUCCCUAAUUUUCGACGGUAAUUUCACGACUUAUGUUUCUGUUGUUUCAACUUAAUCUAUUCAACCUCCCUUCAUCUCUUCAACAAACCAUUCCUUUCUCAUAAUCUAUCAUAUUUUCCAAUCUUAUCUUAUCUUAUCUUAUACUUUAAACUAUUUUUGAAAUCAAGAAAUAGUAGUAACUCCUAUAAGUGGCACUCUAUCAUAUUUUUCCUUCUAUGACUUUUUUCCUCUCUCAUACUAUUCUUAGUAAGUGGAUGAUGUCUUCUUAUACUUUUUCUGAAUUUUUUGGAAUUUCGAAAUUAAAUUUUUUCCUCAUAAAUGAUUUGGAUUUUCCAUACAUUAUUAACUCUCAUUUAAUAAUGAAAUUCGAAAUUAUUUUUCUCAAAUCAUAGUACAAAAUGUUUUAUUUUUGGAAACAAAAAUAUGAUAUAAUAUAAAUAAAGUGUUGAGAUAGCUCAAGUGGUAAGAGGUAGGGACAUAAGGGUUGAGUGAGAUGAAUUAAGGGUGAAGGGUUCCAGAUUCGAAUCCGGAGGAGAGAUUAAUUUACUAACAUUUGUCUAUAAAAUAAACCUAACCAACAAAUCUGGCAAAAGCUCAAUCACUACAACAAUAACCUUCCAAAAACCAAAAGCACAACACGAGUGUGCAAUAACCUCCCAAGUGACUACCCCACUCGAAAGGUUCCGAAUAAAGUCAAAAAAAUAGCGACGAAUCAGGGAUCCUAUCAAGUCGCUCAACACUUGCAAACAGAAACCCAAACCAGCCGAGCAAAUUUAAACCCCGACAACAAAAACCUACCAAGCGCCAUAGGACUGAGAACAACCUAAGAAAAACAAUACACAUAAAAAAUAAAAAUAAAACAUAAACCAGACAUCAACCAACAACUGGCAGCCAUGCCACCAAAAGUUCCACACCAACUCCACGUCCGCAGCCGCGACGCACAGAGAUACCCAGGAAGGAACCAACCAACACAAUCAUAACUCUCUCCAUAACUUAGCGUCACAAAGAGCAGGCUGAUCGAGACGCUUUCAGAUUUUUAAAUGCUACACACCGUGGUUGGUUAAUCGACUAAACUCAAAGCUUUACCUAUUUGUCCAUGGAUCCAGUGGCAAGAAGAUUGGGUGCAGAAAGAAAAUUCAACACCUUAAGUCACACUCUUUUGCUCUUCAGAUAAGAAAGCUUGAGUUCCACCAGAUAAAACAACACCGUAAGCACGAUACACAAACCUCCUUUUCAUGGGUAACCUUGAUCUCUUGAAAUCACCUAUAGCCAGAAAGUGCUGACAUCAUUCCAUCAUUAAAGGCAAAAACCCCUAUGAAACUCCAAAGCCACCGUUCACAGAGCAAAACCACAGUUUAGAGAGAAACACAGUUCACAGAGCAAAGCACAGUGACUGCGACGCGAGCUCAGAGAGAAGGAGGUAAAACCAACACCAACAAGAGUUGGAAGAGUUCGAGGAUACCAGAUCCGCCGCCGAGAACCCGGAUCCGCAAAGCCACAGUCUAGAACCACACCAACAACCUCUGCCAGGACACCAAAGCUCAGAACCCGAGCAUCAGACUUGAUACAGUGCCAUCCAAACCCUGCGAGCCAGAAGCGACUGACUUAAAUAUCUCCCGCUCGGUGUAACAUAUCAUCAAGUCAUUGAACCACUCAUUCUUGAUCUUGUUGUGCAAUUUAGACUUGAUAAUCUUCAUUGCUGAAAAAUUUCUUUCAAAAGAUGUCAUCGACACCGGCAAUAUCAAAGUCAACUCAAUAUCAAACUGUCUUGAAUCUCCGGAGCAUACUCAUCAAUUUGUUUCCCAUGACCUGGAUCACGCACAAUCUCUUUUAGAUUAAACUCAUUGACAACAUUAGGCGGCGGCUCUACUUCGGGUUCCAGUUGCACAACAUUCACAUUCUCAAUAGUUGCUCUAUCAACCAAAAAUCUCCUCAUCUAUGAAAUUUAAUGAUCUAAAGUUAAUAAUGAGAGAAUUGAAAUUGAAACAGAAAGAAGCUACACCCACACAUAAAACACAAGACAAUGUAUAAUAAUAGACUAACAUAACUAAUAACUGCACAAGAGAAAAGAAAUCAUUCAUUUCGUAUAAUUGAGAAGAUUUCCUCCAAGAGAUACAAGUGUUACACAUUUAAGUGCGAAAUAAAUUAGGUGCUCAGACAUUGUUGGAAAGAGAUUGUUGCUAUGAUUUCUCGAAUCAUAUGUACACUCACAUACUACAUAAAUAACAAGCAUAGAGAAAGCAUCCACUCAAGAAUUUUGAUUCCUCAGAGGCCUCAACAAAACAAAUCGAAUUCAAAGGCAAUAAAGUCAGCUGGAAAGCAUAGGCAUAUAAAACUAAACCUCAAAGGAUCAUCCCUAAGAAUAUGAUGGUUAUAUGCAUUGAAAAAGGUAAAAACCAAUUAACAUGCAAAUCUGCUCUUCCAGCUUGAUCUUGUGUGUCUGCCUUUCCAAACACGUUUAACACAAAUCCCUCAACAUAUAAAUUAUCUUCAGGGCUCAACUUGGUUGCCUUUCUAUCUUGCAAGGAUAAAGGGAAAAAGAAAACGUUCUAAGUAAGUUGUGGAUUGAAUAUUUACAACAAGCAACUAUAUCAAUUUAGAAAGAAAAACAACUUCUAAACCACAGCCCACAAGCAAUUGAUGAAUUCAGAGACAAAGUGAUGUAAGCUGCAUUUCGACUUUUUGCAUGGGGCGAUUGCUUUUCCAGCCAUGCAAGUAAGGUGGUGACACAGAUGCAUACUAUUUGUCUACAUUUCAAACACUUAAUCUACAAUUUUAACCACUCCAAACCCUAGUAUACAAAAAUUUCCCUCUACAAAUUUUCUCAUACUCCAUAGCACGCUCGAUCGCCACAUUAGAGAAACAAAAUCAUAAGGUGAAUGAAAUGUUAAAAGCACAUACAUUCAGACACCAUUUUCUCAAGUAAACCAAAUAGCGCCCAACUGUGAAACAAUCACCAAUAUUGAAAAGCCUAACCCAAAUGAGGUACAAGUGUUACACAUGUUAAUAUGCUGAGUUUGGUUAACUUCACUAGUUUGUUGGAUUGAUUCAUUUAAAGAAGUUAGCAAUGUGGUAGUGUUACUGUACAUAAGCUCAUGAUAUUAUGCGUAACAUACUUUAAUCUUCAAAUCAAUUUCAGUUUCCCCUCCACUGCUAUAUCAAUCAAUUCACAUACUGGCCAUAUAAAUCAGUUUCCCCUCCACUACUAUCUUCAAAUAAAUCUCACUGUUUAACAAUUAAAUUAGCUCAAAAUUCACAUGCUCAACAAUUGCCACUAUUGCAAUAGGAACAUAGUAUAUUGAAAUUGGAUAGAUCAACAAAUCAAAAAAUCAAAAAACAAAACCAACUUCACAAUGAAACACAAAAAAUGAAGAUACCCAAUUAAGAAAACAUGAUGAAAAUUUCCUUAAAGUCAUAUACAACAAGUGAAAUAGAAGUAAGCAUCAUUUAGAGUCGGUUUCCCCAUUAUCUUCUUAUCUAAAUCAGAUGAAGGCAAUCAGCAGAAUCAACAUACCUGAUACAAAGUUUCAGUAGAGAGAGAGAUAGAUAGAGAGAGAAGUAGGGGCUGUGCUCGGAGUCAGAGGGAGGGAAUCAGGGAAAGAGAACGAGAGAGAGACGAAGAAGACGAUAUCGAUGUGCGUGAAAGGAAAAAAAAACGCGUGUGCUUCACUCACUGUCACUGGUCUUUAUUUUCUUUUUGCGCAUUUGAUAUUUCUCAAAAAAGAGCCUGCAUCGCAAGCAAACAUAUUUUUUUGGCAAGGACCUGGGCAUGUUCCCUGCCUCCGCCCCUGCUGGGUGGCGAGUUUCGUUGAGCAGCGAAUGGCGGUACAAGUAUGGAUAGCUUCCGCGGAGAGGGUCAUGAUAAUAUGGUGGUGACUCACACUUGAGGGAAGAAGACGAUAUCGAUGUGCGUGAGAGGAAAAAGACAAACGUGUGUGCUUCACUCAGUGUCACUGAUCUUUAUUUUUUUUCCCCAUUUGAUACUUUUUUCUCAAAAAAGGGCCUGCGUCGCAAGCAAUUUUUUUUUGGCAAGGACCUGGGCAUAUUCCCUGCCUCCGCCCCUGUUGGGUGGCAGGUUUCGCUGAGCAGCAAAUGGCGGUACAAGUGUGGGUAGCUUCCGCGGAGAGGGUCACGAUAAUGUGGUGGUGACUCACACUUGAGGGGGAGAUUGUUCUUUUUUUUUUUUUGAAAUCGGGGAGAUUGUUGAGAAUUAAGUGUGAGUUGGAGUCCCACAUUGGUUAAAUAUGGGUGAGGAGAAGACUUUAUAAGAGAUGUGACUCAUAAACUUAAUGCCUUAAGGUUUUGAGUUAACAUGUGAUGUUGAUAUCUCUUGGUGUCUUGCUCCUCGACCCAUGGGGUCCCUUAUCUCUCCAAUAAAGAGAAAGAAUAAGGGCAAGAAGUACCAGAGGAAAAACUGAUAAUGUAAAGCAUCAUUGAUUUUUGUUGGAGAAUUUGUAUAUUCCCUUGAUGAAGAAGAACCCUGAUUGAAUGCUUGAAUUCAAUGCUAGGGGUGAAACAUUCAGUGUGCAGAAAGAGAAAGAAGAAGAACAGUAAUGAUGCUAAACGGAAGUAACUAAUGAGAGAGAGAAAAAUGAUUAUCCGGAAUUAACCAACGAGAGAGAGAAAAAUGAUUAUCAUUGAUUGUUCACACACUCUCACAGUGUGUGUCUUAUUUAAGUCAAUUGCAAAAGGACCAAAAUGAUUAAUGAGUAGAAUCUCUAGGGACUAACAUUCAAUCAUACACAAACUAAGAGGACUUAAUUCUGAAUUAUUUUAUUCCAACACUCUCUCCUAAUUCAAAACCUCAGAUGCAGACAUGAUGCUCAAUUUCUUGCAUAGUACACUAAACCUCUCAGCUCUCAAUGGUAUAGUGAAUAAGUCUGCUAAUUGCUCUUCUGUAGGAUAAUGAACCAACUCAAGCUUUCCCUUUGUCACCUGAUCUCUAAGGAAAUGAAAACGAGUCUCAGUGUGCUUACUUUUCCCAUGUGCCACAGGAUGUUUAGCAAGAUCAAUGGCUGAUCUGUUAUCAAUAUGUAACUUCAUCACUUCUGGAAGUUGCAAACCUUUUUCUUCCAGAACCAUACCAAUCCACAAGGCCUGACAAGGACUAAAUGAAGCUGCUACAUACUCAGCUUCACAUGAGGACAAAGCCAUUAUAGGCUUAUUUUUUGAGCACCAAGAAACAGGUGCAUCUCCACACAAGAACACAUAGCCUGUUGUGCUUUUCGUGUCAUCUUUAUCUCCACUCCAAUCCGAGUCCACAUAGCCAGUAAUUUCAUUUCUCACAUUGUAAGCUUUACUAGGAAACAAUAUUCCAUGAUCAAGGGUUCCUCUAAUGUACCUUAGUAUCCUUUUUACUGCCAGGAAAUGUCACUAUUUAGGAUUCUCCAUAAACUUGCUUAUCAACCCCACUCUAUAGCUAAUUUCUGGCCUACUACUACAUAGGUACCUUAGUGAACCUACUAUCUGCUUGAACAAUGUUGAAUCCACUCACUUUCCUGUAUCUGACUUGGUUAAAAUAGAACCACACUCUACUGGAGUGGUCACUGCAUUGCACUCAGCCAAAUUGAACCUCUUCAAAACAUCAGUAGCAUGUUUCCUUUGACACAUAAAGAUUUCUCUCUCUAUCCCUAGAAAGUAUGUUAGUUCUCCCAUAUCACUCAUUUCAAACUCUGAUUGCAUCUUCUCCUUGAACCUGCUUAUCUUAGUCUCAUUACUUCCAAUAACUAGCAAAUCAUCUACAUAGAGACACACAAUAAGCAUGCCAGUUAUCUUGAUCUUAAGCACAUACACUCCAUGUUCAGAAGUGCACUUUGAGAACCCUAACUGACUCAAGAAUGAGUCAAUUCUCUUGUUCCAAGCUCGAGGAGCUUGCUUGAGCUCAUAUAGAUCCUUGUGCAAUUUGUAGACCUUAUUCUCAUCUCCCUGAACUUCAAACCCAGGAGGUUGUUGGACAUAAACCUCAUCAUCAAGGGGACCAUUUAGGAAUGUUGAUUUGACAUCCAAUUGAUGCAAUCUCGAAUUCUUCAAGCUAGCAGUAGCAACCACCAUUCUCACUCUCUCCAUCCUUGCUACUGGAGCAAAAACAUAUGUAUAGUCCAACACUUCUCUUUGUUGAAAACCUCUUGCCACUAACCUUGCCUUAUAUCUGGCAAAUGACCCAUCUGGCUUCAACUUAGUUUUGUAAACCCAUUUUACUGAGUUUGGCUUCUUACCCUUAGGUAACUCUACCAAGCUCCAGGUCUUAUUUUUCUCAUUUGAACUCAGCUCUUCCUUCAUAGCUGUUCUCCAAUUCUCAUGUUUAAAAGCUUGCUCCAAACUCACUGGUUCAGCUUCAAUGAAUAGUGACAAAUGAAUCAAGUCACCUUCAUGAGUAACUUCAUUGUCAGGGAAUGUAACACCCCGAUUUCGGUGGCGUCACUUUAGUAACCAAAAGAAAACUUAAGCGGAAAAACGUGAAUUAUUUUUUUUUUGAUAAUAUAAUUAAAGACAGAAACAUUAAACAUCUCAACGAAAGAUAAAAAGAAACUAAUAUACAUCUAUAUAUAUACAUGCCCCGCUAAAACUAACCACGUCGCGAGUGACCUCCAGCAACGGGUGACAGAAAGAAAGUAACGCCCGAAGGCAAUAUGUACAAACCAAGGUAAAACCUGUGUCCGCAACACCAUACCUCAAAAACUGAGAACAAAUUGGCCCAGCGGCCUAAGAAAAAACCUCCUAAGUCCAACCAGCUCUCUGUGAUCUCCAUAAGAAAACCACACAAAAAGCUACCGGCAGGAAACUACCCUGUCCCAAAAUCGAAAAGCAUGACGGUCAGAGCAACGACACUACUCCUACACUAAUCCCAACUCGAGGAGCCCACACUAGCACUCGAUCCUACACGCUAGCGCGGUCUUCGUCCGAGUCUGCAUCCAGGACAACUAAGUCGACAUACACAACCCUACCCUCUCUAUCCACCCGGAUGCGCUCCUGCACUGGUCUCUCGGGCUCGGGGCCCGGACCAGGAUCCUCGAUGACAGCAGCAGUAAACGAACUGGACUCCGUCGAAGUCCCACCCACUGGCACCUCCUCAGAGGGGUCCUCAUCAUCCGAAGAUAAUGGUGGUGGUGGUGGUGGUCCUCCCAGGCUGGGUCCACAAUGCACGCCGGGCGGCAAGUUGAAGCUCACUAUAUGCCUCCUCAUCACCCCCUCCGUCAAGCGUCCGAAUCGGUCAACACGGUCCUCCAUGAUCCGACCGGUGUAGGUCGCACGGUGGCAUAUGGGGUCGACCACCCAUGCACCUGGGUCGUCUUGGUCAAGCAUCUCGAAUCUGGUCCCCCCCGAGGGGCUGACCAUCGUAAACCAAUCCGCCAUACUCAUCUGACAAUGGCGUAGUCCGCCCAAACACACACAGAAGACGCGAGGGUCAACUUCAAAGAAUUAUAUAAAUAUUAAAGCCAGAUAUAUAUAUAUAUAUAUAUAUAUAUAUAUAUGUGUGUGAUAAUAAUUAUUAGCCUCUCAGGCUUAUAAGUUCAGAGAUAACAUCCUAGGGUUGCAUGUAUCACAACGAAUAUAAAAGAUCAUAAUAACAAUUAGCAUGCCUCAAAUAGGAUAAACAAGUACCAAUCACACUCAGCAACUAAGUCAGAAUGUAUGUUGCAUGCAAUGCAAUGCUGGUUAACAAGAUGCAUUCCGGAAGAAGGAUGGACAUCAACGAGGCGGCCCUAACACCAGCCACGGUGGGUACCUUCCUGCUCGCGUGUCUCUUACACCACACAAAAGUAGUCAGAUCAGCAGUGAACCCGUAGGUCUGCCAUUCCGUCUGCUACUAAGGACCACCGUAGUGUCCUAAAUAUGGAAAUCCGGGUCUUAUGACCAUUUUGGAAUCCACCGAGGUCCGGUAUCACGCCGUGUAUUAACCUCAAAAUGAGUGCAUGAAUGCAAGUGAUUAGCCAAACAACGUCUCCGACCUCACUCGACACGUCGCCACGUGUUCUAAAUAACUUAAAGUCUCUAAAAGAAUACCCUAAGGUAAAUGUCGAUUCUGCGACAAAAUGAAUUAAUCAAAAGAAGAAAGAAUGUACUUUGGAACUCAUGGUUCCCGGCUAAACUUUAGAUAGCCAACCAAUAAACUGCUCAUCGAGCGAAAGGUACCGAAGUACUUGGAAACUCAUAGUUUCCGGCUAAACUUUAGAUAGCCAAACAAUAAACUGCUCAUCGAGCGAAAGAGUACGAUUGUACUUGGAAACUCAUAGUUUCCGGCUAAACUUUAGAUAGCCAAACAAUAAACUGCUCAUCGAGCGAAAGAGUACGAUUGUACUUGGAAACUCAUAGUUUCCGGCUAAACUUUAGAUAGCCAAACAUUAGCCUGCUCAUCGAGCAAAAGAGUAUCAACAUACUCGAAAACUUGUAAGUUCCUCAAAACUUGGACUCGACGACACUUCUCAUAUCUUCAAGACUAAUAUUCAGGCUCUAAGCUCUUAUCUAAAGUUGUUAUCAUUGUUCAAGGGGUUUAGAGAUUGAUUAAUGUCUUAUGAAUUUUCUUUGAAAAAAUAGAUUUCGUUUAGUCUUAUGAUACUUCCUAUGAGUUUCAGGGAUCCCAUAAUCCCAAUUAAUUUCUGAGAAGGUCUCGAUCCAUUAAAAUAUAACAAGGUCCGAACUUCGUUCGUCCUUUUAAACUCUCUCAAAAUCUCAUAAAAAUUCGGCAUGACUUGCCCGUAAUCCUCACUCUCCAGAAACAUAGGCACGAGUGGAAUAGCAUAAAUAAAACAGCUCAAUCAAUAAGCAUAAACAUCAUAUUCCAACACAUCCUAAAUUAACCAUGUAGCACAUAGCAUGUGAAUCAUUUAGCACACAAUAUCAUGGCAUCAAGUACUCAACAAGAUCGGUCGAAGCCUCAGAAAUCAUUUCAGACAUUUAGCAAUUAAGUGCAUAACACAUAAAUCAAGUCGAAUUCGUCGACACCUAAAGCAUUAUCUAGUAAUUCAGAGAGUAGCCCUCACCGGUGGGUCCUCCAGCUUCCUCCUCACGAGUUCCUUCACGCUCCUCUCCUUGAUUUCCAGGAAACUCCUCAAAUGAACCUUAAGAAAAAUCAGAGAAAUCAACACAUUGAGUCAGAAACUCAGCAAGCAAUAAGUCCUAGGGUCACACGGUACAUUACAAACUCUAUGGUACGACAAUCUAACGCGUUAAGACAAGUUUUCGAAAAAGUCGGAUUUUCCUCCCCCCUUGAUAUAGCUCUCGGCCACUUUCCUUAAUUGGGAGGGUCGAUUUUUCUUCGAUCAAACUUGGUUCCUAGGUUAACAUAAGCCGUAACUAAGACGGUUCUAAGCUCGGAAAAAUUUUCGGAUCGAAAACUGAUAUAGGGGUAGUUUGGUCAUUAUUUUCAGCUCAGAAAUUCAAAAUUGGAUUUUUGAAAAACAAAUUGGAUGGGGAUUUCAACAACGACGUUUAUGACGAUUAAUCCUACUAGCACUAAGCCAAGUCGAUAGUUUUCAGCUUAAAGGUUGCGACUUUGCCCAAAAAUGGGUAUUUGAUGCAAAAAUUGAUCCCGGCGGCAUUUCGUCGACAUCUGACAAAAUCUAAUCCGCAGAACACGCUCAGAAGCAUGCAGGGAAUAAGUUUAGACACUGAAAUCAGCUUAUUUGAACAGUUUUUCAAAAAGCUCAAAACUUUUAGCACAGAAAGACAUAGAAGAAGUCGACAGAAACGACGAUCGGAAGGGAGAUAUAGUUUACCUACCUCAAGGUCUUCGAUUAGCAACGAUCGGUGAAGCAAACGGGCAAAGAUUCGCGAAAAUCACUUCCUCCUCUUCUCCUCUAGCUGGCCGGGGGUUUGGGGAAAGAAAAUGGGGUGGGUUUUGAAAAUAUCUCAUUUUCUAGCUAUUUAUAGGUUUUGGAAAAUGCGGAAAAAUGAUUUUUUUGCGAUUUCGAUUUUUCCUGCGCGUUCCUCUGUGAAUUCUAAGAUAGGUUAUGGCGACAGAAUUCCAGAACUCAAAACGGAAUUCUUGGAGUUAAACCAAAUGAUCCAAAGUCGGCAUGAGUCGGUGUAAGUCGGUUUAUCCCGAAAAACUACUUUUUGCAGUGAUCGUCGGAAGAGAAAACUUCCUUCUGAAGAAAGAUUAGGAAUAACGAGAGAAAUAGGAGAACGCGGGUGGAAUCUUCAUUUGAAGCUCCGAAUAGAAAAAGUCUUCAUCGUCUGUCGAUCUUAGGUUUCUCGAACUAUCAGGGAUUCCGUUUCGGCAACCUUCCGAGAAUUGGAAUUUGACGUUCGUACUUUCCAGGGUUUCGCAUCGAAAUAAUUGUUUAUAGACGAAAAAGAGAAGUUCUAACAUUUCUCUGAAGAUUUUAGGAACUAGUUUCCAUCGUGUCUUAAUGUGUAAAUUAACGUUUCACUAAAACCUUUGACCUAGGAUUAGGCGUAUGUUAGUCGUGCUAUAACUCUUAUCGGUUUUUCGAUAAAAUUCUUGGACUUUUCCUGAACCUUUUCCUUCACAAAUUUAUUUUAAUCAAAUAAACCCUUAUAUUUUAUUCACUUAUCCAAAGCUUAAAACUUGGGCCUUACAGGGAACAACACAUAGUCACUCAAUCUGGAAGGUGGUUGUCUCACCCUUUGAUUCCUUUGAAUUACAUUCUCAGUAUGCAAAUCAUUUGCUGCUUGUCCAGUGACUCCAUCCUGACCUUCACCUCUCACAUUUUCAGAUUCAGAAGUAGACAUCAUCUCAGGGAACUCAUAAAGAGUCCUAACAUUAGAAGAUUCUGGCUUAUCAACAUCAUCAUCAUGCCAUUUCCAUUCAGCUGUCUCAUCUACUACCACAUCCCUACUAAUGACAAUUACAUUGGUAGUAGGGUUUAGUAGUCUACAUGCUCCAGUAGAAUGAUAGCCAACUAGUAAUAACUUCUCACUUUUAUUAUCCAAUUUCUUUCUUCUCUGGUCUGGAAGAUGUCUGUAAUAAACUGAUCCAAAAAUUAUAAAGUGCUUCACAAUUGGCUUGAUACCUGUCCAAAAAAAGUGGGUGAAUUUUGCCGAAAAAAAACCAUUUUAAAACAUAGCUUGACAAUUGAAGGAGUAAAUGGACUGAAUAAUUCCAUUAUAUUAAUUAAAUAUUGAUUACAAAUAUUUCCUUCAAUUUGAAAAAGAUAAGGGUAAACUAAUGCUCAACCGCUCCUGAGCAAACGCAAAAAGAAGGUCUCCAGGUUAGGUUCGAACUCUACAAGAAAACUCGGCUCACCUCCAAGUACUAACCCAAACCAUAAUACCACUAAACACAUACAUAGUUCUACGCCUGACAUCCGCCCGUCCCUUGAACACGUCCUCAGUCAUAUAGUACUUUUUCCCUGUGCGGUCUAUCAUUCUCUGGCGUUAGGCGCCCAUGCAGCACACAGUCAAAUAAGCAAGGGUCAACUUCCAAACAACACUUACACAUGUAACAAGACUGACAUAACAUCAUAGUAAUAUGGUCAUCUAACCUAAUACUUCAUUUGAAAUUUCAGGCUCAUGUUAUACAGUUUUACAACUAGCAUAUAUAGUAAUAAACCCAAAAGCAUAAACAAGUCCACCUAGAGUCCAGUUAGACUACAUGCUCAUGCAUAUGCAAAUUUUAAUGCCAGCAACGACAUCUCUGAAGGCGAGACAAAAUACGACUCCACAAUUGGGGUUAGUCUACACUAACACACCGUCGUCGAAUUCCUCGCACGACUCCACAAUUGGGGUUAAUCUUAAUAACGCACUGUCGUUUUCAUUUUGCCACUUCUUCGGAUAUGCCGUUAUGCCUUGACAGAAUUUUAUAUCAUGGUUCAACCUAACCGGUUCUGAACCACAUCAAAACAUGCAGAAUGUCAUGAUGUUAGUCAAGACAACAUCGGAAUCGUCGUCCUCACAAUCCGAAUUUAUCAAAAAUAACUCCUUAUUGAGUAUCAAGUUGCCCACUGGCAAAUGCAUCUCUUGCCAACGCUCGCAUUUCAAAUUUAUCAUAAAUCACAAUAUUCAAUUCAUAUGCCAAAGCAUAAUAACAUGAUUUCAAGUUUAAUACACAUAUUUCAAUACUUGCAUCAUGAAGUUUAAACAAACAACAUCAUAUAAACAAGCAUUAUAUAGCACAAUCACAUGCAGACAAGUCUAGACCGAGUGCCCUUACCUUACCACUUUCUUUUCUAAGUUGCGACUUCGAUCCAAUCAAGUCAUCGCUCCUCGUACCGUCUAGCUUUACUUCCAUUCUUUAGCUCCGACACGAACGCAAUAUCGCACUUCGUAUCCUUAGAAAAUUAAUCGCUUUCGAAAAAGGUAAGCUUAAUGAUCCUAGCUCCCGCUCCCAAAAACUCAAGAAUCUCAUCAAAUUCAAGACAACCACUCAAGAAUUUUCACUAGAGAAUAAGACACUCACAACUAGUAGUAAGUGUGUUUCAAUGCUUUCUGUUUCUGUUUGUUGCCCUCCUCCUUGAAAUCACGUUGCCCUCGUUUUAUAGUGAAUGUCUUGCAUCUGAAAUGUUAGCACGUCAUGUUCCUAGCCUACAUAGGUUUGCCAGCAAAUUGUUUCCUUGCCUACACGUCAAAUAACUCAAUCCUUGUCAUGUUUCCUCAAGUUUUCGACAGCCACCUCCUUCUAUAGCCUUUGUAGCUUGUCCAACACAUACCUUCUUCCAUUUACACGUAGCUUUUGUUUUACACCUCAAAUGCUUCAAUUUAUUAAAUUUUCACUUGUUUCGUUUCUGUUUCUGGUACGUUAAAUCCUUUUGAAACUUAAUGUAUGUACAUAUAUAUAUAUAUAUAUAGGUUAAGUAUAGAUUGAUUUUGGUAGUGUAGAAUUUAACUCAUAGAGUUAAGAGAAAAAUAUUAGGAAGAUAAAUUAUUAUCCUAAAAAUUAUUAGGAACUCUAUGAUAUAAUUUAAGAUCACUUUGGAAAAGUUUAAGUGAUCGAGUGUAGUAGUGUUAACAAAGUGUUAUUAUCCCCUUACAUGUAUAUUAGUUUUAAAUUACACACUUUAUAUAUUUUCUUUAUGUUAGUCACGUAACUUACAUGACUCUCUUUUUUCUUUUAGGGGAGAAAAUAAUAAUUUUAAUAAUACACUCGUUUAUAUAACACACAAGUACAGAAAACACACCAACUUAAGCUUAAUAGCGCUUAUCGCUCUUAAGCCGAUAUGUAACUUAUUUAAUUAAACGCUUAAUCUAUUUGGGUCUUACAUUACUAUCCCCUAAAAGGGAUUUUCGCCCUCAAAACUCGAAGUCAGAGAAAGCUCAGGGGUACCUCACAUUAUCUUCCAACUUACUAUAGGGUCAGCACGUAUCCCAAAGCCUAGGAAACAUCAUAACAAAUUCAUCUUAAAGGUGACGUACAAGACAACAACAAUACUUAGAUAUCUAGCAAACAUCUUCAAAUAAACCUAAAUAUCACGCUCAUGCUAGUGCUCUAGGCACCGUGAUCCAAAUCUUAACUCAAACGCCUACAUGAUCGACCUCAUAGGUGUCGUCAUACUCUCAUAUCAAAAACUCAACCAUGAAACAUAUGUUCAUAUACCAUAAUGCUAAUAUCAUUCAAAUUCCAUCACAUGACUUCUUCUGCCAACAAUCUGACCUCCAACCUCAAUCUAUCAACAACUCAUAAGAAAAUUAUCAUCUUGUAAUAUUCUAAUCCUUUAACGUCAUUUUCUUUUUCGAAACUAUCCUCAUUCUAACCAUAAAUCAAUCCUCCGCUUAGUCACAAAUCAAAUCAUAAACUUAUCUCAAGUCCUAACACACUGCACAACUCAAAAUUCAUUCACUUCAAGAUCACUCUUACACUAUACCUCAAAGAACUUUACUUUACAUUUCAUCCUCAUAUCUUCAGUCCUAAAUGAUUCAAAUCUUAUCGUCACAACUAAAGCCAUGAAAUCUCUUAUUCGAACAUGAUUCUCAAUUCACAAGGUCAAUCUUUACCAUAAGAUUUCAAUUUAACUUAGUAAAUCUCACUUUCUAACCUCAGCAUGUUUCCUCCAAAAUCCAUCUCAAGGAUUCAUUCACACUUAGGCUCUUGAUCAAUACCUGACAUACUAUGCAAAACAUAUCCCGAACCCUAGGGAAGCGACAUAGUAACUUACACCUCAUUGUUGUCUUAUAAAAAAAAUAUCACAACUGAACUCGACAGACCUAUUCCCCAACAAGCUCUGGUAUUCGCAACCAAAGUUCUGAUACCACAAUGUAACGCCCUGAUUUCUCGAGGGUCACUUUAGUAACCUUUCCAAAAAAAAGUGGGUGAAUUUUGCCGAAAAAAAAACCAUUUUAAAACAUAGCUUGACAACUGAAGGAGUAAAUGGACUGAAUAAUUCCAUUCUAUUAAUUAAAUCUUGAUUACAAAUAUUUCCUUCAAUUUGAAAAAAUAAGGGUAAACUAAUGCUCAACCGCUCCUGAGCAAACGCAAAAAGAAGGUCUCCAGGUUAGGUUCGAACUCUACAAGAAAACUCGGCUCACCUCCAAGUACUAACCCAAACCAUAAUACCACUAAACACAUACAUAGUUCUACGCCUGACAUCCGCCCGUCCCUUGAACACGUCCUCAGUCAUAUAGUACUUUUUCCCUGUGCGGUCUAUCAUUCUCUGGCGUUAGGCGCCCAUGCAGCACACGGUCAAAUAAGCAAGGGUCAACUCCCAAACAACACUUACACAUGUAACAAGACUGACAUAACAUCAUAGUAAUAUGGUCAUCUAACCUAAUACUUCAUUUGAAAUUUCAGGCUCAUGUUAUACAGUUUUACAACUAGCAUAUAUAGUAAUAAACCCAAAAGCAUAAACAAGUCCACCUAGAGUCCAGUUAGACUACAUGCUCAUGCAUAUGCAAAUUUUAAUGCCAGCAACGACAUCUCUGAAGGCGAGACAAAAUACGACUCCACAAUUGGGGUUAGUCUACACUAACGCACCGUCGUCAAAUCCCUCGCACGACUCCACAAUUGGGGUUAAUCUUAAUAACGCACUGUCGUUUUCAUUUUCCACUUCUUCGGAUAUGCCGUUAUGCCCUGACAGAAUUUUAUAUCAUGGUUCAACCUAACCGGUUCCGAACCACAUCAAAACAUGCAGAAUGUCAUGAUGUUAGUCAACACAACAUCGAAAUCGUCGUCCUCACAAUCCGAAUUUAUCAAAAAUAACUCCUUAUUGAGUAUCAAGUUGCCCACUGGCAAAUGCAUCUCUUGCCAACGCUCGCAUUUCAAAUUUAUCAUAAAUCACAAUAUUCAAUUCAUAUGCCAAAGCAUAAUAACAUGAUUUCAAGUUUAAUACACAUAUUUCAAUACUUGCAUCAUGAAGUUUAAACAAACAACAUCAUAUAAACAAGCAUUAUAUAGCACAAUCACAUGCAGACAAGUCUAGACCGAGUGCCCUUACCUUAACCACUUUCUUUUCUAAGUUGCGACUUCGAUCCAAUCAAGUCAUCGCUCCUCGUACCGUCUAGCUUUACUUCCAUUCUUUAGCUCCGACACGAACGCAUUAUCACACUUCGUAUCCUUAGAAAAUUAAUCGCUUUCGAAAA
Molecule: long non-coding RNA, 137231 nt
Filed under: Lotus japonicus
Lineage: Eukaryota; Viridiplantae; Streptophyta; Magnoliopsida; Fabales; Fabaceae
Description: long non-coding RNA (LJAP_LNC000012)
Source: RNAcentral